RNAcentral lists this long non-coding RNA (89093 nucleotides) under Coffea arabica (coffee). Its description in RNAcentral is "long non-coding RNA (CARA_LNC004727)". The stretch from base 28692 to 28764 matches the Rfam family "tRNA". Lineage: Eukaryota; Viridiplantae; Streptophyta; Magnoliopsida; Gentianales; Rubiaceae. The record is from RNAcentral.
AAUGUAUAUUUUAAGUUUGAGAAUUGUGUUUUGCUUAUUUUUCAUGGUUGUAAGUUAUUUUCUUGGAGUACGUGUGCGAGUCCUAGCGAGAGUUGGGCAAGCGGUCCGCUAAACCUUGGGGUACGCCCUGGGGGAGGUGGGUCGUCACAGGUGCUCUGCCUAGAACCUGGCAGAAGCCACCAUAUCAGUACUGUUUCCUUUUCUUGCUGGUGUUAAAGUGCUUAUCUGAAUGGGUGAAUUAUCCAUGACAUUAUUUGAAACUAUUUACUGUCUUCGUUUUAAGGUUUUGAGAUAUGUGAAAGAUAUUUUGCCAAUUUGACUACAUGUUUACUUGGAACCUCGCUGGGUUUCUAGCUCAUUCCAUGAAAUUUGUUUUCCUUACAGGAGUAAGAACGUGAGAGUGGGAAUUGGACAAGAUAUGGACUUUGUCUAAGUUUUGUUAGUUGCUCACAUAGGAACUCUUAGCUCUCUAGCGAGCUUGUUUGAUUUUAUUUUGUAAGUUUAACUCGUUGGCUAUAUUUAGAGAUUGUACGGGCAUUUGAUGUCCACGAUUGUAUAUAUCUAAGGUUGUAAAUGUUAUUGGUCUCAUUGUUGAGAUUAAUAUUUGGUAAACUUCAGAGUACGUGAAUGAGUCCUGGCGAGAGGUGAGUAAGCGGUCCGCCAAACCCUUGGGUAUGCCCUAGGGGAAGGUGGGGCUGUCACAGAUGGGGCCUUAGAAAGGUUCCAGAAGUUUGCCCUACCUAAAUUUACUGGAGAACUGAAUCCCAAAGUAGUGGAGAAUUAGUUAGAAGCUAUGGCUAACAUAUUUGAGGCAUUAAGAAUCAGGUAUAACAUAUUAAUGUAAUAUGCGCUUUGACAUGUAUGAAUAAUAAGUAAAACACUAAUAUUCAUUGUAGACUGCUACUAGGAGAGGAAAAUUAGGAAGAGGCACAACUAACAUAGACUUAUCAGGAGCUAGAGUUUGGGUAAUAAAUGUUGCAACUGUCAUUCAAUAUGCUUGGGUCUUUGACAUGCCUCAUCUGAAUGUUAAGUGAUUUGUGUGUGACAUAUUUCAAUAGGAGCUUGCACAAGGAAGUGUGCCAAUUGUUGUAUCAAGUCAAGGAAGUAAUCCCAGUCCUCCUAGUCAACCAAUUUCACUAAAUAUACAUUUCAGUGGUGCAACCAAAAAGGCAAGCACAGUUUUGAUACUAACAUUUGAGUGUUUUACAAUAUGCCUAACAUCUAAGUGGUUCGUAUACUCAUUUCGGAGAGGAAGACCUGUAAAGAAAAAUAAGACAGCUGCAUCGAGUGGCAAUGCACAAAGCCGUGCAACAGGUUACCUUCUCUAUUUUCCAAUUUGAGAGGGCAGCACGUUCAUGGUGGAACGUGAUUAAAACAAAAUGGGAAAGAAAAUAGACUUCGUGAACUUGGGCUAACUUCGCCUACGAGUUUAAAGAGAAAUAUAUCCCUCCUUCGGUUCAAGAGAAGAGGAAUGAUGAAUUCAUUAGACUUCGACAGGGGACCUCUAGUGUUGUCGAAUACAAAGCCCAGUUCAUAAAAUUGUCCAAAUUCUUCCCUGAAUAAGUACCCACUGAACAAAAAAGAGUGAGGUGGUAGUUCGUUCAAGGGUUAAAUUUGGCGAUUUAGGAAUCAUUAGCACCAGUCACCCUGGAUACUUUUGCCGGGGCUCUUGAGAAAGUCCAGAGAAUUAAGAAUGCUAAGUCCCAACUUAAGCAUUUCCAAGCUAUAAGAGGAAUGCCUAUAGCCCUACUCUCGGGCAAUCUCGAGGAAAUGUCCUGCAGCCCAAAGCGGGAAGAGGAUUUGGUGGGAUGAGACUUCCACUCGGGGCUCAGAAUCGACCAAUUGGCACACCGACUAGAGGAGCUCAAGCCGGAAAAUGACAACAAGGGGGGCCACCCAGAGGAGGACAAGCAUCGGGCUCCUAGACAGCAUGUGGAUACUGUAGGAAAUGAAAUCAUUCCGAGAUAAAUUGUUGGGUGAAGGGACGAAAAUGUUUGUUCUGUAAAAGUUCAGAGCACCUGUGACAGCCCCACCUCCCCCUAAGGCGAACCAGAUGGUUCGGCGGGCCGCCUGCCCAGCUCUCACCGGGACUCAGUCGUUCACUACAUUCCUCAAACAGAUUACAAGAAUAAACCUCAAAUAUUACAAUAUAAAUCUCCAAUAUACAUCAAAUUCUCCAAAAAUUACAUGUCAUAAGCGAAGCGGAAACAAUUCCAAAUAAGCCAUCCAGUCACGUGAAUAAGUACUACAAGCCCUUCCUUCGCCUUGAGCCCUGUGGAGGGGAAUAAAAUAUUUUUGGGGUGAGCUAGAAGCUCAGCGAGUAACCAGUAAAAGCAGUCAUCAAAUAUAUUGCACAGUAAUGUAUUCCAAUGAUGUCAUGAAUCAGAGAUCAAAUGUACGUCUUUUGCUCUCGUGAGCCAGUGAAAUCAUAGCACUUGAACACCCAACGCUCAAAUAGAUCAUUUAACAUUAACAGAAAGGGAGCCCCUUUUUGAGCUCCAGAUAAACAUGAACAUGAACCAUAAACAGAGUGGAGACGUUGGUGUCCAGCACAAGACUCCCCAAGAACUCAGUAAAGCCAAAACUUGUCAUGAACUCACAUGCAAGCACGCAUGAUAUGCAUCGAGUAAAUAAUGCAAGAAACGUUUCACAAGUACUUUGGAAAUAGUUUAGGGUCACUCACCUCCAUGGCUCAGAAAUCAUCCAUCAUAUAAUAUUGCCUUGCUCAAAUCCAAGUCUUACAUCACAAACUCAAUGCAAACAAAUCCCUUCAAAGUUCGGACAGCACUUCCCCUGAAUUUGCUAACUUUUCCAGCCAUCAUGGCUUCAUUAUUUCCUCAUUCCAUCCCAAAGGUACACACACAACAACAAGUUCAUCCAAUAGCCAUUCAGCAAGCUCCAAGUAGUACUAGUACAAGUCAAGCUAGGGAAAAGUCCGGAAAUGAAAGUUAAGCUCAAAACCAGAAAAACAGUUUUGACGUCAUUUUGCGGUAAUGGUACCAAAGGCACUACGAUUGUCGGAUGAAGGUGCAAGAUACACCGUUUCGAAGCUAAAAGACAGGGCUACAAUAUUGCAGAAGGUCACUCAACCCAGUUUCGAGUGUAACCAGGUCAAAAUGCAAGAUACUAUACCAGAAUCACAAAAACAGAUUCACAGAACGCAUUCUAGCGGAAACAUCAUAAAUCAGGCUAUCCAAGUCCAAAUCCAGAAAUUCCAAAACCAGCUGAAAGCUAAGAAACAGGGAUAAAUUUCAUCAGAAGGCCUCAACAACCAAUUCGGAAGCAAUUCCAGCCAAAACAACCAAUUACAGGCGCAAUUCUUACAUUCGGGUAAAACCAGAACAGCAAUAGUAAUUUCGACUUUUCUCACUCUACGCUACUCCGAUUGACCUGAAAUUUUGUAGGCACCUCUAAAAUAUCAUUCCCUACAACUUUCAUGUUUUAAGCCAAGGCCAAUUCGGCCUCUAUCUAUGAGCUAUAAAUUCGGGCAGAAUGUUCCUUCACAAAACCUAAUUUUCUGAAAUUUCUUCCAAAACAGAAAUUGAUUGCAAUUGUCCACUUUUUCCACCUUCUAGAAUCAUUAUAUACCAUUUCCAAUCAUCAUAGAUAGCCACACAAUCAUGCUCAUAUUAAAACAGAAAAAUCCCCAAUAAUUAUAAAACUUCAUCAAGUCAACCACAACUCAAGAUAUAAUCCAUCAAACCAUCUCUUUAGCCAUCACAAGUCACUAAUUUAGCAUAAUCAAGAACAAAGAAAGGAUUGCUAGACAUGAACCUUGAAAUAUCAAGAAAGUUGAUGGCUUAGUCCUUUGCCUUCUCUAAUCACUCCACCACUACCUUCAAUCUUCCUAAACAAGUGACUUUUGUGGAGGAAUUUGAAAGUUUAACGGUUGAUUCACAAGAUUGAGCAAGAAAUGGAGUUGGAGUUGAAGCCUUUCUUCUUGUAUUUUUGCUCCAAGAGGUUUGGCCAAGACAAGCUUAAAAUGGAGAGAAAUUGGUCAAUUUUUUGAGGUUUAGUAAAGGUGAUGCAAAUUAGUCAAAGUCCAACUUUGAAUAAGAAGGUGACACAUGUCACCUUUUGAUUUAAAACUUAUCUUUUUGUCUCUCCAAUACAAAUAUCUUAACACUUUGUAAAAUAUCACUUAAUACAAAAUUCCAACAAGUUGUCAAAAAUAUAAUGCAUUUACCGCACUCGCGGGUCCCACGCUCAAAAUACGCUUUUAAUUUCUCAAAAACUAACCGAUACUAGAAAAAUCAUUUUCAAACUAUCUUUGCUCAUAAACUUUAUCUGGAGAAUUUUUCUAAUAAAGAAAAUGUAGAAAAGGCGGGCGAUUAAAUAAAAUAAACACUAGAAAAUUAGAAAAUUUCCGGGUUCUCACACUCAUUCUUUUCGGGGCGUCACAGCACCAAAUUGAUAGUUGCCCAACUAAGUUACCACGAGGUAUCAAUACCCCACCACUUGCACCUCGACAGAUUAACAAUAGGGGAAAUCGACAGAGAGUGCCAACAAGAGUAUAUGCUUUAGAUAGGCAGCAAGUGCCCGAGACAGCUGAAGUGGUAGAAGGUACGAUCCCUAUAUUUAAUCACCUAGCUAAGAUUUGAUUGACUUUGGUGCCAUGCAUUCAUUUGUAACUAUUGAUUUUAUGUGUGGAAUUGAUAUGAAGUCUGAUAAGUUGUCUUAUGAUAUGGAAAUUAAAACUCCCACUAGUGAUCAAAGUUUGAUAACCAAUGUGGUGUAUGGAAAUUGUGAGAUUGAAAUUGGGGAAAGAAAAUUCUUGGUUGACCUUAUAACUUUACCCAUUUGAAAUUACGAUGUUAUAUUGAGUAUAGAUUGUUUAGCCUGAUAUCAUGCUCGGGUGGGCUGUAGAACUAAGACUGUAGAAUUUCAUAUACCAGGGGAGCCAAACUCUAAGAUUGGAUAUGAAGGAUAGAAUGGUUUUGCCCGACCAUAUUUCAGGAAUACAGGCUAGAAAAUUUCUAAGUAGAGGGGCACAGGGAUAUUUGGCAUAAUUAAUUAAUUCCCCAAAGAACAAGAUGAAAGUUGAAGACAUCCCAAUGGUAAAGGAUUAUCCAGACAUUUUGCUUGAGGAACUAAUGUCAUUGUCACCUGAGAGGGAGGUAGAAUUUAAGGUUGAAUUGUUACCCGAGACAAACCCUAUCUCCAAGACAUCUUACCGAAUGGCCUCGGCCAAACUUAAGGAGUUAAGAAUCCAAUUAUAGGAUUUAUUAGAUCAUGGUUUCAUACAGUUGAUGAGUCACCGUAGAGAGCUCCAGUGUUAUUUGUGAAGAAAAAAGAUGGAGGUUUGAGAUUAUAUAUCGAUUAUCGGGGUUUGAAUAACCUUACAGUUAAGAAUAAGUUUCCUCUACCACAUAUCGAUGAGUAAUUUGGCUAAUUACAUGGAGCAGUAGUGUUUUCUAAGAUAGAUCUUCGACAGGGGUACUAUCAAUAAAGAAUUAAAAAGAAAGAUAUACCUAAAAUUACUUUUAACACCCGAUAUAGACACUAUAAAUUUGCAGUGAUGCCAUUUGGAUUGACUAAUACGCCAGUAGCUUUUAUGGAUUUAAUGCAUUGGGUGUUUAGACCUUACUUGGAUCAAUUUGUGGUGAUUUUUUAUUGAUGAUAUCUUGAUAUUCUCCAAAACCCGGAAAGAUCAUGAAAUGCAUCUAAGGAUAGUGUUACAGACUUUAAGAGAGCAUCAGUUGCAUGCUAAAUUUAGUAAGUGUGAAUUCUGACUAGGGAAAGUAUCAUUUUUGGGGCGUAUCAUCUUAAAGAAAGGAAUUACUAUAGAUCCAGCUAAAGUCGAAGCCAUUGUUAAUUGGAAACGGCUGGAGAGCCCUACUGAGAUCCGUAGUUUUCUAGAUCUGGCAGGAUAUUACCGUUGAUUUAUUAAGGACUUUUCAAAGAUUGCUGGACCUUUGACGAAUUUAACCCAGAAGCAAGCUAGGCUUGUUUGGAAUGACAAAUGUGAGGCUAUUUUUCAAGAAUUGAAGAAGUGUUUAACUACCGCCGCAGUGUUAACGCUACCAAAUGGUAGAGAUAGUUUCAUGGUAUAUACAGAUGUUUCAAAGGAAGGAUUAGGCUAUGUGUUAAUGCAGGAUGGAAAAGUUGAAGCCUAGGCCUCCCGAAAUUAAAGCCCUAUGAACAGAAUUAUCCGACUCAUGAUUUGGAGUUAGUCACAGUAGUUUUUGCAUUGAGAAAAUGGAGGCAUUAUUUGUAUGAGGUAACUUUUGAGAUUUAUACAGACCAUAAGAGUUUGAAAUACCUCUUUUCCUAGAGAGAAUUGAAUUUGAGAUAGUGUCGAUUGAUGGAAUUCUUAGAAGAUUAUGAAUGUACGAUUAACUACCAUCCCAAAAAGGCAAAUGUUGUGGCCGAUGCUUUUAGCAGAAAGUGGUAGGGUUAAUGGUUAAGGAGUGGAAAAUGUUGGAAGAGAUUAGUAGAUGGAACCCCAAACUCAAAAACAAAAGGUAAUAUUUGGGAAUAUCUUAGUGCAACCGAUACUAGUGGACCAAGUUAGAGAAACCCAAGAGAAAGUGUGAGAACCCGUAAAUUUCCCUAAUAUUUUCCUAGGGGUUUUUCCCCUUUCAUGGCAUGUUUUCUGCAUUUUCUGGUUUAGGAAAAUUUUCUUGGUAUAUUUUAUGAGUAAUUAUAGUUUUUAAAUGAUUUUUCGAGCAUUGGGUAGUUUUUUGAAAAAUUAAGGAUAUAUAUCGGACGUGGGACCCACUAGUGCGAAAAGUUCGGAUAAAUUCGGCCAAUAAGGUUAAGUUUCGGAUACUGGUUGAAAUUUAUCGGAUGUUAAGAGAUAAGUAGAGGAGGUGAAGUGAUUGAUGUGAGAGGAAAAGAAAGGGAUAGGAAUGCAUUGAAUGGAGUGACAAGUGUCACUCUUCCAUUGGUUGAAGCCUAAGACAACUAUUCACCUUUUUGACCUUUCUUUACCAUUUGAUUAAAUAUCUCAAAAUUACCACAAAAAUCACCAUUUCUUUCUCUAUGUUGGCCGGCCACCUUGAGCUCAAGAAGGAAGAAAACUCUUCAAACUUUUAGCUAACAUCUAGUGCAAAUCAUCCAAACCAAUUGCUGAAAUUUGUUUCUACUCCAUAAAAUCCUUCCAUUUGGUGCUAGUAAGUGAUUUUGUGGAAGUGUUCAAGGAAGCUAAGGUGUCCAUUAACUCCUCUUCUCUUGUUUACUAGGUAAGUGGUGAUUGACCUUCCUCCUACACUUAAUGAUGCUUAAUUUGUGCCUAGUGGUGGCUAAAGUGCUGAAAUUUGUGGUUUAUUUCUUGGUUUGAGAUGAAUUGGUGAAGUUUUUAUUUUAUUGAUGAAUUUGCUGGUUUAAUUUGAUCAUGAUGUUGUGGUUAUCUAUGAUGGUUGGUAAUGAAGGGUAAUGACUCUAGUAGGUGUACAUGAUUGGUAAUUGCAAGCAAUUUUGGGUUUGGAAGGAAUUUGAGAAAGUUAGGGUUUUAUAUCCCCAAUUCUGGCCGGUUUUAUAUAUCAUUGUUAGAGGCCGAAUUGGCCUUUGCUUAAAACAUGAACGUUGUAGGUAUUGAUGUGUUUGAGAUGCCUGUAAAAUUUCAGGUCCUUUGGAGUAGUGUAGAGUGAGAAAUGUCGAUUUUACUGUUGCUGUUCUGGGUUCUUCAGGAUGGCCGAACUGCGUUUGUAAUUGGCUGUUUUGACUGGAAUUGCUUUAGAUUUGAUUUUUGAGGUCUUCUGAUGAAAUGUAACUUGAUGUCUUAGCUAUCAUAUGCCUUUGGAAUCAAUGAAUUUGGACUUGUAUAGACUGAGUUGGACUAAUUACAGCAUAGUGUAAUUUGUAAACCUGCAAUUACGGUUCUGGUUUGUUAUUUUGCAUAUUUGACUUAGUUGUACUGGGAUUUGGACUGAGUGGCCUUCUACAUUGUUGUAGCCCUGUCUUUUAGCUUCGAGAUGGUGGGUCUUGUACCCUCAUCCGAUAAUCGUAACGCCAAUGGUGCCAAAACCGCAAAAUGAUGUCAAAAACUGUUUUUAUCUGGAAAUGUUUCUAGCUUGCUUUUCGUAUUUAUUUUGUAUUGAUAUGACUUGUAAGCCUAGUGAAUGGCUUUUGGUUGAGAUUCUUCUAUAUGAGAUGUUGGGGCUGAUUUGAGGAAAUUAAUGAAGCCAUUAAUGGCUGGAAAAGAGGUAAAAACAAGGGACAUGCCGUCCGUUUAUUUUCUUGUAAUGUGAGCAAGUUAAAGUGAGUUUUGCGAAUGUAUUUUGUAACGAAUUGGACGUAGUUAUUGAAAAUGUUACCGACUCUUUCAAAGGGUGGCCGAGGGUUAAAUGUCUAUUUAAACCUAUAUAUUUCCGCUUGGCAAAUAAAAUGAUUAUUUUACCAUUCUAAAACCAAUUUCCUAACCUUUUGAGUUUGGUUUCAAGGUUGGUUUAUGAACCCUAGUUAUUCCCUUCCACGAAUCCAAAUGCCAUCGUUACACUUUGAAAGUCAUUUUUAUACGUUUUACUUUUAAGUGAUCGGGUUUUUUCGAUUUGAUUUGAUAGUGCUGCUAGAUAAAUGGUAAUAUCUUUUCUCUUGUUUAAUAUUAGGUUUCAUUGGUGACUGAGGGGAAUACUCGGUGGGGUAUUUUGAACGUUGUUUUGCAUAACUAGGUGAGUGUUCCUUGUUUGUUACGUUUCAUGAUUAUAUGGCUUGUUUGAAUGAUUGAUAACAUGUUAAAUGCUUUCAAUGAUUGCUAAACGAGUUUUCGAGGCGAGUGUGUACUUUAUCGCACUUAGCCUAAAUGAUUAUGAAAUUUUAAUGAUUGAGCGAUUGAAAUGUUAAUUGUGCAUGAAUGUAAGCCUUUUGGGCUGAACUGGCCAUUGCCCCUUGUUACCGGUCGUCUCGAGCCAGAAGCGGACUCGGUCGGGCGAUUAGGGACUUGGGUGAACGUUUCGGUAUACUCGAGUAUUACCUUGUAGGUUGGUGGAGCCUGGCCAAAAGCCUGGGACGGGAUGAAUGAAUGAAUGAACGAAUGGAUGAACGAGGGGUUUUAUUUAUACAAAAUGCAAUUUCAAAUGAGUGAAGGUAGGGGGAAAUGAAAGGAGAAUGAAUGAAUGAAUGAACGAAUGGCUCCUUGUGAGCCCGUAUCCUUUUAAUGAAUGUGUUUAUCGCUUUAUUGGUACUUGUAUCUUGAAUUGUUGUUUAUAUGUAUUGAAUGCAUUGAUUCUCUUGUUGCCUAUGUGUACGGAACCUCACUGAGUUUUCUAGCUCAUUCCUUUAGUUUUUUUAUUUUCCUUAGCAGGGGAAGCCGUGCAAGGACGGAAGCUACGUAUAGACUAGCCGAUCUAGUACUUUUGAUUCUUUUGUUAUGGUUCUCGCCCCAAUGUUUGAUGGGCUGGUUGUAUGGAGAAUGGAGAACCUUUGUACAUAAGUUGUUUUGCUUUUGGGAUGGAUAUGUAUAUAAGUUUACGUUUAAGUUUGGAAUUAUUGUUACUUCGAUUGUUUUGUGGAUUUUAUUGUCUUUUCUUAUAGUGACUGACUGAGUCCCGGCGAGAGCUGGGCAGGCGGCCGCUGAACCCUCUGGUUCGCCUUAGGGGGAGGUGGGGCCGUUACAGAAAGACCUUGCCUUGCAGAAACGAUUGGAAAAGGCUCGAGGGGGAAAGUUGCCCGAUCACAGUAUAGGGAAAGAUGGAAUACUAAAGUUUCAGAACCGAAUCGUUGUCUUGAACUGCGAAGAGCUAAAACGAAGGAUUUUGGAUGAAGCUCACCGUUCUAAAUAUACGGUGCAUCCCGGCAAUAAUAAGAUGCAUUAGGAUUGAAGAAGUUAUAUUGCUGCGAUAAUAUGAAGAGGGAGAUUGCUUAGUAUGUCCAAACCUGUUUGACGGGCCAACAAGUUAAAGCAAAACAUCAAAAAUUGUUUGGACUAUUGCAACCUUUGGAGAUACUUGAAUGGAAAUAGGAACAUGUUACAAUGGAUUUUGUGUCAGGAUUACUCUGUACCCAGAAAAGUCAUGAUGCAGUUUGGAUAAUAGUGGAUAGAUUGACUAAAUUGACUCAUUUCUUGCCGAUAAAUAUGAAAUGUUCCUUGGAGAAAUUGGCCAAAUUGUACAUAGAUGAGAUUGUAAGACUUCAUGGGAUUCCAAUAGGCAUAGUGUAGAAUAUAGAUCUUAGAUUUGCAUCCCAACUUUGGCAGCAAAUGUAGACUGCUUUAGGUACCCAGUUGAGCUUCAGUACCACCUAUCAUCCACAGAUUGAUGGGCAGUUGAAGCGAACCAUACAAACACUUGAACACAUGUUGAGCUCUUGUGUAAUGGAUUUUGAAGAAAGUUGGAAGCAACAUGUAACUUUGAUAAAAAUUUGCCUAUAACAACAAUUACCAUACAUCUAUUUAAAUGGCACCGUACGAGGCAUUAUAUGGAAGAAAAUAUAGAUUGCCAGUCUAUUGGAAUGAAGUAGGAGAAAGAAAGAUUAUAGAUCAAGAAAAGUUCCCAUGGGUAGAAGAGGCUUAUGAGAAUGUGAAGUUAAUCCGCUAGAGAAUUCAAAUGGUUCAAAGUCGUCAGAAAUGCUACACGAGUAACCGAAGGAAGAAUUUGGAGUUUGAAGUUGGGGAUAAACUAUCUCUUAAUAUCACACCAUUAGAGGGAGCUAUCAAGUCAAGAAAAGGGAAGAAGCUUAAAACGAGGUAUGUGGGAUCUUAUAAAAUUAUACAGCGGAUAGGAAAAGUGGCUUAUCGGUUAGAAUUACCUAUUAAACUGUCUAGAAUCCAUGACGUAUUCCAUGUCUCACAACUCAAGAGAUACCAUCUUGAUCCGACUUAUGUACUACAACCUGAAAAUGUUGAGGUGGAUGAGUCUUUAACCUAUAAAGAACAACCUGUAUGGAUUUUAGAUCAAAAAAUGAAAGAAUUGAGGAAUAAGCAGAUUCUCUCAGUUAAAGUCCUUUGAAAGCAUCACAGAAUGGAAGACGUGACAUGGGAAUUAGAGGAUGAAGUGCAGAAGAAUUAUGCCAACUUACUCAAGAACAAUAGUAAGAAUUUUGAGAACGAAAUUUUUUAAAAGAGGAGAGAGUGUGAAAGCCUAGAAAAAAUUAUCUGAGUAAUUCAAGUUUUCAUCUUCUUUUUUUUUUUGCUUUUGAAUUGUUUAAAGUAUUAUUUCAAUUGUCUAGACAGUUGAUUGAAUUGUACAGUGCAAUAGCUAACACUAGCUUAUAUAGCAGUUAAAGAAACCUAUAUCUGUACUAUUCUCUGUAUUGAUUCUGCCUCCUCUUUUUUUUCCAAAAAUUUUUACUUUUUAUUCCAAGCAAGCAGAAAAGAGUACAUGAAAAGGCUAGCACGAAGGGACACUACUCCCGAACACGCUGGACACGUAUAUUUGAGAAUUUCCUACAAUUUAGUGCAACCGCAUCCCUUACUUCCCUUGGAAGGUUGGCCAAGGAUGCAGCGGUCCAGUCCUCCCCCAAGUUAGACCCUGCCAGCAUAUCGGCCAUACUAUUCGCUUCCCUAAAGUUGUGACGGAUUUAAGCAUCUCCCGGAUCUGUCGUACAAAAUUACACAGUGGCCAUUUUGAGGAAAACCGUGAGGUAACCAGAGAGACCAGGGAAAGCGAGUCCACUUCCACCAGCAACCUCCCCCUAAACGCCAUAUAGCACAACCGGAGGCCAUGCAGUAGCGUCAUGCUCUCCGCUGUAAGGACAUCCAUCUCCCUGAACUCCUUAUGGAAAGCAAAAAUGACCUUGCCCUCGUGAUCACGGAGCAAGCUUCCCCCCGCUCCCUGGCCACGACUGACACUCGCAUCCGUAUUCAGCUUCACGAACUGCAAUGGUGGCCGCUUCCAUGCAACGGCCACAUAAUGAACUUUUGUGCGGCACGGGGUAGCCAGAGCUCUCCAUGGAUCAUCCGGGUCCCCUCUGAAGUGGGCCGUCCUAAGCACCUUCGCCCGGCCUAACUGUACCACAAGACUUUCCACCCUACAAACAACACCUCGAGCAUCAAAAGUCCCCUCCUUCAAACCUUGCUUUAUUACGGCCUGUCCAUAAGGACCACAAAAUUAAGCAAAGAGGCAUUACCCUAAUAUGAUCCCGCCCCACACCUGACGGCGAGCCAAACAAUGCCAAGCACAUAUCCGAGACUGAGUAAGAGUUAGAGCACAGUAUCCCAAAUCUCCGUUUAAAAUGCUGCCACACCUCCGCAGCAACAGGCCCAACAAGGGAAAGGUGCACCAAUGACUCCCCCUGGGCCGAGCAGCACGAGCAACAAGAAGCUAGGCUAGUCCCCCGAUUCUGCAAAACCAAGUCCACCGGAACCAGACCCGUAGGGCCUUCCAUACAAAAAAGGAAAUUUUCAAAGAAACAGUCGCAUUCCAAAUACGGCUAUCCACUGCCGAUAAGUUUCGUUUCUGACAAACCGCAGCCCACGCUGAUUUGAGGGAGAAGUCACCAAACGACGAGUCCCCCCAAACCAUAUAAUCUUCUUGAUCGGGGAACAACUGGAUUUGUUAGACUUGUUGUACCACCUAGGGGGCAACCAACUUGCCAGCAACCCUAGGAUCCAUCCCUCAUUGCCAUAGAACUCAGCUAGCAGCAUAUGUGGAGUAUCCGUAAAUGCCACCAUCUCAACAAGGGCCCGAUCCGUUAACCAACGAUCGAACCAAAAGUGCACGAACCCCCUUCCCAAACACCAUCUAAUUUUGCUCUCAGCCACCUCACGAAUCUUCUCCAAUCGAUGCCAGGAUAAUGGCGGUCGACUAACCUUAACCACCAUGGGAUGCUCCCCUUUUAUGUACUUAGAGUGCAUAAAAUCUGCCCAGAUGGAGUCCCUCUUCUGUAAUUUCCACCAUAGCUUACAGGCAAAGGCCCUGCUCAUAUCGGCGAACGAUCGAAAACCCAAACCCCCUUCAGUAACAAGGUAGCAACACUUGUCCCAGGGCCUCCACCGAAUGCCCCUCUCCCCUCGGAGUUUGUCCCACAGAAAAAUGUUACAUAUCCUCUCCAAUUUUUGAAUCACAGCUUUGGGGAGGCACAUUACCUGCAGCAAGUACAUCGGCAUGGAGGAUAGCAUAUGACGCAACAAGAUCAACUUUCCACCUGAGAAAAGCAGACGCGAGCUCCAGUGAAAUAGCCGAUCCCGCAUCUUAGCCACAAGGCCAUCAAAUAAGCAACAAGUAGCUCGUCCCCUUGAGAGUAGCGCACCUAGGUAGGUGAACGGGAGUACCUGCUGUCGGAAUUGGAGCUUCGACAUUACCAAACGUGUCUGAUCCUCCGAAGCCCUAUUCGAGAUGAUGAACGAACUCUUGGUUAUAUUAACCCGUUGACCUGAAGACGCUUGAUACCUACCAAAUAAGUCGGAAAGCGCAUCCAGACAGUCCUCAGAGCAUCUAGCAAAAAUCAGGAUAUCAUCAGCAAACGCGAGAUAAGGAACCCGACUACCGGCGGAACCAUAAAAUCUACUCUCUUCACGCUGAAAUAGGCACUGCAACCCCCGACCUAAGAAUUCUGCCACUAAAACAAAUAAAGCCGGCGACAUUGGAUCCCCCUGGCGAACCUCCCUGGAAGAUUUAAAGUAGCCCGCCGGGGCGCCAUUCACCAGAACUGAGAACCAGUUGUUCGACAAAGAUCGAAAAAUUAAAUCAACGUUCCCCUCAUCAAAACCAAACUGGCGGAGCAUGAAAAGAAGGAAACUCCAUUCAACCCUGUCGUAAGCCUUUUUCACAUCCAACUUCAGUAUCAGGUUCGAAUGUUUCAGCUUUCGAUCCAGAUCCAUAACCAACUCCUAUGCCAACAAAAUAUUGUCCGCUAUCCCCCUGCCUGGUACAAACCCCGUCUGCCAGACGGAGGCCAACUUGGGGAGCAGUCGAUUGAAGUGGUUUGCCAAAAUUUUGGAUAUCAGUUUUGAACUAAAGUUACUGAGGCUAAUAGGUCUAUACUCUUUCCACUGCGAAGCCCCCAUUACUUUUGGGAUAAGAACUAUUAACGUGCUCGUAAACCCCCGAGGUUGCUGCCCACCUUCAAAAAAUUCCCGUACCGCAUUGAGCAGAUCUUCACAAAUUAUCAACCAGCAGCUUUGAUAAAAGCCUGUACUAAAGCCAUCGGGUCCAGGCGCACCUCUGGUGACAUAAAGAAAACAACAUCCUUCAACUCCUCCAUGGAUGGCAGAGUGUGCAACUCCAAGUUUUCUAACAGGUUCAAUUUUGGGACAGGAAAGUCCAAUUGCGAGGCCACCCUCCGUUCUCGGUCCGAGGAAAUAAAGUGCUAAAAAAAUUCACAGCCAAGGCCUUUAUACCCUCCAUAUCCUCAAUCCAGUGCCCCGCGGCAUCCUUAAUUUGGGAAAUAAAAUUCAUACUCUACCUUUGUUUAACCACUGAGUGAAAAAGCUUGGUAUUUACGUCACCCGCCUGAAUCCAUUUAAUUGCCGAUUUCUGUUGCUAGUAUUCACACUCAACAGCCAGGGCACGAGCGUGAGUCGCUCUAGCCUCCCCCAGCCUAGCCUUCGUUACCUCAUCCCGGGUAAUGUCAUAUUCCACUUCGCGUUGACGGAGAAUGUCCUCGGCCUCCCUAAUUUUCUGAGAUAUGUUACCAAAGGAGUCCCGAUUCCACUGGCGUAGCCUAGCUUUUGUAUUACACAACUUGUAGAAAAAAACCCUCAUCCCUGUGGCACCCAUCGGAAUCUGCCAGGCCUCCCGGACGAUUGCCAAGAACUCGGGGAGGUUCCUCCACACAUUCAAAAAUCGAAAGGAGGAGGCCAUAGCGGUGACAUCUCCACACCUAAUCCACAGCGGGGCCUGAUCAGAGCGACCGCGCGACAGGUGAAAAACAUUAGAGCUCCCAAACAACUCAUUCCAUGCACCAUUAUGCAGAGCUCUAUCCAAACAUUGCCAUACCACACCAUUAGUCCAAGUGAACUACGCCCCCUCAAAGCCGACAUCCGAGAGCCCACAAUUAAAAACUGCGUCAUUAAACUCCUCCAUAUUCUGAGGGUUGGGUGGGGCACCUCCUGACAGCUCAUUGACAUUUGAAAUAAUAUUAAAAUCGCCGGCCACCAUCCACGGGCCCUGGUACCCAGUGGAAACCGCCUCCAUGGCCUCCCAUAACUGGCGCCUCCCCACCCUUGUGCAUUUCGCAUAAACUGCCAAACAUUGGAAGGUGGAGCCCAUCCACCCAACCUCCAUGUGCACCAAUUGAUCACCGAAUUCGUGGAAAUGGAGCAUCAAGUCAUCACAAUUUUACCGCCUAACACUGCCUCGACCUUCGUAAAACGCAAGAAACGGCGAAUAGCAUCGACCUGCCCUCCCUCCGUCAUCGGCUCCAGUAGAACCAGCAAACGAAUAUGGUGCUGAGCACACAAGUUUUUGAGAUAUCUCUGAGAGUCCUUACGUGCGAUCCCUCGUACAUUCCAAACCAGAAAACUAAUCUGACUUAUCAUUAGAGGAGCGAGAUGACUUAGCUUGAGAUAAUAAUACCUAUAGUUUUUUGUUGUAGUUAACCAGGCGACCCGACUUCCGAAAUAACCUGUUCAGUAGCUCAACAUCCGUUGAGUCAAUGACGCCCCUAGGAGGCACCUGAUGGUCAUCUGAAAUGGCCUUGAACCGACGCUCCAAUAACCUAUGAGACUCCAGAAGGCUUUGAGAAGAUGGGUCAACUGGCACCGCCAUGGAAGAGGAGCGUGACCGGUGCAGUGGUUUAGCACGUGAAGAAGAAACAGGCGAAGGCCCCAGAGAGCAACUCCUGCCUCUUUUCGUUAUUUCCAGCUCGCCCCCUGCCUCCUCCUCCAUUUCGCCCAAGAUCGUAAAUGGCUUGAUAUACUUGUACUUGACUUGAUAUAUACUUGUUUAUUGUUGCAAUUGACUUGAUAUACUUGUACUUGACUUGUAAGUGUUGAGCGGCAGCAUGUACCACACUCAAUGUGAGUGGGAGGUGCCUCUCAUUCCCGUCUUUAUACUUUUAUUUUGAUUCAGUCGAUUGGAGAUGAUAUCUCAUCGACUUCUUGGGGACCCAAACCCCACUAGCUAGUUAAUCGAGUCGAACCGGCAAGGGUUUGAUCGAUUAGAUAACGAACCAUAGGUAUCUAGUGUUGUCGAGUGGAGUGUUAUCUCCUCGACUAAUCGAUAUACUCGAAUAUUACCACCAGUGUUUAUCUUCGAGUUCGGGCCCGAUAAGGGGUUUGGUUGGUGGACGGAGAUUGGAGUUGAGUGGUGUACUACUGGACUAGUUACCUUACUUGAAAGUUGACGGAGUGUCAACUAUUACUGGAUCAAUCUUUGGUGAUGAAAUGGGAAUUUGGCUCCUGUGAGCCAUCCGUAUCCUUAUACUUUGGAAUGAUUAGUACUUAUCGUGUUACUGUUUCGUUUUAAAAGAAAAACUUUACACUCGCUCACUUAGAGAUUUGCUACUUGAAGUGCUAUUGCUCACUUUUAUGAACUUUUCAUGCUCCUUAUUUUGCUACGUGAUAUUUGUACUUUUCAAUAAUGGUCACCUUGCUAUUUGGAAUCUCACUGGAUUUUUAGCUCAUUCCACGCCAUUUAUUUUCCUUACAGGGGGUACGAGCGAGGCGUGAGACGUGUACAAAUUAGCGUAGUCUAGUUGUUUUUGAAUUUUGAAUUGUACUCGUGCUAGCACCCGACUAGGGUUGGUUGUACUUGAAUUGUAAACGCUUUGAAGUAUUUUGGUGUGUAGAAGAUUUGUAUCUGGAUUUGAGCAUCAAUGUAUAUAUUAAGUUGAAGUGGCUGUGUUAUUUAUUUUCUAUGGAUGUACGUUAUUUUUCUUGAGCUCUGAGUGAGUGAGUCCUGACGAGAGUUGGACAGGUGACCCGCCAAACUCUGGGGUACGCCCUAGGGGGAGGUGGGGCCGUCACAGAGACAACCUUGAAUUGGGAUGUAAGGGGUAGAUUAGUCUCGUCUACACUUAUCUCAGGAAUUCGAGCUAGGAAAAUGUUAAGUAAGGGAGCUCAGGGAUAUUUGGCUUUUCUUAUAAAUACUCCUAUGGAUAAAGUGAGAUUGGAAAAUAUGCCUGUAGUAAAGGAGUAUCCGGAUUUCUUUACCUUCGGAAAGGAAAAUAGCUUUAAGAUUGAUGUGACUCUGGGAGUAGCACCUAUCUCUAAGACACAGUAUAGGAUGGCUCCAACUGAAUUGAAAGAGUUGAAAUUGCAAUUACAGGGUUUACUAGAGUGAGGUUUUAUAAAGGAGAGUGAUUCACCGUGGGAAGCCCCAAUCUUGUUUGUUAAGAAGAAAGAUGGGAGUUUAAGACUGUGUAUAGAUUACCGAGACUUGAACGAUGUCACCAUUAAGAAUAAGUACCCUUUGCCCUACAUUAAUGAGUUAUUUGACCAAUUGCAAGAGGCUAUUGUAUUCUCAAAAUUGGAUCUCAGACAGAGUUACUACCAGUUGAGGAUUUUGAAAAAGGAUAUACCCAAAACUGCCUUUAACUCGAGGUAUGGACACUUUGAGUUUGCUGUGAUGCCAUUUGGAUUAACGAAUGCACCUGCGACUUUUAUGGAUUUAAUGCAUCGAGUCUUUAAGUCUUAUUUGGACCAAUUUUUGGUAGUAUUCAUCGAUGAUAUACUGGUGUACUCUAAGACCUUGGAGGAUCACGAGAAACAUUUGAGAAUUAUUUUACAAACUUUGAGGGAACAUCAGUUGUAUGCUAAGUUUAGCAAGUGUGAGUUUUGGUUGAAGGAAGUGACAUUCUUAGGUCAUAUAAUUUCCAAUGAUGGGAUUAAAGUGGAUCCAGUCAAAGUGGAAGUAGUUUCAAAAUGGAAACAACCGGAAAAUCCUACUGAAGUUCGAAGUUUUAUAGGAUUAGUAGGGUAUUACCGGAGAUAUAUCAAGAAUUUUUCUAAGAUUGCUGGACCUAUGACUGAGUUGACUAAGAAAAGUGGAAAAUUUAUAUGGAGUCCUAAGUGUGAAGAAAGUUUCCAAGAGUUAAAGAGACGUUUGACGAGAGCACCCAUAUUAGCUCUACUGAAUGGGAAGGAUAGUUUUGUGGUCUAUACAGAUGCUUCAAAGGAAGGUUUGGGAUGCGUAUUAAUGCAAAAUGAGAAGGUGAUAGCGUAUACCUCUAGGAAAUUAAAGCCGCAUGAGAGAAAUUACCCAACUCAUGACUUGGAGUUAGCGGCUGUAGUGUUUGCAUUAAAGAAGUGGAGGCAUUACCUUUAUGAAGUGACGUUUGAGGUUUUAACGGACCACAAGAGUCUUAAGUAUUUAUUUUCUCAAAAUGAGCUGAACUUGAGACAACGUAGGUGGAUGAAAUUCUUGGAAGAUUAUGAUUGCACAAUAAAGUACCAUCUAAGGAAAGCCAAUAUAGUGGCCGAUGCUUUAAGUCGUCAAAUGCAAGUGGUAGGAUUGAUGAUUAAAGAGUUGCACUUGUUGGAGGAGAUUAGUAUCUAGAACCCUCGACUUGAACCGAGAAAAGUGAUUCUUGGGAAUAUCGUCGUGAAAUCCACUUUGUUGGAACGUAUUAAGGAGACUCAGGGAAAUGAGUGCAAAAGUGGUUCGAGAAAGUCAAAAAAGGAGAGAGGUCGGAUUUUAACUUGGGAGUGAAUAGUGUGUACUCAGGUUUUGAAAUCGGAUAGUAGUGCCAAAGGACGAAGGGCUUAGGAAGGAAAUUUUGGAAGAAACACACCGAUCUAAGUACAUGGUACACCCUGGAGGGAAUAAAAUGUACUAGGACUUAAAGAGUUUGUACUGGUGGGAGAACAUGAAGAAGGAAAUUGCCCAGUUUGUCCAUACCUACUUAAUUUGCCAACAGGUUAAAGCCGAACAUCAGAAACCAUCAGGUCUUUUGCAACCUUUAGAGAUACCCGAGUGGAAGUGGGAAAAUAUCACUAUGGAUUUUGUAUCUGGAUUACCUAGGACACGAAAGGGUCAUGAUGCCAUUUGGGUGAUAGUGGAUAGGUUGACUAAAUCGGCUCACUUUCUGCCGAUUAAUAUGAAAUACCCGUUGGAGAAGUUAGCUAAGUUAUACUUGGAUGAGAUUAUAAGGCUACACGGGAUACCUGUAAGUAUUGUGUCCAAUCGAGACCCUAGAUUUGUCUCGCAGUUCUGGCAAAAGAUGCAAGAAGUGUUGGGGACAAAAUUGAAUUUUAGUACCACUUACCAUCCCCAGACUGAUGGACAGUCUGAGAGGAUGAUUCAGACUCUCGAGGACAUGUUAAGAACUUGUAUCUUGGAUUUUGGGGAGAGUUGGAGUAAGUAUCUGACUUUGGUGGAAUUUGCCUAUAAUAAUAGUUUUCAUUCUUCCAUGCAAAUGGCUCCGUACGAAGCACUUUAUGGUCGGAAGUGUAGGUCUCCGAUUUGUUGGGACGAAAAAGGUGAAAGGAAAGUUUUGGACCCGACUACGGUGCCUUGGAUUGAAGAGGCGAACGAAAAAGUGAAAUUGAUAUGCCAGAGGAUUCAAACCGCACAAAAUCGUCAAAAAAGUUAUGCAGAUAACCGAAGGAAUGACUUAGAAUUUGUGGUUGGGGAUCAAGUUUUUCUUAAGAUUACUCCUUUAAAAGCAAGUUUGUUGGCAGGAAAAGGAAAGAAAUUACAGCCGAGAUUUGUAGGACCUUAUAAGAUCCUUCAACAUGUAGGAAAUAUGGCCUAUAAGUUAGAAUUGUCACCAAGUCUAUAUCAAAUUCACAAUGUUUUCCACGUGUCCAUGCUCAAGAAAUAUCAUCCAGAUCCGUCUCAUAUCCUGCAACCGGAGAAUAUUGAAAUUGAUGAAGCGCUGACCUAUGAAGAGAAACCGAUAAAGCUUCUAGAUCGUAAGGUGAAAGAAUUGAGGACUAAGGGGAUUCCAUUGGUGAAAGUCCUAUGGAGAAACCACGGACUGGAGGAAGCAACUUGGAAAAUUGAAGAAGAGAUUCGAGAAAAGUAUCCAGACAUGUUCUCAGAUCAAGGUAUAAUUUCGAGGACGAAAUUUUCUUAAUGUGAGGACUCAUGUUUUUAUUUCUAAAAUAUUUAUUUUUAUGAUUAUUUGCCCUAGGAUUAGUUAGUUAUAUUAUCGUUACGUGAAUCAUUUUAUAAAUUUCGCCUUAUCGCGCGCGAAUCGAAAGUUCGCGCAUUUCACGUCAAAACGAUUAAGUGGAAAUUUAAGAAACUAUACUAGACUACUAAGAGUGAAUAAUUAUAAUAUUAAAGGAAUUACAUUUGAGGAUUAGUGCACAAGUGAAACAAACAAGAGAGAAAACAGUGGUACGACACCCGCGCGUGACACUAUUCUUAGUUGACUUUUGAACACCUUUUAGCCACAAAUUUCUUCAGCUUCCAAGAGAAGCUUCACAACACCAACCACACUCUCUCUCCUCUCCAUAGCCGGCCGAAACAGCAAGGACAAGAAGAAGAGAAGCUCCACUCCAUUUCACUUCAUCUUGCUUCCAAAUCACUUCUAACUUUGCAUCCAACCUCAAAACCACUUGAAGAUUAGCUUGAGCUUGGUGAAAGGCUUCAUCUUGCGGUGAUUCUUGGAGGUUUUUGGUGGUGAAAUUUCUGGUUCUUUAAGGGGUAAGAGAUACACUUCAAUCCAUCCUUUUAAUUCAAAGAUUUAUGGUUGGUUGUGCAAGGGUUUGCAACCCAAAGCUUGAACUAGGUAGAGGACUUGAGCAACCCACUUUAUCUUGCUUUAAUCUUUAGGCAGAAGUCUUGAAGUGACUUAUAGGUAGUGGGUUUGAGGUGUAACUACUUGAAUAUGAUUGUUAUGUGUGUAGAUGAAAAGAUUAUGGUGAGAAAUGAAGGAAAGAUCGAAGGAAAAUUGCGCAUGGAUGCUGGCUGAAUUUGUCAUGUUAUUGCCUUGCCUAUGUUUCAAAUUUUUGAUGCUCAAAUGACUGUGAAACUGAUGUAUAUAUGUGGCAUAUUGUGUGUAGAAAGUUUCUACCAAAAAUCAUUUGAUUUGGUUGAGAAAAACUUGAAUUUUCGAAAUUUGAAGAAAUCUGGAAAUGAGUUCUGUCUGUCCAAACAGUGUACCUUUGAUUGAACAUAACUCUUUGUACAAAAGUCAAAAUCGAGUUCCGUUUGCGGCAUUUGAAACUAGACACUUGUAGCUUUCCAACGGUAUAAAAUUCACCUUCUAGUUCGAAAUGAGUGAACCGUAGUGGUCUGGAAAAGUUGUUGUCCUGUUUUGAUGGUCUGUCCGAGAGGAUGGUAGAAGUUGCAUUUUGUAGCUCUAUUUUCUCUCAUUUAUGAACUGAUUUUGAAAACGACUUUUUCUGACAAAAUAUAGAUCUUUGAAUCUAGUUUCCAACGCCACCAACCAUUCUCAAUUCCAAGCUGUAUUGAGUGAGAUAUGGUUCAAUUUACAAACUGUGCCAAAGCUGGAAAUCUGGAAAACCCUUUCUUCUUGCUAGCCGACUGGUUAAGUUUGAUUUGAGACGUUUUGUUUCGAAAAUCUUGAUGUCCAUUGCUUGUCAAAUACUUAUUAAGUGUUCCUAGAACCUUGGGUUCAAAAAUGGAUAGAAUUGGAGUUGAUUUCAUUGGGCAAAAUGUUUGAAAAAGGAAAAGAAAGCAAGAAGAUAGAUUUGCUUUAAGAAUUUCCUAAACUUUGGUAGUUUUGUUAACUACCUUCCCGUACGAUUUUUACAUGAAAUUUGAUAGAGUAAUUCUCCUGUGGAAGUCGAAUUGUACCAAAUUUGGUGUUAUUCUGAGACCAUUUCGAUACCCAAAUGAUAUCCCAAAGUGUACUUUAAAAUCUGGAAAUUCACUGUUUAGUAGUGAAAAUUUACCGACUUUGAACCGCUAUAUCUUGAUACUCAAGACUCCGAAUUUAGUUCCGCUUGCUAUGUUUGAAACUUUGUAUGAAACUCUUAUUGUAUUACGAAUUUCAAAGGCUAGCUCACUUUCUGUUAAUUUUGCCGAAUUUCCAAAGUUUACCGAAAAAUAUGACUGAAACUGCCUGGCUUGCUCAGAUCAGCCACUUUGAGUUGAAAAUUGAAUGUCUUCCAUUUAGAUUUGCCGAAAUUCUCGAAGUGGACGCCUAAAAGCUUGUUUGAGCACUUACUCCCUUAUUUUAAUUGGUGAGUGUCAAGUGCAUGAUUUGUUGCAAUUAUGUGAAUUGUUUUUUAUGGACUGAAUGAUUUACAACUGUUGACUCGAGUGUGUAUGUUAUCGCACUCGUUCUCUUUUAACUGAUUGUACAAUUGAACUGCUCAUAAUUGAACUGUAUUUGUUUGACUGGAUGUCGUUGGAGUGAAUCUCCUCGACUUAUAACUGAACUGUUUGCAUGUCGUUGGAGUGAAUCUCCUCGACUUAUACCUGAACUGUGGGGACGCCCAAAAUCUCAAUUGGCCGACCUUGCGACUCGAGCCAGCAAGGGCUUGGUCGAGAUGUUUGGUGAACCAUGAGAUAACUGUAAACUUGAUCUAUUGAGAGAUCUUACUUGACCUACUCGCGUAGUAGUGCCUUUUAUAGAAGUUCGGGCCCGGUGCGGUGUAAUGGUGGACGGAACUGUGAAGUAAGUUAAGUUCUACGGACUUAAAUGCCGAUCCGGUUGACGGAGUGCCAUCGCGAGGAGGUAUUCGACCAAGCCUUGGUGAAGCAAGUGAAACCUAGCUCCUAAGAGCUCCUGUAUCCUCAUGGAAUGUGUUUAAUUGAAAAUUGCAAAUUGCUUGAAUAUUACAGCUUUAUUUCUUACUUAAAUAUUUUUGCUACAUGAACUAUGUGUUUGCGUGUUUUCUUGGCCUCACUGAGCGUUAACUCAUCCCAUUAGAUUUGUUUUCUUUAGCAGGAACCGAGAUGGAACGGGUUUUGGAGAAGCCGACCUAAGGCACUUUUGAUUAGGAUUUUGAAUGUUUUGGGACUAGACAUCUUUUCGAAAUUGUAUAUUUUGGGAAAGUGAAUCUACUUUGAAACUUGUGAUGUAAAAUUGAAUACUCAUGUAUGAAAAUGACUUCUUGUCUUUAUUUCGACUUUGGUUAUUAGUCGUUAUCCUUUAAGUUUGAACUGGAAUUGUUCUGAGUCCUGGCGAGAGUUGGGCAGGCACCCCGCCGAUACCCUUUCGUUCGCCUUAGGGAGAAGUGGGGGCGUCACAGAACCUACCUGGUCCAAGUUGUCCGAGGCCAUGGCAUUGGCUGGGACUGUCCCCACCUCCCCUUCCUCUGAUUGUAGCUUCAAGGAGUGGACGCACACCUCCAGCUCUGGUAGGUCUGCACUCCUACCCGUCGGGCAGUUGUCAAGGUGCCCAACCUCCACAUCAAGCUAUUGUUUUGAAGUCUUACCUAUCCCCUGCUUUGACAAACGCACCCACACCAAUGCCCCAAACCGAACCUCUUGUUCCCCUCCCGCAUCUGGAAAUCCCGUAGAAGGCCCAUUCGCCCCGUACUGGAGCUUUUAGCGGCGCCUCUUUCUCCUGUCGGGGCAGAAGCUCAGGAAACUUCUUGAAGUAGCCCUUCUCUGCAUGGCCCAACUUCCUGCAGAAGCCACAGAAGGAAGGCCAAACUUCGUACUCCACUGGCUGCCAUUGUCCGUAAUCCUCAUCGCCAAUCCAGACCCGUUUGAUCGGUUGUUUCGAAACAUUGAUCUCGAUCAGCAUGCACGCAAUAGAAGGACAUUUCAGUUGUAGGGUAGCUGCAUCCAGUUGUAAUGGCCUACCCAGUAGCGACCCCAACUUCAACAGAGAUCUCUUAUCAAAGAACGGGAAGGGCAACCCUGGGAGAGUUACCCAAACCGGGAAGAUGGAGCAGUCCCGAUCCGCCUUGAAGUCCAUCGACCAUUUAGAAAUAUCCAUCGGAGCGUUCUGGAUGUACCAUGUACGGAGGACAAAAAGCCUGGAAUAAUCCUCUUCGAGAGAAGGUCGGAUGAGCACGUGCUUGGAGUCCAAUAAUCCUACCGAACACUCUCCUUUGAGACCUAAGAUAUGAAAAACUUGCGAAUACUCUCCAUUGAAGGUCUGCGCAAAGCAAACCUGCCGAUAAGGGCAUUGCGAAAGCUGCCAAGUCAUGCCUGGACAGAAUAAGGGCUAGUUCUCCCCUAUGAACCCCAAGAGAGCCGAGUUCUAGAGCGAUCAGCGACUCACCACCAGCAGUAACAUCCGCGAAGGACUUAGUCCCUCCGUGAAGAUCCUGAGAAGAGGUAGAGGCCACGGGCCAAGGGGCUGCCAUGGCCUCGACCACCGGAGAAGAAAAGACUGAAGAAGCCCUAGCCAUUAGGAAAAACCCUAGUGUCCUCACUUCAUGUCAAAACUUGAAUUUUAUUUUGACGAUUCUGCCUCUCCUUGAAUUUGCCUUCCUUCCACUUAUCCCUUCAUAAAUAUUAUUGCGGCUUACACAUUUUAUUUCGCAUAUCAAUUUCCGUCAUUUAACAAAUGCUAACAAUCAAGUUUUCAUCUAGAAUUUGAAUAUACUACAAUCUGCUUGUUAUUAUUUAACUUAUAAGUUUAUUUGUUUCUCGUGAUUAAACAAAUUGAUUGUACCCUGAAUUAGUAUAGGAUCAACCCUUAUAGGAACUAAUAUUGACUAGAAUAAGAAAAGUAGUAGGGGAAUAAUAUGAUAAUAUAAAAAUGUGGGGCAAUUGUUCAAAUAAUUCUUGACAAUCUUGUAUGUUUGACAAGUGGAUGAUGACUAAGUGCCAAGUGCCAACAUCGUGUACAAGACCUCAAUUUCUUUAAGUUCAAAUUCCCCUUGUCUUGCUUCAUUUAGCUGAGAGAAAACAUUAGACAAAGCUUUCCUUGUUUUGCUCCAUUAGUCAGUCGAAAGGAAAUGUAGAAAAGUUGAGAGGAAAUCUAGAAGCCUUGCUUCCUAGAUUCAGCUGAGAGGAAAAGGAGAAAGUUGAGAGGAAAUUGAGUGUUUUGUUCCAUUUCUCUAGCCAAGAGAGUUGGUGAGUGAAGGAGGAGAGGAAGCAGCUCAUUCUUCAAGCUUGGACCGAGCAGAAAGAAAAGGAAGGAGAGCUAACUUUCAGCUUGUUUUGCAGGAAAAAAAAAAUAAGGUAACAUGGCUUAGAAACUUCAAUUUUCAAUAUACUUUGGAGAAAGUUAGAUGCAUGCUUGGUUUGAGGUUUGAUUGAAGUAAAAACUAGUGAUAGGAACCUGUUUAAUGCUGGAAAUUUUCCAGCUUUGGGCCGAGUUAAGGAAGCUUAUUUCUUUCCAGCUUUAGGUUUAUAUUAUGUUGCAAGUUGCUAGAAAAUCUUUUACUUCUUUUGGUAAAUGAAUGUUGGUGAAAAUAUGGGAUGCACGUGAGCUUCAUGGUCGCUGAAAUUUCCAGGUUGAAACUAAGAGUUGAACUAUGCAUUUUCGGUUUCUAGUUGCAAUUUUUGUUGAGUUUUGCUGGAAAUGCAUGAUUACUAUUUCACUCUAUGUUAUAAGCAUGUUGGUAUGUGACUUAAGGUUGAAAGUAGGUAAGAAAGGUGCUGUUUUGGGUGAGAAAAUUGAAGAAAGUUUGCUGAAAAUUUCCAGCCUGAACCAUGUGAGAUGAGCUGUGAUUUCUAGCUUUAUCUCCAUAAAAUUUCCUUAGUUUGGUAACAAACUUCAUAUAUCAGUCAUCUUCUUGAUCUAGUCAUACAUGUGAUAUUUGAAGUGAAGUGUUAAAAGCAAGAAAAGAUGAACUUUUAAAGCAACACCAAAACUGGAAUUUCAAGACAGCAAACUAGGAGGAAAAAGCUGCAACUUUGGUUAUUUUCUUUGAAAGUUUUGCUAGAUUAUGACUAGAAUACAUGCUUUAUGUCUUGUAUAAUGUUGAUACUAUGGUGCAAACUUGAGUGUUAUAGUUGGUUUCUUGCUAGACAGUCAAGCUAUGGCCGAGAGGAAAGACAGUUUGGUUUCUUGACCUUUCAUCCGAAAUUUCUAAGAGUUUAGCUAGGAAAUUCCUGUUAUAUGACCAAUACAUGUCUACAUCAAUGUUGCAUGCUAGUUUUCCUUGGUGAAAAUUUGAUUAAUGGGGCUGAAAUGACUAAACCGCAUGACUGUUAGCUUGUCCGAUGGAAUGUAGCUUAACUCCCAUUUUGUGAACCGAAGUUUAUGCAAAUAUUGGUUAAAUUAUCCUAUGGUACUCUGCUUUGCUCUGUAUAUUAUGCCUACCUUGAUUUGAGAGGAAAUAUCGAGCCUUUAGGGGAGAAAUCUGGAGUUAGUUGACCUUACAGGACUAUUUUACAUAGUUUGGAAUAGUUGGGGAAAUUCAAGCUAUUUUCUGAAAAUUUUAAUCAAACUUUGAAGUAAGAACAACCUAUAAGAAUAACCGUAAAAUGCAGGUUGGCUUUUGGGAGAUUUGAACGAAGGAAAUAGUGAACUUUGGACCAAAAACAUGAACCAUAUCCUGCUAAAACAUGUUUUCAAGAAUCCUAACUUAGUACUUAGAUUCUAUAGCUUUUAACUUCGAAAUUCUAUGGUAUAAACGAACCAAAACUGAUCAAAACUUCUCUAAGUUACCUUAUAAAAGUUUUACUUAGAAAACUCAUCCAAAAAUCUGGGGCAAAAUCAAGGAACUUUAUAAGAUCUCUAAACUGCAAAAUUCUAGAAAACUUACAUUGACCCUUGAUUUUAAAUGAUCUUGAAAACUUAAAUCCCGACUUUUAUUGCCAAGUAACCACCUUACCUUUCUUUACUUUGAUAAAAUAUGGAAUUUUAGGGCUUAAGAGAUUAAAAUUACCUAGACCUUGAAUCUUUAAUGAACUAGGAUAAGAUAAGUAUUAAGACCACUUUAAAACUCCCUAUAAAUAUAUAUAUAUAUAUACAACUAAACAUUUUGGAUUAUAUAUGCUUUAGUCUAGAUAAUCAUGUGAACCUUAUCUUCACCAUUUGGAAAAAUAAUAAGUAGCCUAAUAAGUUUAUAACUAUCUCAGGAGCCAAGGGAGAACCGAAGGAGGGUCUAGGUACCGGGGAGUGAACUCAAAAUAUUUUGGGUGAGUGUUUCCACAUUUGUGGAUUUAAAUUACUUGUGUGGUUAUAUGAUUAUGCCAGUGCUUUAUUAUAAUGUGUUUCAAUUGCCCUUUGUCAUAUAAAGUUGAGAGUGUACUUUAUCACACUCGACUUAGCUUGAGUUUGAAGAUUUAUAAUUGUCAUGUUGUUGUUAUAAGCGCACAUGACUGUAAACCAUGUAUGUACUUCAUCGUACCAGCUAAACUGGACCCCAAACCCUCUGUUCAACAGACUCUUUGAGCUUGUAAAGGGCUUGGUCAGAUAGGACAGUAGCUUUGGGUGAGUGUAUUGCUAUACUCGAGUACUACCACGGAGUAGCGGAAUAUUGAUAUGGCCAUCUAAGUGAGGGAAAUGUUUAAUUUUUUGGAGGUUAUAAGGGGAGGUACGGUGGAGUAUGUAGUGCAUUGAAGUGACUCUAAUACGAGUAUUGUAUCCUUUUAAAAGUGAAUGCACAGUAAAGUGUUUCUUGUUUGUUUAAUUUUGUUACUUGUUUAAGUGUUUAAUUGAUGGAUGCAUGUGCGGAACCUCAAUGGGUUUCGCUCAACCCAUUAGUUUGUUUUCCUUAUAGGAAUAAAGGAUGGGUGCAAAGAGUAGCCGGAACCUUAAGCCGAGUCUUGAAGUGUACGAGGAGGAAUCCUUUUGUACUUAAUGUUUUAGUUUUGCUGACCUUACUACCUUUAAUGGUUGUACAUAUUAUGAAGUUGUAGGCUAAGACUACUAUACUUUUGUUUGUCAUGCACCUAAGUAUAAAGAAUUGUAAAUGGUUUUAGUUAGUGAAAUGUUAUCUCUAAAGUUAAUGUGAGUGAGUUCAUUCAAGUGAGAGCCAGGCAGGCAGUCCACUUAAUUCUUUGAUUCGCCCUAGGAUGUGGUGGGGUGGGGUCAUCAUAGGAUCUCCAUCAGAUGAUAAUCCUUCUGGGAUUUAAUCCUUCUAGGAUCCACCCAUCAAUCUGGCAAAGAUCCUUACGGAUCCUAUCACAGAUCCAAAACCCUAGGUAGAUUUUUUUUUUUUUACACAUUUUGAAAUUUUCUAAAAAAUUUUGGUACUUCUAAAUAUCCAAAAACAUCUUUAAUUUUAAUCAAAUUAAAAUACAUAUAGCACAAAAAAUAAAAAAAAAAUAUGAGUCCUUUCAAAAUUUCUUUUCGAGACCAAAACAAAUAAAGAAACCAAUUCUCCACUCGGAAACCGAUUUUCUUAUAAAAUUUUAAUUAGUUUCUAUUCUUGCUUCAAUUCUUUUUAGUACCAACUUUCCAAAUCCAUUUUUAAUUUCUAAAUAUGCUUUCUCAUCAUCUCAUGUAUGAAAAAUUGGAUCAAAUGUAGCCAAUUCAACAUGAACCAAAACCGAUAAACUUUGUUCACCAAAAUCACAUAACCUAUGCAAUUUUUCUUCAAAUUUUUUCUGCCAAUUUUGUCCUUAUCUUUUAAACAUAAAAUUUAUUUUAAACCAGAAAAUAAAUUUGAAGCAUCAAAACUUUACAACAGACUUUUACAAGAAUUUUUUGUUUAGAAAAACUUAAACUUUAACUUCAAGAAUAGCAUAUAACUUGAUCACAUCAAUAUACAUAACAACCGAAUAAACAAAUUACACGAUUUAAUCAAAAUUGGUUCUGAUAGCAUUGUAAGGAACCAAGCAUACAAGUAUAGUUGAAUUUUAAAAUUUUCUAUUCCUAUAAGUUCAUCAAGCUUUGAUUAGCGUUCAUGUGGUAAGAGGUAAGUGUAGAAUUAUACCUUAAACGAUGAACCAUUAUCCACUUUGCAAGAAGAACACACGUAGGUGAAGGUAGUCGGCUUGAAGUCCAACCUCCAAUAGUGAUAACUUACAAAGUACUCUUUUUUAAGAUCCAAGAAAUUCUAGUACCUUGAUAAAACUUUGUAAUCCCCUUUCCUUCUUUUAAUUGACAUAGCCCCCCUUAUCUCACAAAAUGAGGAUGCUACAUUGCGACUGGUCGGGAUAGCUCAGAUGAUAGAGCAGAGGACUGAAAAUCCUUGUGUCUCUAGUUCAAAUCUGGCUCCUGGCACAUGAUUAGUUUUUAUAAUUCUCUCUUGUAUAAAUUAAUUGAUAUGAAUCGACAUUCAUAUUUGUAGUUUAGAUCAUAAUAAAUACAUGAUGUUUUCCACUUCAGCCAAAUAUACCCCAUCUAUUUUAUAGAUGGGUAGAACUUUUUAGAUAACGUACCUAAAAGAAUUGGAUUCUAUUUCUUCAUCUUUUUUAUUUCUGCUCUUCUUUUGUUCAAAAAGAAUGUUAAUACUUCAUAUAUAUUCAAAAGACAUUCAAGGGGUUAAUUUAAUUGGUUGAGAUCAAAUCUAGAGGAAUUGAAAUACACAAGAGAUGCAAAUAAAUAGAAUCCAAUAUCCUUUAAUUUCUUUGUAUUUUUGUCCAUAUUCAAUUUCAUCAUUCCUACUUACAUAACUUUCUAAAACCCUUUAAAUAAUGUGCAUAGGGGAAAGUAAAAAUUCAUGAUGUAGAAGUUCAUCCUCUUUGUUCAUCUCAUCUGAGAUAAGCAUCUUACAAACCAAAUAAAUGGGAUGUAAGAAUACCAAUGAAUCUCUAAGAAUACCACAUGAGUCCUUUGUGCGAGAACCUCUUUUGGUAGCAACGCCUAAGCAGGGUAGUGCUAGCCAACUACCAAGAUUAGUCCUCACAAUUUGGUGUAUUUUUUAUGGUGAAAAACCCUAAUUUAAUGAACUAGGAAAAUCAGCCAAAAGGAGAUAGAAAGAGAUGAAUUUUUCUCUUCUGAAUUUUCAAGCCUGUUGUCUCUCUAGAUUUUCUCUAGAAUUAUCGCUAAACUUAUGACAGUUAGGUUAAAUACUCUAUUGCCUUCAAUUUUUUCAUCAUAUCAUAUUGGUUUUGUGCCAGGAAUUGGGUAUUAUUGAUAAUGUUUUUUUAGUUCAGGAAUUGGUUUCGGACUUAGACAGGAAAUUAGAGGAGCCAAAUUUAAUUUUAAAAUUCGAUAUGAAAAAGACCCAUAAUAGAUUGCUAGGGUUAAUUGGUUUUUUUGAUUCGCAUGUUGAUGGCAUUUGGAUUUGGUGACCGGUGGAUAGAUUUGGUGGUAUAGCUCGAUGUCUUUAGUCCUUCCGUGGUGUACGACAAGAGAAUCCAUGGUCACCAACCUUGUUUCUGAUAGCUACAGAUUUUUUAUAUAGGGGAUUGGAUCAUCAUUUCCAACGGCAUACAGGGAUGCAUAUUUCAUCUACGGCGGGUGUGGUCUCUCAUUUGGCUUUUGCAGAUUGCACUAUCAUCUUUACAUGGUAUUCUAACCAUGCUUCAAAACGGCUGGAUAGCUCAAGUUAUAUCAAUCAAUAUCUGGACAAAGAGUUAAUUUGUGAAAAGUUCCUUUGGUUGUGCAAAGAAUACUUCUCCUGCUAAGAUUAGAAUGGUGAGAUCUGUUCUUGGAUUCUGUCAAUAUAAACUUCUUUUUAGAUAUCUUGUGUGCCUCUUUAUAAAGGUAGGAACAUAGUUAGUAAAACACAUGAUGAGCAGAAUACAAGAUGUUAUACGAAUGUAUAUUAUAUGGAAUUUUUCCCAACAGUACGAUUAAAAGAUUGGCAUAAAAAUACAUGUUCAAAAAAAUUAUGCACAUAAAUUCGUAUGUGAAUAGUAUGAACACAUUUGAAAGCCAUGGAACUAAAAAUACGGAUAAAUUUACUAUAAUUUUCAAAGACAAUGCUCCAUUUAUACCAAUUUUAGACUUAUUUUUAUGAAUGAGACGUUAAAUUUAUUAAAAUUUUAUCAUUUUAUUACUUAGAUAUAUAGUUGUUUUGACAUAUAUCACUCUUAUUUUAUGUAUAACUCAAAAAGUAUGUCAUUAUCCUUAUUCAAAUUUUAAAAUUUUUUAAAAUUUGAAGUAUAAUUCAUGAAGUAUAAUAUGUUAAAAGUUUAUUAUGUGUUACACAUGGGAAAUUGAAAAAUACGAGUAUUUUUUAGAGCAUUUUUGAAAUGUAUGAAAUAUGAAAGUUAUUUUGAUUGAUAUGUAUCAACAUGUACUAUACAGGUAUAAUAUGAGUAUUUGCUAACUAUGGGUAGGAAUAAGUUUUUACUGUUCAACGAUAUUUUAUCCAAGGUGAGAUGAUGAAUUUGAUAGGUGGAGUUCAAAAUUCCUCUCUGCUAGGAGCUUAUAUUGAUGCGGCAUGUGCUUUCUUUUGUUGUUUUUUUUUUUUUUUUUGUUUUCCUGAAUUCAUAAAAGAAUUACAUUUUCAAUCACCAAUUUAAUAUGUCAAGAAGGACAAAAUAUUAAUCCAAUUCGUUAGACAAUGACAGCUCAUCUGAUUGAGCAUAUUGAAAAAAAUAGACAUUAGAAAUAACUUUUGUAUAAAAAUUAUAUGUAAACUUUUGUAUAAAAAUUAUAACUUUUGUAUUAUAAAAAAUUAUAUGUAAUGCAUUUAUGACAUUUCAAGUCAAAUAACAACCAAUCCAACAAUUGGGCUGGCUACCUUGACUGUUAUUUUUCCAUUUGAUAUACAAUCUGAGUUUCAAAAUCUUGCUCGGUACCAUUUUACUUUUACAUCAAUCUCCAUUAAGGCUACGUAUGAAUCAAGCUACUUGCAAGCAUUGGGUUUGAGCUGAGUACCUUUAACUCUGUUAUUUUUCCAUUCGAUAAACAAUCUGAGUUUCAAAAUCUUGCUCGGUACCAUUUUACUUUUACAUCAACCUCCAUUAAGGCUACAUAUGAAUUGAGCUGCUCGUGAGCCGAAAUUGGGCAUUUUAUGCCCGUCCAAACAGGGCGAAAGCCCCAAGGCAUGAAGCGCAAGUUCCACAAAUUUUUAUUUUUUAAAUAUAUAAAAAAUAAAAUAUAAAAUAAUACUACACAAAUUAUAAUAUUCAUAAAUAUUUGUGUGUAUAUAUGUUCCUAAUAAAUAUAAAAAAUUGAUAAAUUUAAGAAAAUUACAAAAAAUAUAUUAUUGUUGUCUAACAAGUAAAAUCACAACAUUACUCAUACAGCUAUCUAGAAUCAUGUUAAUAAAAAAAUAAUUAUAUUUUGGGAUCAAAGGAAAAAAAAGUCAUGGAUGCUUUUAUUUUAUAUUUCUCCCAAACUAUUUUUAAAGAGAAAAUAAAUGGAAUCAUUCUUCAAAAUUAUUAAAAAAUAAUAAGGACAAGAAACAAAGAUAACAAAGAUAAAAUAGUAAAACUAAAGUCAAAAUUAGAAAAAAAUACAAAAACGCCUCGAAUGCCCCAAACGCCAGGGCGUUCACCCCGCCCAACAACACUUAUGCCCCAUUCAAAAACCCCGGGACAUUUGGAGCUCACCCAGAAACGCCUUUUAAAACAAUGCUUAUGAUUAACAGUCAAGCAAACGCUUCAAGAUAUUUAUAGCCACUCUUUAUCCAUCUCCAUACUAUCACUUCAUACUGUUAAGCAAAGCAGAUAUAACUGCAACAUAAAAGAACUUUGAUUUUCAUAUAUAAGCCUCCAUAUAAUUUCAGAACUACCAGACUGUUUGAGUUAUUGAAUGUCUCGGUGCUAUCCAAUUCUUGUGUCCUUUUCUUAGCUUAAAUUACCCAGGAAUGGUUUCCGCAAAUCAGAAACUAUAACCCUGUGAUUGUAUUGUCCAUUUCAUUGAUUUGGCCAAGGCAAUGCAAAUGGAGAACUGUUUCAUCUUGUGGGUCAGUUAAGGACCCAUUAAACAAACAAGAGAUAACAAUUCGAACCCAGCAUAAGAAACUUAACCAACCAAAUCCAUUCCAAGUAAGACAGCAUUAGUUUUAAGUAGAGGUGUCAAAUCAAACCAUUUAAUUAAUUUUACCCAUACCCGCCCAUUAAUAACUGAAUAUGGGUACAUUAAAUUUUUAUAUAUAGGUAUAAAUGGGUUACCCAAUUAUACCCAAUUAUUAAAUGGAUAUAAUUGGGUAACCCAUUAAACCCAAUUAACCCAUUUAACUUGCAUUCCCAAACUUCUUUCUAUUUUCAGUUUUCACCGUCAAUCUUCUUCUCCUCCCCACCAGCAAGCCCACUGCUUCCCCCCCCCCUCUUCCUCCAGUGUUUGAUUCCCCUCUCCCUUCUCCCCGUCUCUGCUUAAUAGAAGGUUUUUGCCCCUUCCAUGUCCAAUUCCUGAGCUGAUUGAUGGAUAACUUUUCUAAUGCCAUUAGAUCCUAGAAACGCCACUUAUAUUUUUUAGCUCUAGUUUUUUUCCCUUCAUUUGAUACCAUUGCAUUUCUUUGCUUAAUGUUCACAGGAAUCUAAAUAUUGUGAGAAAAGUUGAAAAGCUUUGGGAGCUUGAGGUACAAGAAAAUUAGAAUCAAUCUUCAAUUUUGUUUGGAUGGAAUUGUUGGCAUAGUAUUUGGACAUGGGAGGAGAGAGACAGAGCAUAUGCUGCAGAUCCUGCACCCCGGAUGCAGUUGGUGGUAUCUGUAGCAUUUUGGAGUCUACAGGUAAGGCUUUCCUGCUUAAAUUUGUGGUGGGAUGCAUACUUAUUGGCUGUAGUAGUAUUUGAAUGGGAUCUUAAUUUUGCUGGUUCUAUGACAACUCUACUGGGAAAGUUUUACUUGUAUGCAUUCGUCUCCUUGCAAUCUGUGAAGCUGUUUGUUAUUAUUGUUCCCAGUAAUUGCAAAUUUGGAAAACUUCCAGUGCCUAGUAAUUUCUUUUUAGUCUAUUCGUAACAAAUUUGUUCAGCACUACUGGUAACAAUUUCUUGAAGGCUACAAAAUCUGCAAUGACGAGGACAAGAUUGGUUGGCCAUAGUUUUUCAAAAUUUACACGACGCUAAACUGAGGUCUAAGGAUCCAGCCAUGUUCUUUUUCUAUAACAGGAAUCUUGUUAAGUAGCAUAUUCUUUAAAUUUUUCCUAUAACAGGUAUCUUGUUAUUGGGCAUGUAAUUUUAUUUAUUUUUUAAUAAAAAUGUUGUUGGAAACGGGAUAGAAAAGCAUAGAAAAUUAACAUGAUAGAAAAGCAUAAUAUCUCGUAUAUAAUAUCAUUGACAGUAGUAUUUUAGGUUCAAUCUGAUGCAUUGUUUAGGGGAAAGUUUCUGGUAUAAAUUUGCUUCAUGUCAAUUAAGCCACACAUAACACAAAAAGGUGGAUCAUAUACACAUGAAAUCCUCUUUUUCUAUGUAAUUUGGUUUAUGUGAACGGUGGCAUAUGUCAUAAUCUACCCAUAUCCUUGUAAAGGGUAUAUUUGGCUAGGAUAUGUUUUAGGUUCUCGAUAUUGUUGUAGUGCUAGAGUUUGAGCUACAAUGUGGAAUGGAAUUUUGUGGCUUGUGUCUUGUGUAUUAUUCAGCCUUUGUUGUUAUGACAUGGUUAUAUUUGUGCCUAGUUAUGUGGAAAAUGGAAAGAUGCUGAUUUUGUUUGCAUGAUCAGGCUUAAAUUGGUUCUAGCAACCUUGUCAGGAUGCUGAUACUGAUGCACUGAAUGCAGCAGCAUCACUGUUGUAAGGUUCUCCCAUUAGAAAGAGUCAAAAAGCUAAAAAACCAAAGUGGCAAGGAACUUUUUAAAGUGCUGAAAAUUGGAAGUUGUUGAAACUUGGGCUUGGCUAUCAAGUCAUUGAAACUGGCAAGUGCAGUCAGCACAAUUAAGUCUGAGAGGGCAGGGCAGGACAAGUUAUAUGCAAGGCUGAGAGUCUUAGAUAGGAAAACAUCAGAUGAGGUGUACAAAGUUGGUAGUAUAGAUAACAGAAAUGCUAUCCCUUCAUGAUCCAACAGAUGAGUUGUCAGAGCACAUUCAGGAACUAUGUUCUUAUACAAGCCAUGAGCCUACCAAUACAGAUGAGUUGAUCCAAAGUUCUUCAAAGUGUUCGAGACAACUCACGUCAUUGAUUUGGAAGGAAUUUGAUAUAUUGUAUGUUGAACCAGAUGGUUCACAAAGAGCACAAUGUAAAUGGUGCAAGCGUGAUUAUGCAUGUGGUGGAACAACCGGAACAAGCAACUUAUGGCGUCAUCUUUCAAAUGGAGUAACAGGUAUGUUAUACUUAACCUUUUUGUGCACAUGAUCUUGUAUUUUACUUUUUUAGUCACUUAUUGAACUUUACUUUUGAUUUCAGCUUCUGAAGAUGAAGAAGAUAGAGAAAGACUGAGUAUUGACUUUGCACCUUUAGUUGCUAAACUUACUAACCUUCAUGUUGGCGGAUUCCAACAAUGAGCUGGAGGAGUUUUAUGCUAUGCUAUGCAGUUGUACGAAGCUUGUGCUUGUUAAGUAUCUUGAUAGAGUAGCUAGUUGUGGGAAUUCAAGUAGCUAUUGUUUAUUCUCGUACUGAAGGUUGGCAAGAAGUUUUGGCCAUGUAACCUUUCACUGUUCUAUCAGUUAUUUCUAUUUAUUGAAAAUUUAUCUUUGUUUGUAUGCUAAAUGAAGUGAUUGCUAAUCCUUAUCAGGAUUUUUAACUAUUUUUUAUGUUAACUAAUUUUGUUUUAUUUAUUAUAUUUAUUUGUUGAUUUUGUCUUAUCGCUUUAUUUCCUCGUAAUUUAUUAAUUUGAUCAUUGUUUAGCAUCACUAAUUUAUGACAAAUUUUAGUCUCCUUUCUUACCUUUUCAAAAUGAAAUUUUAAAUUUAUACACGAAAAAAUACUAGGGGUUCAAAGUUUUGGAUUAAAUUUUUAUGUUAACUUUCAUAUUAUUUAGUCCAAAUUUUUAGAUUCUCCUUGUUCAAUUAUUAAAUAAUAUGUAAUUUUGCGACAUAGCACGCGGAUGAAAAAAAAAUUGAUAAUUAGACUUAUUUGGCAUAAUAAGUAAAUAUUUAAAAUUAAUGAUGGGUGUAAAAUGGUAUAAAUUGAUAAUUUAGCUUGCAAAAUGAAUUUAUAUGAGUUUGUAAAAAAUUAGAAUAAAUGGAUUAUAAAUGGAUAAUUGAGUUACCCAACUCAUUUUUUGACUUACCCAUUUAUACCCAUCUAAUUAAAUGGAUAUAAAUGGGUUGACUCACUUAUACCCAUUACCCAUUUUACCCAACCCAAACCCGCCCAAAUCACCCAUUUUGCCACCUCUAGUUUUAAGACAUGCAUUGUGAAUAAAAAAUAGCACGCUUGGAACAAGCUUCUGAGCAAAAGGAUCUAUAAGGCAUAAUUAAAGAGCAAUAGGAGCACAAACCAGUCUGACCAAUUUGCAGGCACAAUAUGAGCAACGAAUCACCCUGGGUCUAACCAAUUUGGUAUUCCAGGAGCACGACCAUGCCACUGUACCCACUCUGCUUUUAGGAAGUCAUUCAAGCCAAGCAACUCACAUUCAUGAAAGCAUCAUAUGAGCGGUGCUAGAGCUAGUAAUGUUGCAACCAAACAAAUAAAGUAAUAUUACAUCACAAACUUACUGAAAGACUUGGUUAUGAGCAGCAAAAUCUCAAAAGGCCUGAUGACAUUCAUCUUUCUUAUCUAACCACAAUCUGCAGAAGAAGCCACAGCUGGUCAGUAAAAGAUCACUAGACUAACAGAAUAAAAGUUCCUAUAUCAGGAUAAAUACUAAACAUAAUUUUGUCGUGCCAACAUGUUGUUUGCUCCUUUUCUGUGAUCAUACUCAUCGCCCAUAUAGAUGAAGGAACACCUUGGUUAACAAAGGGAGUAGUCAAUGGCAGAUAAUUAACCAGAGGCAAAGAGAGAACAACUCUAAUAUUCAGUGAACAGCCAAGUCAAUCAACUCAAACAUUUGUUAAAAGAACUCAAGAAGAAAUGUCUUACUUGGGAAACCAUGCGACAGAGUAACAAGUUCAACAUCUGCCAUUUUGUCAUCUUUACCUGAGACAAUGGCAAACUCUACUUCCUGCAUAUAAAUCAAUAAUAAGUUUAGGAACCAUUCUUUUAAAGUAUAACUAACAGGCACCGGUAUUUUGAAAAUGUGUCUGAUAAAAACUAGACAAUAGCAAGAGUUUUUGAACAGUUACACAGCUAAUUCUCUGAGCUUUUAGAUCAGUUGAAGACUAACAUGCAUAAACAAAUCCUUCAAUUCACUCAAUAAAAGCCUUGUCCCGCUCGAUAAAACAAAACAAUAUAUGUUCUCCUACAAAGACAUUCUUCAAAAACCCCAAAAAAAAGGGAAGGUUGUCAAUUUUUAUUGGAAACCUAUCAAGUCCUCAUUUUUCAUUGGAUUUCUAAACCUCAUCAUUCCAAGAUUUCAGAAACUCACUACCCAACAAACUUAAAUUAGGCCUGGAAGAAUAAAAUCUCAAUUAGCAAAACACCUUUUCCAAUAAUUUCCGUCCUUUACAUAAGGAAUUUUCUUAAAAUACUAUGAUAUGCUUAAUAACCAAAGAAAGAAACUCAUCAAUUCCAACCAGGAAAAACAAAAGCUAAAUCAUCAAAUCCAACAGAAAUACUACGUUAUGAGACUGAGGGAUGUACCAUCACGAGGCCAAGAUAUGCAAUUAAGAAUUUUCUUCAUUACUUUCUACUCAAAUUUGACAAAGCACACAUGGAGAGCUAAUAUAAGAGAGCAUAAAGGACAAACUAGACGGAAAUUGGAGAUAAGGAAUCAAAUAUUAUAAGGAGUAUUGCUUCAUGUCUAUCAGCAAUAUUGACAUCUGGUGUAAUAGAGGCAUGACCAGGAAUGUACUUGGUGAUUUAAAAAACUUAAGGAGCUUGAGUUUAGCUACAUGGCUAUCAUUUGUUGUCAAUUUCAUAGCAAGAACGAACAGUAAUUUAACAUGUUAAGGACAAGGGAUCCUCCCACAAGAAACCAAAAAUUCCAGUUGGCCAGAUUUUAUUUUCUUGCUUUAUGUCAGUCAAACCAGAGCCAGAUGUAGAAAUAACAUUUUUUUUUGGUCUAGGUUGCAUUUAACCUUUCAGACAACUUCUAACUUCGAUGGUGUGGAUGCAGUUCACUUAUUCAGUUACAAAAAAAUUUCUAACCUCUUCAAGGGUGUGGAUACAGUUCACUUAUUCAAUUACGGACAUUUCUAAGUUUGAUUAUAUUUAAAAUGUCACUCUCAAAGAUAAUUGAAACUGAUUAAGCAAGCAACAACCAUUUUCUUUUUCAUCUUGCAGCAGUGCUACAGCUAAUAAUCUAGAGUCAUCUCAUUCCCCAGAAAAAUGGUAGUCAAAAGACACUAUAGAGCAUUUUAAUCGACUAGGAAUAUCCAAUAACUACCCUCAAAAAGAGAUCACCUGGCUAAAAUGUUGUACAUUCAGAAGAGAGUGCAAGCUACUGAUGACAAAAUUGUGACUUCAUAACACAACCUUACAAUACAUACUUCAAAUGUGAAUACUAGCUGCAACUAUAUGGUUGCAAGACACGUUGAGAAGCCAAUGAAAAUAGCAAAACUUUCGACGUGAACAAACUAAUAUUCAUAAACUCUGACGAAAAUAGGAAAAAGGCUCUUUCACACUCCCUCCCCAGCAAAAUAACUUAAAUGCAUGAGAAGAUUUAUCAUCAGAUGUAGCAUCACUUUAGUUUAGUUGGAUAGCCAAUGGGAACACAUAACAAUUACUAUCAAAAUGUAGACAUAGACCAAUUCAUUUUAUUCAAUCCUAUAUCAGAACAUAAAACAUAGUGAAGCAAAUUGUAUUACAAAGAUGAUUACUUGGAACUCCAUAUUUACCCAAACCACAUUUCCAACUGUUAUUUGAAUUCUCCUCAUCUUUAUUAUUUUCUCCAUUUGCUAAGUUGUGUCUGUUAUUAUUUGUCAACCGAUCAAAUAAAAUUAAAGCCAUCAUGAGCAGAGACAAAAUCAAUACAUUCCAAGGUUUCCUUUCACCUUCUUGUGGGAAUAAAUGUUCAUGAAAACAUGUCUAACAGAGCGAUGGACUUUCAAGAUAAGACCUGCUAACAAGCUGAAACAAAAAUUUGACUCCAUUCUACAGGGCCCUCGGCGCUAGGUAACAUGUUCAACAAGGCAGAGCUUCAGUCUGCUCAUGGAUAUAUCUGAAGUUGGAUUCACACUAAACAAAGUAGAUGGUCACAGUUUUUUAUUAUCACGCUACCAUAACGUAUUUAGGAGUUUCCUGUUAAUCAUAUGGCUGUAACAAAAAAAAAAUAAAAAAUCAGCCAUUACACCAAACGUAAUCUCCGAACUUAAUCCCCAAAAACAGAGUUUAUCGGUGGCAAUAGAGCCUCAAAUUAAACUGUUUCAACUUAUUCUCUGAACUUAAUCCCCUAAAGAACACAAACUAUUAGACUAGAUCCUUUCACUAAUGACGAAAUGGAAGAAAAAUUAGGGCUAGAGAUACAUCGUCUGGAAGAAAAGAUCAUGCAUGUUACCACAAAAUUCAUCAGAAAACCGUAAAAAACAAAAGUACGGGUUAUCAAGAAAAGAAGACAACUUACCAAUUCCAAUCGCCAUCCUCCCGGAGUUCGUUAGCAGUGGUGAGAGAACCCCUGCUAGAAAAUUCUCGACCAAUUAUUCCAUUUCAGUCGGCCCGUCGUGUUUGUUGUUUUAUUUUCACUCUAUCAAGGGAGAAUUCCAAGCCUGACGAACGAGAUUUGCCUCUUAACGGAAAUGUUUUUGCUACUUUAGGGCUACAGGUUAGGCAAAAAAAUGCAAAUUGUUUCUGAGUACAGUUUGCGGGUGAGUGCUUACGUGGAGCGCGGGUAGGUACUCGAAUAAUAUUGUAGCGGAUUAGGAGAUUUGUGCGGGACUGAUCGUAUUGGAUGGGUAUGACAGAGAAGGGCGAUUCGGCACGGCCGCCGGAGAUAUAUGCUUAUGAAGCUUGUAAUUCUCCUUUAAUGUAGAUGAAAAUAAUCUUUCCAUCUCUCAAUGUGCCCCGUGGUAGUGUAAGUUAUUUAUAUUAAAACGUUUGAAGGCACAAGUAUUUAGAGAUGUACACCCUGCUCAAUGAGACAUGAGGAGACGGGUAAGAAAAAUUUUUAAUGAAGAACUCUUUAACAGAAUGAACUACUUGUACAUCUUUUUUUUAACAGGGAUAUCAUGUUUAGUUGUUUGUGUGGACUUGGACAUGAUAAUUGCAUCAAAAUUAAGUUGAAUUUUCUUGUUGUUUUGUUGGCAAAUUUAGAGCCAUGAACAACUCGAGACACUUGUCAGUCCGUACCAUUAAUCCAUGUGGCAUUGGCUAGCGCCUUUUGAACCCCUUCAAGAAUAUUUCUUUUCAAUACUGCAAUGAUUAAAAGACCUUAGCACCAUGAGUUUAAAAUACCUUAGCACCGUGAGGAGGCAUGGUGGUGGCCCAAUGGGAAUGGGAACUCAUCCUGUAGGGAAAGAAGAAAAGGACAGGGAAAAAUGAAAAUAUGGGGUGUGAGUGAGGGUUGGGUCAGGGAUCUUUCUCCUCAUAUUAGCAUUUAUGCCAGUGGUGUAUCGUGAUCCGUCAAGCAAGAAAGGGUUAUGUGGAAGGUCAUCGCACACAGGUCCAUAAUCCACUACUUUGUUGGAGACUGUCCUCCUUUCUGGAGUAAGAGUGAGAGGCACCUCAGAAGUUGACCUAUUGGCUGUGGAAUAAAGAGGUCGAGUUUGUGAUGGUGGUAUAAGGUGAAACUGGGUCAACAUCAACAAUCAGGGUUGUAUCUUUUUAUUAUGUUGUGAUUUACAUAUUUUGUGUUCUUUCUAUAUGUUUGAAUACACUCUCUAAAAGCUUAAUUGCACUCUUAUGCACAGACCUCGCUUGGCUAUCAACGUCACACCAAAAUACGAACAUUUUUUUAAAACUAGGAUGCUGAGAAUUGACAUGAGAUUGACCCGUCAUAAAAAUUAUAAUUGACUGUAAAGGAAACAUAUAAAACUAGUGAAUUUGAGUAGAACUUUUAAUUUUCACUACAUAAUAGUAUGAUUGCCUUCAAGGCAUGGGUUUUAAGUUAUAGAAAUGUCCUUUCAAUUAAAUGAGAGCUGCUGUUAAUAUAUAAAUUAAUGACUGUGUGAGUUUUGACGCAAAUUAGACAAUUCACCACCAGUGAAAUGGUAGAGGGUAGAGUUUGCCCCUCCUUCCUUCCUAUCCUGCUCUUUUUGCAUUUUCCUCUUCAUCCUCUCCAUAAACUUCUUUAUCUUUCUCUUUCUCCUUUCACGCUCUUCAUCCUAUCCUUUCUCCUCAAGGAACAAAUUGUGGCAAUGACAGUGGUCUUGGUGGCUAUUAUUGCUUCUUCUUUUUUUGGGCGACACAACGGGUAUCUCAACAUUUUGCUGGACUAAUCCCCCUGCGGCUGGAUAGAGCCCCGCCCAAGGAUGCACAGCAAUGUUAGCACAACAGGGUUCGAACUGGUAACCUAUGGGAUACUACCGUAUAUGGUCACUAGCUCAAUUUUUUUUUUCUUUUUCUUUUUGUAAUUUUGACAAAGUAUUUCAGUAGAUAUAGAAUCAUUAAAAUUCUAGAAGUGUUUUGAUGUGUUAAAUAUGCAAAUUUUAGGUAAGAAUUAGCAAACUAAACUUGCUAUUAGUGUCAAGUUUUAAGCUUGACAUCAUGGCUAAUGGUGCAAUUGAAUGUUCAAUUAACCUAGAACAAAAAAACCUCGAACACAACUCUUCCACUGCUAGAGAAUUAUUUUGAUAUAAUUAAUAUACACUAAGGUCAAGAUAUGGUUUGAAGGAGUGGUGGUGCUACUGCCAGAAGAAGAAUGAAAAAAGGGAAAGAAAAAGAACUAAAAUUAAAUUAAAAACCCAUUUCCUCAUCGUUUUAAUACCAAACAGCUAGAAAGGAUUUGUUAAUAUUCUAUUAUCAUUGAAGAAUUCUGAAUAGCCAUUAUGGUAGUCAUUUUUUAAUAGAUACCAAAAGAGGUGAUAACAAUAACAAAUAUGGUGAAACAAAUUCAAAAGAUCAAAGUAAAUUUUAAGUUGAUUGGACAUUGAAUUUUCUUUUUUAACCAAAAUUUAGAUUGGAUGAUUGGUAGAGCUGUUAGUGGUGUUAUAUAUGAAUAUAAAUUAAGGUCAAAUGAAAAAUAAACUUUUUCAUACCACCCACAGAGUGCUCGUGGAAGUAGUGGGGCAAAACGAGGGUAGAAUGAGGAGUAGGAAUGGAGAUGGGGCAAAAGUUAGGGGAGCUUUUUUAGAAAUGUAGUAUAAACCGGGAAGAUAGUUUUAGAGUGCCGUCGUCCUCCAUGUGAGUUUCACGUGUGAUGAAUGAGUUAUGUUGCUGUUUUGUUUCCUUUUUUUCCCUUUUUUUUCCCAUCCAACCUCCCCAUUUUUUCCACCUGCUUUGGGACUAAGGAGGGAUGAUUACUCUUUCCACUUUUAUCACGAGUGUAUCAACGGCGAUGUGCUUAUCAUGAAGAGCAUAUAUUGGGAACUGUAGUUGCUAAUCUCUGGUCUGACCUCCAGCUACGGAGAGGCGGCUGCAUUGUUAUUAUUAUUAGAGUUAAGUUCUGUUGGCAUGCUCUGUUUUAGUAGCAGGGAUUUGCUCUGCCUGCAACAUAAUAAUUCCUUCGAUUUCCAAGACUUCUCUUGCCUGCUUCUUUUCCCGUGCAUUCUCUUCUCCGCUUUUGAUAGAUUCUCUUUCCGUCUUUCCAUUAAACGAGGAUGCAGAGCUUCAUUUUUUUCGUUCUUAUAUAACCUUUGGCCUUAUUUUAUGCCUUUACGCUGUCUUCUUUGUCUUCUCUUGCCCAGUGUGUGUUGGUUUUCUUCCGCUUUCUGUUGCUCUUGCCUUCAUCUGGCUUGUGCUACUGUCUAUUUUUGUUGUUGUUGCCGUCCUCGUCAGCGUGGUUGUUGCUGCUAUUACUCCAGUGAGGUACUUUUUUUGUUUUUUUCUUUUGCCCUUCUUAUUCCGCAUUUCUAUCUUGUUUCCGUUCAUUAUGCAGCUUAUUCCCUGCUUAGUUUGUUACUUUCCUGUUUUGUAUUGGUCAUCGCUUUUUUCGUGCUCUUCUGAAGAUGUUCUUGUGUUCAUCAUCAUUAUCUUUUCUUUUUAUUUUUCUUUCAGUUGUGUCCUUUUACUUUGUCUGGUCACGCAUCCGCAAAGAGAAGGGUUCUGUGUGUUGUUUUUUUGUGUGGUCUGUCGAAGGUGUUUUUCUUUUUGCCGGAUUUAUUUGGUAUCUUUUCUGCUGGCUGUUCACCUUUCUUUGUAGCUUGUUGUUUGGUUUCUUUUAGCCUUCAUAGAAAAAAAUAAUUGGAGCAGCAAAAAAUUUAAACGACUACCACACCAUUGCGCCUUCGUCGAGUUCGCUACCCUUGCUGCAUUUUUUUCUUGUUUUCCAUUGUGCUUUACAUUUUAGUAGGAAUGUCCUUCCGGUCGUGUGAGCUGUUUCCAUGGAUUUCUUGCAAUUGCUUCUCUGUGUUCGCUUCAAAAGUUCAUGUCUGAUGGAUGGUGUCUUCCUUUCAGGUCUUGCCGUUCCUGCUUUUUCCCUGCUGUCUUCUUAGGUACUUCCUCAUUUUUUUUUCUUCUUCUGCCCAUGCCUAGCUCGUACUUUAUUCUAUGCAUGGUUCCGUUGUCCUCUCCUGUCUAUGCAUGCUUCACACUUUAUUCUGUGCAUGCAUGCAUUGUUGAAAUGGAUGAACAUUUCCGCUCUAUGCAUGCAUACGUUGUUGCAUGGAGCAACUGCCUUUUAAAAAGUUACCUUUACCGCUUCCGUCGGUUCCCCUUAAAGGGUCUUUCUGCGUCGGUGUUCCUUGGCCUUGGUAGAGCCAGGCGCAUCGUUCUAAUUAAUACGUCCUGUAUUAAUUAAGUAGACAAAUUCUUUUGGAAAUAUGCUCGCCAAGCUGAUUACUAAAAUACAUUAUGCUUUCGGUAAAAAUUUGUUGUUUUCUCCUUAGCAUGACUUCUUUGUUACUGCGUAUAGCUUCCAUGAUGUAUUUCUUGUGGUCGCUUCCUCUGGGUCACAGAAAGUAUCAAAACGAAAGUUUCUAACCAGCAUUUUGUCAUCCCCAACAUUGAUGCAAAAUUCCCUUAAUCUAUUAAAAUGUAAAGAAACAACAAAAAUAUGCAACUUAGAAGUACACGUUCAAAUAUGUCUUACUGUUUUGCUUCAGAAAUGACCCGACGAGAAUGAGAAGGUUCUAUGAGCUUGAGGUUGUGCAUUGUUCCCAUCUGUCCCUUGUUAAAUAUCCAUAUCGUUCCUCAGAUCAUGCAUAAAUGCAUCCGUUCCCCCUAGACCUUCUUAUUGCUCCACACAAAACACUUCCUAUUUUUAUUAAUGAAUAUUCAAACCUGUUUCUUGUUCUUCGUAGCGUUAACAGUAACAACUUUUAAAGCAUUCCACCUUUUGUAAAGUUCUAAGAAUUAUCAAAUACUUCUUUUACAAUAUGACAGGCCAUGCCAUUGUGCCAUUAAUUACUGUGUUAGUUUCAAAGUUUUUAGGCAUGCUUUGUGUGCAAUCACUAAUGCACCUGCAAAUAUUAACUCAAACAAUUAAUAUUUCCACAUUAACUGCAAAUAGUACACCAACUAAUCCAAUCCAAUUAACUUCGGCUACCCUCUCUUGCAUAAUAUAUAAAUGAACAAUAGCAUGAAGAAUAUGGAACUUAUAUAGCUCAUAAAAAUGGAGCAGCUGGAAAGUGUUGGCUCUUCCAGUUUGUUAGCCAAAGAUAGGGAUGCAAAGGGAUGCUGGUUCUUAUUUAGAUAUAAAAAUGAGCCUGAACAGGUAUUAAGAAGUUUUACCACUUUGUUGCUGUUACCAUUGUUUGCCAUCUUGUAGCGUUUCUCAGCCAACUUAUAUUUACAUAUGACCUGCAUAUAGUGCCUAUUCAAUUCCAAGCCCUUCUAAUCAAGCACCUUUGUAACCAGAUAACUAUAAGAGAAGUGUAUAGAACAUGGCUUAUCAAGCUUCGUCGGCAAGCAUUCGCUGAAGGAUGGCAGGAGUUUUGCCACAGCAACAUCAUCAAGGAAAACUACUUUUCUUGCUUCGACAUUCUGGUCACCUAAUCUUCGACGUCAUCCACUUUUACGAGGACAAAAAACAAGUAUACAUGCCAUGGACAGAUCCUCUACCUCAUAUACUGCGUUCACAGCCAUCCCUUGAAUUAGGAAGUUGAGGGUUAACCGCUUUUGUUUUGUAUCAGCCCAUUUGUAUUUUUUUAUUUUUUUGCCUCAUCGGACUAUCCUUUAAUUUCCAGGUGAUAAGAAGAAAAAAAAAUUAUACGGCAGCGAGUGUCGUCAUCAAUGAGGCCUGAUUUCAUACAAACCUUAACCGAAGGCGUGUGUUUCUACCAAUUCAUUGACAAACAGAAUCGGCAUAACUUUGUGAGUUUUAUAUAUAGAUUUAUUUAGUUUUUGACAUCUUUGUAUCAUAACAUUCUUAACUCUAACACCAUACAAUGCUAGAAAGUCCCAAGGUUUGUUGCUCAGUUCGUCCAUAGUAGCAAGACUCCUUCGAUUACUCUGAGGACUGGAAACAAAACAAUAACUAUUGCAAUGCGUGGAAGGCAAUUUACGGACAACUGGAACAUCUUUGUGGCAGAGCACCAACUACAGUUCCGAGAAGUUUUAGUCUUUGUUCCUAAAUCCAUUACUACCUACACUAUUCUAAUCUUUGAUAGACAUGGUGCAGAAAAACACUUCCCAUGGUGUGAUAGCUUUUAUGUGUACUCUACCAUGGGAGAUGCGGCAACUUAGUUGUAUUCUAAUGGCUUUUCAAAUGAACAUUUGAUUUGAAAACUCCAGCAAUUCCUCUAUUAUCUGUUUCUGCAUGUACAUCCGUAUGUACACUGUGCAUCCUUAAAAAAUGAUAUGCUUCAUAGCUGAAUCAACGGUUUACACAUGCUUGCAAAUACAAUAUGCGCUGUAUCAAACACUCACUCUCGUUGCUCCAACGUUUUCUCCCCAGGCUAUAGAAAAGGAAUUGAGUAUGCAUUUUACGGCUAGACAUAAUAAAGAACCUUCUCAUUCGAUCAUGGGUAUAUUUACAAUUUACUACCAUGCGCGAGCACGGUGAUCAUCUCCUAGUGUAAGAUAGAGUGGGAGCGAGAGACAGGGAAGGGUUUCCUCACUCUAUACCUGUCUCGUUGUCAUCCCUAUCUAUGUACGUAUUUGAUCCCCAUGCAAAUUUUUCCAAGACAAAUUUAUAUUUUUAGUCCUUAAAAUUUAGAAAUUAGACCAAAUUGGUCCUUAUAAUUUCAGUAAAGACAAAUAUAGUAUCCAAAAUAUUUAAUGUUGACAAAUUGAUUCCUAAUGCUGCAAUCUAAACAAAUAUAGUUGUUAAAGUAUAUUGAUUCACAAAAUUGGUCCCUUAAAUUUUAUAAAAUCUCAGAAAGUUUAUUAAUAUGAUAUAAAAAUACACGAAAAUCUAUGAAAAUUAUAGAAAAAAUUAUGAAAAAAUUUAAAACUUUGAAAAAUAUAAAAUAAGUGUAACUUAUCACUUUUGACCAAAUGAAAUUAAUUUGUAGAUAUACCAAUUUUAUAAUUGGUACAUAAAAGUACAAAAAAAAUGCAUGUACAAAUUAUAAAUCUUAAUUCAUUUAUAUAUAUAAAAAAGCACAAACACAAAAUAAAUAGAGCAUUAUAAAUCUUAGUUCUUUUUGGUAUAAAAAAGCAUAGACACAAAAUAAAUAGAGCACAUUUGCAACAAAUGGUUUAUUCCAAUAUAAAAUCAGAUAUUUAUAAUAUAUUUCACUUAUUUUUUUAUAGUUUUUAAAAUUUUUGUGUUUUUUAUUAAAUUAUUUUAUUUUUGUAGAAUACCUUAUACAUUAAAAUUACAUGUAAGGUAUUCUAAGGAAUCCAAUUCAAUACCAACAUAAGAGGCGUGUAUUAUGCAUAUAAUCUAUCUAUUUAUUUUGUGUGAUUUUGUGAAUAGAAUUAGAUUAAGAAUUAUAAUUUGUAUAUGCAGUGUACUUUUAUUUACAAACUAUAGAGUUCUCACAUCCGCUAAUUAUCUACAUUUGGUUUAAAAUUAAUUAUUUUUAAAUAAUUUUACAUUUUCUAGUGUUUUAUAAUAUUUAUUGAACAUCACAUAUUCUAUAUUAUAUUUAAUAACUUUUCUUAGAUUUUAUAAAAUAUUAGGGGAAAUUUUGGUCAAGAUAUGUACUUCAAUUUCAUAAAAGGCUUCAAAAUACAAACUAAAACUCUAAGUCUAUCAAAACCUGCAAAAAUAAAAAACAUGCCAAGAUUCAAAUCUGCUGAAAAUUUUCUAAUUUAAAACUCAAUUAAGCACAACGCUUUUUUCACAAGCCUUAUUCAUGAAAUCAAUCUAAUAAAACUUUGCAAAACAUAAAAUAUGGCUAACAAACUAAAUAUAAAGAGGAUAAAUAUAAUAAAGCAUGACUCUAUCAUAGGCAAUUUCCGGAAUAAAUCAUAACUUGAGAAUAUGUUAGCAAAAGGUGCAUUAUUCAUUUAGGUGGACUUGAAUGAGUCAGUUUUCAUGACUCUUUUUAAUAGCUUGCACUAGAAUAGUCCAGCAUUGAAGAUAUAUGUAUAGGUAUGAUGUCUUGUAUUUAGAGCCCUCACACACACACGCACACACACACACACAUAUAUAUUAAAAUUAAAAGAAUUUCAAUAUGAAAAGUAACAUGUUGAAUCAAAUAGAUUAACAACUAUAAACAAAAUUGAGGUAAACAAGAUCUGCAUUGGGUUGGGUAUUAUAAUUUGGGAAGGUUCUAUAACUUUCUUAUAUACUAUAAUUUUUGUAUGGUCAAUGUGAGGAUGAUCAAAAUACAUUGGCUUAUAAGUAGUUUCACAGUUGAAGCUGUGUUUCAUUCGUGAUAAUGCAACAUAUAUUUGAACAUGUGAGGAUAGGGGUUUCUUUAAACAUAUAAUAAUAUAAUUUAAUGUUUGGCCAUGAGGUUUGUUUAUUGUCAUGGCAAAACAUAAAUGAAAUGGAAUUUGCGUUCAUGUAUCUAGAACUAGAUAUUGCUCAACAUUUGGUGAUUGCAUAGGAAUGCUAUGAAUGAAGACUUCUUUACUUGCAAAAUCACUAAUAAAAAUUUUAACAUAAAUUACAUUUUUACUCACUUAGAAUUUUAGUCUAUUCCUAUUGCAAAAAUCUUCAAUGGGAUCUAGAUUUCUUGAAAAGAUAAUUGGUGUGUAUGGUUUUAGUAGUAACCUAUAGAAGGAAGGGUAAACCACUAGGAUUCAAAGUAUUUGGUUUGAUCAUUUUGAUUCAAAGCUUCAUCAUAUCUCAAAUACUCGGUUAGUUCUCCUUGAAAUCUCUCUAGAAAGUCAUGUAUUUCAUUUGCAAAGUGAUUCUUUGUAGUUAUAAUUGUUCUAUUCUAUAAGCAAACUACAAUUUUUAUGCAAUUUUAAAUUUAGAAUAAACAAUAUUGACAAUCUUUUCAAUUUUAUCAGUUUCAUUCUUGUAGCUAAUCAGAAUUAAAGAUGGAACUUGUAUCUCAUCAUCGAAUAUGUUUCUUUUGUUCCUUCUCCAAUCUUUAAAAGAAAGUCAGUGAACAAAGGAUCCAAUCUUGCUUUCAUAUUUCUUGUUAAUUGCAAUUUUUCACUUUGAGCCAUAAUGGAAAAUUCAUCAAAUAUGCAUUUAUUAUUUUAGUACUUGUCUAUUUCCAAACAACUAGCAGUGUUUGCUUAAAUUCUCAACCAAGUACAAUGGCACUACAUUUUAUACACAAAGAAUUCAUUUUAUAAAUGAAUUGGAAUUUGCAUUCAUGUAUCUAGAACUAGAUAUUGAUCAACAUUUGGUGAUUGGAUAGGAAUUCUAUGAAUGAAGACUUCUUUACUUGCAAAAUCACUAAUAAAAAUUUUGACAUAAAUUACGUUUUUAGUCACUUUGAAUAUUAGUCUAUUCCUAUUGCAUAAAUCUUCAAUGGGAUCUAGAUUUCUUGAAAAGAUUAUUGGUGUGUAUGGUUUUAGUAGUAACCUAUAGAAGGAAAGGUAAACCACUAGGAUUCAAAGUAUUUGGUUUGAUCAUUUUGAUUCAAAGCUUCAUCAUAUCUCAAAUACUCGGUUAGUUCUCCUUGAAAUCUCUCUAGAAAGUCAUGUAUUCAUUUGCAAAGUGAUUCUUUGUAGUUAUAAUUGUUCUAUUCUAUAAGCAAACUACAAUUUUUAUGCAAUUUUAAAUUUAGAAUAAACAAUAUUGACAAUCUUUUCAAUUUUAUCAGUUUCAUUCUUGUAGCUAAUCAGAAUUAAAGAUGGAACUUGUAUCUCAUCAUCGAAUAUGUUUCUUUUGUUCCUUCUCCAAUCUUUAAAAGAAAGUCAGUGAACAAAGGAUCCAAUCUUGCUUUCAUAUUUUUUUUUGUUAAUUGCAGUUUUUACUUUGCGCCAUAAUGGAAAAUUUAUCAAAUAUGCAUUUAUUAUUUUAGUACUUGUCUGUUUUCAAACAACUAGCAGUGUUUGCUUAAAUUCUCAACCAAGCACAACUAAUUUUGCCCCAAAAACCUACUAUGAAUGCAUUAGAUUUCUCGAAGAUCAUUUAAUGCCUCAUUUGUCGCUUUUUAACACAAUGGCACUUCAUUCCAAAUGAUUAAUUUGGCUUCUUUUAUCAUGGUACCCGAAGAACUUUGCUUACUAAUUCGGCAUGGUGCACCUUCAGAGAUCCAAAUUGAAAAUUUAAAUCUAGAAUGGGCAGUCCUUCCCCUUGAUAAAAUGGAAGCUGCAAUUCUUCAUGUGGUUGUCACAAGUGUGAGGAGUCCUUUAGGUUUAACAUUAGCUAACAAAGCUCUACAGAGAAAUUAGAAUAUCUAUGAAGAAAGUGCCAGCUUUGUUUGAGCAAAUUCUUUUAGAAAUGACUAUGAAUGCUUGUUUUUGUUCUUGUUUAGAAUAUAAAACUGAAAUGUUUAUCUUUGCCUUAGGUUCUCUAAUUUGCUUUUCUGCAACAUUGUAAGAGACCCACUACAACAAAAAUAGCCUUUCCUGACAUGUUUAUAAGGACACUUGUUGGUUUGUGUCAUUACAACACUCCUAUUAUGAUACUUAUUAUCAACUCAAUAAUAUAUACUCUAAGUUUUUUAUUUUAUCAGAUAUAAAAAUAAUAAUGUGCCUUUAGACUACCUAACAUGAUACUUGAGAAAAUGUGAGAUGUACCAAAAAAAAAAAAGACACAAAACGGCAACGUUUGAUUUUGGCGAAAAAUUCAUUUGCUGUAAAAUACUCAAAAUUUUCAUUUUCCGGCUCCACCAUUUCCAGCCCCCCUCCCCCUCUCUCUGUCUCUCUGUUGUCAGAUUCCAACGUAGUUGGUGGGAAAAAUAGGGAGCAACCAGGCAGCAGUUUCGUUCUUGACCAACAUAGCUCGUGCCGCCUUUGGUUUGGGUAUCGGUGCCACCGUCCUCAACUCCUCCCUCUACAUUGUCGACGGAGGGCAAUGGGCUGUUCUCUUCGACCGGUUCCGCAGUGUCAUCGAUGACACCAUUGGAGAGGGUACUCACUUCCUCAUCCCCUGGGUCCAGAAGCCCUUCAUCUUUGACAUCCGUACCCGUCCCCACACUUUCUCCUCCAUCUCCGACACCAAGGAUCUCCAGAUGGUCAACCUCACUCUCCGGGUCCUUUCCCGACCCGAGGUCUCCCGCCUCCCUAACAUCUUCAAAACCCUGAGUAACACAGGCUGAUCAGAAUUCAUGAUCUUUCUAACAUUCUUAGCCUUAAUGAUCAUGUUUUACUUCCUAGUGUUGGAUUUAAUUAAUGUAUGAUCAUGUGUGACACUAGGUGUGCUCAUUUGACCCUUGGUCGAUUGCUCACUUGUAGAAGUGGAGCAUUUCCCAGGGUUGGCCACCUUUUGUUUCCUCUUUUGCCGGUCCAAAUCACACUUCCUUUGCAAUUUAAGUUGGUCCUCAUAUACUUGUGCAGGUGUGAGGGGUGUUAGGACCAUGCGUUUACCAUUGUGCAAUAGUGUGUACUUGUUAGCCCUACCAUCAAAUGUGGCAUGCUUAUCAAAUUGUCAAGAUCUCCCUAGAAUGACAUGAGUAGCAUGCAUCGGGACAACAUUACACACAACUUCGUCAAUGUAGUUGCCAAUUGAAAAAGGAAGACAUACCUGUUUGUAAACACGCACUUCACCUUCUUCGCUUAGCCAUUGGAGUCUGUAAGGGUGCGGAUGCCUAGUAGUAGGAAGCCCUAAGUUCUCAACCAUUAGCAAGCUUGCCACAUUGGUGCAACUCCCACCGUCAAUGAUGAGGCUACAUACCUUGUCACUUACUUUACGUCGAGUGUAAAAUAAGUUCUCCCUUUGUAACUGCUCAUCCUCCUUAACUCGGGCGGUUAGCAGUCGUCGUGCCACUAAGCAACCGAUUUUCCCUUGAAUAGGAGAGCACUCCUCCUCGGCCGAGUCAUUCUCCAAGUAGUCAUCUUUGGAUAAGGGUGGCAUCUCCUCACAAUCAUUGUCAUCAGACACGAUUUCCCCAUUGUGAGUGACUAACAUGAUCCUUUGAUUCGGACAUUGGGAUUGGAUAUGUCCGAAUCCUUGACAUUUGAAGCACUUGAUGUCUCUACUCCUAGGUUUAGGAGUUUUUUGAGGGGCCUUAGAAGUAAACCUGGAUGCAUCAACAAACUUGUUAGGGGUAGAAUUGGAAUUUCGGGUAGAGAAAUUACCUAGUGUGCGGCUAGAAGGGCUUGGUGUAGCCCAAUUCCAGUGUCAUGUGCAGUUCUUCUUGGCGAAUUGCCCUUCCAUGCACUCGAAUUGGAGGAUUGGAAAGUUCGACCUCUCCUUCUCAAUUUCUUCCCCCUCUCGGCCUUGAUGGCUAGUUCAAGAAGAUCAUGCAUGUCCAAGUAAUGUUGGAGGUCCAAGGCUUCUUGGAGGUCAGGAUUUAGAUCUCUAAGGAACCUUGCCACAGUGGCUUCACUAUCUUCUUGAAUGUUUGCCCUCAUCAUGGCCAUUUCGAUCUCCUUGUAGUAGUCCUCCACACUCAUGUUGCCUUGAGUGAGGGUUUGUAGCUUUGAAUGGAGAUCACGGUUGUAGUAGUUUGGAACAAAUCUCUUGCGCAUUAGUGCUUUGAGUUCUCGCCAAGUUUGGACUCGUGAUUCACCAUUUCUCCUCCUGUUAGUCCUUACUUGAUCCCACCAAAAUAGUGCGUAGUCGGUGAACUCAACAGUGGCGACCUUCACCUUUUGUUCCUCGCUAUACUCGUAGCAAUCGAAGACCAUCUCAAUGCGGUCUUUCCAUUUCAAGUAAGCCUCAGGAUCACUUUUGCCUUGGAACGUAGGAACUUGAAUUUUAAGUCCCUUGAGCUCGUUCCUAGACGUGUCCCUUUUAGGUCUCUCGGCUAUUUCCUCAUCUUCACUAGCCGAGUACUCCUCAUAGUUUGCUCCUUUAGUGCCAUGGUUACUUCGGUUGCAAGACCUAGACCGAGAGCCUCUUGUGAAGCUCUUUGAGAGCUCGUCAAAGCGGUUGUGCAUCUCCUCCAUUUGUUCCGGUUAAGCUCAUUUUUCAUGGCGGUGAACAUCAAUAAGUAGUCAGUGGUCGGAUGAGCUUGCUCCAUGUCUCACGUUUGGUCCUGCAAAAAGGUUAGUGUACAAGGAAAUAGCACAAAUAUAACCUCGCUUCACUCCAUUAGUGUUUCACUCACCCUCGUGUUUUCACUCCAAAAACACUCUAAUGACCUUACCAAGAUUCCUUACCUAUCGGAUUGGGUAGUUGAGAAAUGCCGUACAAGUCCAACAAAUGUCACCCAAACUUUCCACAAGAGUAACCAAGAAAGCAAGACACAAAUGGGAUGCAAAAUGGAAUAAGGAUGCAAGGUUUUGGAAGCUCAAUAGUGGCGGACAGAAAUGGAAACUAGCACUAAUGUGAAAGGAAUCAAUCAAAACCCUGGCUUCCUAAAAUGUAGGAGUGUAUCCAAGUGCAAAUAAAAGAGCUAACCAAGCUGCCUACUUAGUUUUCUAAUUGAUUUUGGAAACAAGUUAGUCUUUGGAAACCUUUAGAAAACCUUUUCCUCCUUGAAACAACUUUUAAAACUUCCAAAUUCGAAUCCAAGAAGGAUUAACAAAUCAGAUUCGGUUCCACAAACAAGUCUUGCGCAAAUCAGAUUUGGUUCAAACACACUUCUUGCGCAAAUCAGAUUUUGUUCCCACCAACAACUCACACAAGUCGGUUGAGAAGGAACUAUUAAACUCCCCAAAGGAAGUCUGAAACUCACACACACACAAGAUUUCGUGCGGAUUGUCCCUCCUUUUGGUGCAAACAGUUUCGGCCCUUUCCCAACAAUGGAGUUCCCACAAGGUGAUGCAAACAACCUUACUCGAGCUCCCCCCCAAUGGGUUACUGAAGAUGUCCCCAAGAAAGAAACAACAACUCCAAGGAAACCCUUCACCACCGCUAGGGAGUACAAGAAGAUGUACACUAGAAGGAUGAAACAAGUUCCCAAGAAACAAGAUGUUCAAGAACUCCAAGAAGUGGUGGAUCAAAACUUUUGAAUCUUUUCCCCUUUGUUUUAUUUCCCUUCGGAUUGGAAACAAGAUGUAAUGGAGACUGUUUUGGCAAUAAAAAAAAACCAAAUUUUCCCUUCUUGUUUUUGUUUUCUUGCCCACCGAAUUCUUUUUCUUUGCUUUUCGUUUCUGUUUUUUUUUGUUUUUGUUUUUGUUUUUUUUUCUGACUUAAACACAACUUGACCGAAUGGAGUAAAUUUCCAGAUUUGGUUCGGCUAAACACACACAAGCAACGAUCAAGAUCCCUCAAGAACUUCCAAGUAAGUUAUCAAGAACUUCAAGAACUUCAAGAUUGUGAUCAAGAAAUUCAAGAAACCCUAGAUUCUUGUAGGUUCUCUUCAAGAUUCACAAAUACCAACAAGUUUAACCAAAAAUCAGUUUUGAAACAAGCAAAACAACUUGGAUCACCAACGAACAAACUUGGAUAGAUUUGACUUGACGAAACCCUAGUAAAGAGAAGCAAACCCUAGCAGCCGCCAAGUUGUUUUACUUGGUGCUCAAGCAACUGCUAACUAACAAAAUAGAUUGGUGGACUUAAAACAAAAUUUUCGUAUGCCACAAGCGCACACAACUCACGAUCAGAUUGACACGAAAUAGGGAACAAGACUACGAACAACAAGAUACCAACACACGAACAUAAUUUACGACAAUGAAACAACAAAAGGACUUUGGACCGAAAUUUUUUCUUUUUUUUUUAACAAUGCAGCGGAAAACAAGGAUAAACCCUAAACAACUCAACAAGGACAAAACAACGGAUAUAGCGAAAGAUACCUCGACCUAUGCUCUGAUACCAACUGAUACGCUCCUCGAUCAACACGUUUCGAGACACGUAGCACGUUUGCCCAAAGAUCUAGCGAGAUUUCCAACCGUUUGGAUUGCGACUCCUAGAAUCAAGAAGGACGACACGACUUGACUCAAGGCGGUAGAACGACAACUCCAAUCGAGGUGGAUAUUCUAGUGGAUAGGUUGGAUGAACAAUCAAGGACAAUCGCGAGAUUGCUCAAGAACCCUUGCCAAGGCAAGUAAAGGAAUCGAUUCUCUCAACAAUGGAAGAGAAAAAAAACUGAAAUUUUAUUAUCAAAAGUAUGUAACCCUUCAACCGUACAACUUGUGCUUUUUUUAUAGGCUAAAGAACUAACGAAAACCUAAGGCUAGGGAAGGGGGAGGGUUCGGCCAUGCUUAGGGCUAGGUGGGCCGACCCCUUUAAUUGGAAAACCGAAAAAGAACUAGCUAAUAGACUAAAGCCAAACUAACAACCAUCACUCAGCUCCUCAUGGGCUUGGAUCAAUGUGUAGACAACUCGAUGAUCAACUUCUAAGCCUUCAAUGUUCCUAUGGACCUCUUGUUGGUUUUGGACAUUUCGAACAAGGACUUGGAAAGACUCUUUGAAGCGCUUGGCCUGUGCACGUGUAACGGGGCCCAAUGGUACUCGCACUUGGUCUUCACCAUCUCCCUUCGUGCACACAUCACGAACACUAAAAGCAUAAGUGUAACUAACUGGCCCAAGUAAUCCACCAUCCUUUUGUGAAUUAGCUUUAUUCCUCUCGGUUGUCUACUUGUGGAAUGUGACUAUUUUGUUAUGGAUUUGUUGUCCAUAACUUGUUCGAUAAAAUGUCAAGUAGAAUGCAAACCUUUGGUGAGGUGCAUAAAAUGUUAUGAUUUCUUAGUAAAUAUCAUCAUAAAUUGUUGUCUGGGUGUUAUUGUUGCAGUAUUCUGAAUAAUAAUAAUCUCAGUGGAGAAAUUCUUGAUCAACUAACCAGUUGUUUAAGCCUUGCCACAUUGUGAGUCCAUCCUGCCUCUGUUUUCUUUCAUUUGAAGCAUCUGCAGUUACUGAUAAAUCUCUUCCACAGGAAUGUUUCUUAUAACAAUUUUGCUGGGGUUAUCCCCGUAGGCAGAAACCUCUUAAGGUUUCCACCUGACAGGUAUGUGGCAAGCUGGGCUUCGUAUAGGUGAUGUCUACUUCUUUUCUUACCAAGAAGGAAUAUAGGUGAUCUUUUGACAUUUAUUCCUUUUUCUUCCCUUUUAAGUUUCAUUGGAAAUCCACUGUUAAGAGGGAACUCGCUAGGUUCAGUAAGCAGUCUUGGUACUUCAAAAUUCAAAGGUAUGUUCCACGGUUUUAAAGCCAGUUCAGAGUAACUUUUCUACAGUGUAAAAGAUGCCGGAGACAAGGUACUCUGGUUAUAAUAUUGGUGCUUUUGGAGUGCAGCAAUAUUCUCCAAGACUGCUGUGGUUUGCUUAAUACUAGGCUUCAUGACGCUACUGUCCAUGGCCCCCCUGAAACUGGGAAAACUCUUCUUGCAAAAGCUAUAGCUGGUGAAGCAGGUCUUCCAUUUUUUGUAGCUAAUGGGACUGACUUUGUGGAGGUAAAGGAUGUUCUAUUUCUAUUUCUUUUUCUCUUGUGCUCUAAAAUCUUCUUUCGCCAACUAUAGGUAAAACAAUUCAAGUAAGUUUGGACAAGAAAUUGCAAUUUGAUAUGUAAGCUGUAGUAAUUUUGACAGGGUAUUAAUUUGGAAAUUGUAUCGACAAUAUGAGGUGGAUAUUCAUUUGAUAUUACCCUUGAAAGUUCUAUAUCUAUUAAUUCUCAUAUCAACAGAAUAAGCUAUAUAAUCUGAUACAUUGUACGAAUGGUAAUUUAAUUAUUUCCUCCACUUUGGUUUCUUACAUGCAUUUUAUGUGUCAAACUUUUGAUGUGAUAAAUGUGCUUCUGAACAUUGAGCUUUAUAUUGCUGAUAAUAAAACUUUUAAGGAGUCAGAAUCUUGUGCUAGAAUAUGGUGAUUUGUGACUAAAUUCGACAUUAAGGGUGGUAUUUAAAGGCAUAAUAUGAGGAUGGGACAUGGUUCUUCUUGUGUUAUUUUUGCACGUUUAGAGUUAAAUGCCCAUGUUAAUAGAGCAACCACUCAAUUCUGUGUUUUAAUCAAGUGAGCAUUAGCUCAAUUAUGUGGUUAAGAAAGUACAUUGUGAUGGACAAAGUCCAAUUUCAAAUUUUCUUCAAUCAUUGUAACUGGUGUAUAUGUUUUUAAGCUAAAUGUAAGUCUUACUAUGAUGCCUAUUGCUGUUAUGCCUUAUGCAUGAUAGCAAAUAUAUAGGUGAGCAUACGUCUAUAUGAGAAUGCAACGAUGGGCUGAUAAUAUGUUCUCUUAUUUCAGAUUUGUCUGCUUAUGACUGGAUUGGCUGCAGUUGUGGUAGUUGGAGCAUAUAUAGGUAGGCUAGAUACUUUCAAGUUUGUGCGCAUGAGAAUCUUUCAAGUUUGUACUUGUUAGGGAAUUGCUACGUUAGUUGUUACUAACUUUAAGUUUAACAAAUUAUAUUUGAGCAUUGACUUUUGAUUUUAGAUUACUAUAUGCAUUCUGUUCUUUGGGAUAAUUUUACAAGUCCUUUGGGUUUUUGAUUGACGGAAUGUAUAGCAGGAAGCACUACCUGUAGGUUGCUUCUAUAGCAAAAAAAUUUUAAAAAAACUCUUGGCAGUUAAAAGUGUCAGCAUAGCUCAGCUUCUAAAGUAAUAUGUAAUGACACUUUCGAUUAUCAAGAAAAGGGAUUUUUGUUGGCAGAUGGGAUGCUAUAACAGCAUAGUUUUCCUGACACUUUUGAAUGUUAUGAGUCUAUCCCCACAUUGGAAGGGACGACACUCGUCCAAGGUGUGAGGAAAGGUAAAGUGUCAGGUUAGAUUAUCUAUACUGACACUUUUAAAUGCCGUUAAAGGUCAUUUUUGUUGUAGUGACCCUAGGGAGAAUUAGAUUAUAAUAAUAUAUGUUGUUUUCCAUUGAUUAUAGAAAACCAUCUAUUUGUUUUGAGAAAUUUUUUUUUCUUGAUUUCUAUAGGUAUCUUUACUGAUCACCUAGGAAAAUCUUCUGAUAUUAGAGAUUCAAAUUCUUAUGGCAAUUGUUCUAGAUCAUUGGAAAAAAAUAGAUCAAAACAUUACCAAAAUGUCUCCUAAUUCCAAAGGGCAUGCGGAAGAGGGAGGAUUCAUGUACACAAAGUUCUUAACUAUUCUCAUUUAAUAACAAGCCUUGAGUUAAUGAUGCUUCUCUAAAUAUUUCUACUUGCACUCUAUUAAAGGUUCUUAAGUCAGCAAAUAAAGUUGGAUAUCGAACUGUUGAUAAAGGGAAGCUCAAGUUGUACUGCUCUCGUACAACUAGAUAAGCAAUCAUUAUUCACCCAACAAAAUCUCCUCUUUCUCUAAAUUUUUAGCAUCUAUGAUUAGCUGACCAGACAAAAUGACCUGAAAAGUUUACAUAAUUGCAAUUUAGAUCUUUCAUCUUCUAGUUUGUUCUAUUCACAUACAAAAACUCUAUAAGCUUACUUUUUCUCAAAUAGAUAUUAUUGGCAGCAGCUUGUAGUUUUGCUAUUUUUUUGAGAUUCAUUAGAUGAUAAUUUUCUAAUUUCACCUACAAGUGAGAUAACUGUAGGCUUAGUUUUGCUCAUAAAAAGCUAUAAAUCCUCUAGACUACUUCAUGUGGAGAAACCCACCUAGUUGACACAUUGUAUAAUUUUAUCUGUUUUAAAGCUUGAAUUGUUAGAUAUUACAUAGAAGUUAGUCCUAUUAUAACCUUUACUUAAAUAUUUGUAGAUAUAUAUUUGAUUGCUUCAAUGGUUGACCAUAUUUCAACAUUUAUGUAGCAGUCAAAUUUGGCCAGAAGGCAUAGAUUGUAUGGCAUUAACUAUUUAUUAUCUGAUAUGAUUAAUUUGAUCUUGAUUUCAACUCCAUUAUCUCUUUUUCAACAGUGAGGGCAUGUGAGGUUCCGAAAAUUAUUUUUGUAUCUUUUAUUUUAAUUGCCUUGUCUUAAAUUCUCGGUUGAUCUAAUGGUUGAGUCAUGAUUUUAUUUUUGUUGUCUCAUUCAAUGUGUUGCAUGUUGAGUUUCAUGGUGCGUUACGCUAAUGUGACCAACUAGUGAGGGGUGUGCUAUAUAAUUUGGUGGAAAGAGGGAGUUUGUGCAAAAAGAAUUAUGUGACAAGAGGUGUUAAGAGUUAAUUGGAGAUGAAAUAGAUAUUUGGGUGCAUUAGAGACAAUUAGAUAGACCUGAGUUGUAUUCUUGCCAUUUGUCACUUAUCUAACCAAUCUUGACCAAGACUAAGCUUCAUACUUAUCACAAACCAAGCUUUUAUUUCAUCAUCAUUUCUUCUGCUUUUGGGCGAAAUAUGGAGGAGAGAAAGGGAGAGAAAAAUACCAACUUCUAGCCUUGAGUUCUUGUCUAAUUAGUGAGCAAACAAGAGAGAAACCCUAAUCUACUCCAUCAAUCCUUGAGUCAAGCUUGGAAGGAAGCUCUUGGAGGAGUUCUUGGAGGAAGGAAUUCUUUGCACCCUUCUUGAUUUGCUUUCCAUCUUGGUUUUGGAGGUAAGGAGGUAAAAUUUGCUAGGAAACCUAUCUUUCUUCCCUUUUCUUUGAGUUUAUUUGGUGUAUGAUGUUAUAGAAACAAAAAGGAAGGAAUUUUAUGGAGAAUUUUAGUUGUUUUCAAGUUGUCUUCUUGAUAAUUUGUUGCUGGAAAAUUUUCAGCUUUAUGUGUGUGGUUAGAUCAUUAGUUUACAAGCUUUGUAUGUGGAUUUUGGUAGAUUUCUUUCUUAAGAAUCAUGCUAUAUGCCUCUCUAUAUGAUAAAGAAGAAGUAUUAUAUAUGCUCCAUGGAAAUCUUAGUAGCUUUGAUGGAGAAUUAUUAUGGUGAGUUUGAUAUAUGCUUCAAUGCGGAUAUAUUAGUAGUUUUAUGGUGGUUUUUGACAUACUCUUGCUCAAUCCACUUUAGAAUGACCUCAAUUGUUACUUGUAUGUUGGAGUUGAGCCUAAACAAAAGGGUUAAGAAGAGAAAAAAAAUCUAUUUUUCCAAGUUGUUUUCUUGAUAGAAAAUUUCAGCUUUGGAACCAAUAGAGUUUUGUUCCACUUUCUUCAAAAUUUUUGACUAUAUUCAAGAUAUUUUUACCCCAUAUAUUACUUGAAGCUUUGAACUAGCAUGCACAUGGUUUUCUCCCUUGAUUUGAAUGAGAAAGUUUUGUGAUUUCGGAAGAUGUCUGGGGGUCAAAACCUGAAAACUUUUGGCGUCUUUUGAGUCGAGUCUUGGAAGCUAAAUGUUCUCACAUAUUGUGAUUUGGAGUGGUGGACUCUUGAUGUACUAUAUUUGGUCUCAGGGUUUGCGAGUGAGCGAGAAGGUGAACCUAUGAUUGAAGCAGAAAGUUUGCGAUAAGUCGGUGAGUGUUCUAAGUGUGUGUUAGGACUACGUGCUUUGCUGGAAUGAUGUUUAAUGUGCCUGGUUGAUUGCUACUGCUAUAUAUCUUGAAUUGUAAAUGAAUAGGCGAGUGUGUACUUUAUCGCACUAGACCUAAUUUGACUGAGUUCUUGUUAUCCUGUUUAUAAGUGAACUGAUAUACAUGUGCAUAACUUGAAAGUCGUUUGGGUAUGUUAUCCCAUCGACUAUACUGAGUGCUUGGGAUCCUAAACCCCAUUGGCUAGUUAAUCGAAUCGAGCCAGCAAGGGUUUGGUCAAGUAGAUUGACGAACCAUGGGUAGUAUUCACUGUUUAUUGCACUGGAUUUGGUAUCCUCGAGUAUUAUCUCUCCUAUUGUUUUAUAUUUAGCGUUCGGCCCCAAUAGGGGGAUGAUCGAUGGAUGGGGACUGGAGUUAAGCGGUGAUCUACUGACAUUGUUUAUUACUGAAUUUCAACAGUUGACGGAGUGCCAACGAACUCGAAAAAUGCUGUUGCUGAACUGGUUGCAAGAGCCGACUGUAUCCUUUUAGUUGCAAGUGAAAUACUGAACGGGACUAAGUGCUACAUCUAGAAUCCGGCGGGAGCCACCUCUAAAGCCGCAUUAGCACCCGUAUCCUUUUCUUACUGUGUUAAAUUGUUUCUUUGAUUAUUUUAGGUAAUGAUGCUAAUUUGAUGGAAUUACUUGUUUAUUUGUUGACUAUAUUCUGGACUUAUCUAGAUGUUGAUUCCUUUAUGUAACCUACGAUUGUGACAAAUGUGAAAUUUGUGGUGCUUUACUGUUGCUUGUUUACCGAGACCUCAUUGGGCGUAAGCUCAUUCUGAUAAUUGUUUUCCUUACAGGGGACACGAGACAUCAAGGACAACAAUAGUUUUAUUUGGAAAUCUUGAGCUUGUAUGUUGACAGGCAAACUGUAUUAUGGGAACUAGAUGUUUGAUCCCUUCUCUUUUGGCUUGUCCUUAAGUUUGGAUUUUAGAGGAUUUGAAGAAUUUAAAUGUUAUUGGGAUGAUUUGUAGAAUUUAGAUGUUAUAUUAGCAUACCUCAAUGUUAUUUUGGCGUACUUUAUUGUGAUUGAUUGAGAAUUGUAAUGAGUCCUGACGAGAGCCAGAUAGACGGUCUGCUAAAUCCUUUGGUAUGCCUUAAGAUAAGAUGGGGUCGUCACAGGUAGCCAUCAAUAGUUUUUAUUAUUUCCUGAAUGAGAUCUUUAUGAUAAUUAUUCUUGCAAGUACCAUUUUUUCUCAUGCAUAAAAUGGUCAGAUUAGAUGAGCCACAAAGAACAAGUAGCAUGUGUUUGACAACCACAUUAUACAAAUGAGGAUGUUUCUUCUUAUUGGAAAUUCAACCAAAACAAUCUUAUCGUAUCAUUGAGGAAUAAAUAUCUUAUAUUUGGACUUUAAAAUCAAUAAGAACAAGCACGUGAUAGUCCUUGUUUUUGGUAUUAAUUGCAUAAGUAUAAGAAGCCAUGUCACCAAUGAUGUUCAUUUUUGAAAGUUCAUCUUUAAGUUAUUCUAACUUGGCAUGGAAUACUCUAGCAAGCAUGGCCUAUUUUACGCCUCUUCUUUGCCAUUAACUAUUCUUUUAUUUUUGAGAGAUUAGGAUUACAUGUCAUGGUCAAAAAAAAAUAUCUUACUUGCCAAAUUUUUGAACCAAUAUCAUUGCAUCUAUGUAUCUGCACCUCAUAUUCCUUGGUCUUCCAAUGAAGCACAUUGAUAGUAUAAUUGAAAAAAUUGUACCAAUUUUCUCUUAUAUAAUGCUGAUGAUAUUUUUUAGUCUCUCAAAAUCAAAAUGAGCAAUUUUAGUCUCAAACAAAUAAGCUCAUUUUUCUAAUCCUUAGUUACCUUUCUAGUUGAAUUUUAGGUGGAAUAAAUCACAGAUACAUCACAUGGACAAAAUGUAAAGGGCAUUUAUGAUGACUUACUUAAUGUUGAUUUAAUUUUUUACUUAAUCUGGUAUUUCUUCCGAACCCUAAUUUCACUGACAUAAAAGUAUAGGCAUAUUUUCCCUCUUCCACUACUACCCUCCCUUUUGAUUUUCACUUCUAUCCCUGACCCCAUUUCACUCGUCUUCUGCCAUCUCUUCCCCUCCUCUCCUCUCCUAUUCCCUACUAUUACCAGCCAUUCCUCCCACAUUCCUUUUUUUUUUGCCCUCCCUCCAUCUUUACCCACCUAUCACCCCUUCCUUUGCUUUAUUUCCAUUUUUCAUCUCCACCACCUACCUCCUUUUCUCUUUCCCUUUCGCUUCCCCUUCUUCCCACCUUGUCUCCCUCCCCUCUCCCCAUCUUAUGACUAGAUUGGAAAGAGUAAGGGAUUAGGGGUUAGGAAAAAAAGGGAGAGAAAAGAGAAAAUAGAGAGAGGUGGUAGAGAUGGAAAGAGAGAGAGGGGACAGAAAGGGACUGGUAGGUAGGUAAAGGAGGAGGAAAAAAGGGGAUAAGGUGUCGAGGUUAGCUGUGGAAGGAAAAAGAGGUUAAAGGGUGAAGAGAAAGAAUGUAAGAAAAGCAGGGUAGGAGGGAUAAAGAUAGGAAAGAGUUGGUAGGAAAGAAGUGAGAAAGGGUUAGCAUUGGUAAUGACAAUGGUAGAAGUGGGAAUGCUAGAGAAGGGUGGUAGUGGAACAGAAAAAUAGUUGUAUGCACUUUUGGGUUUCCAAAAUUAUGGUUUGGGUGGAGAAGAAUUAGGAGAAAUAAUUGAUUAAGUGAGAAAUUGGGUCAAAAUUAAGUUAGUUGCCAAAUUUUCCCAUUAAAAAUUGACCAUGUAAUGUGAGACUGACCAAAAUUUGAUUAGAAAGAUGAUUAGAGAUGAAAAAUGAGCAUUUUUCUUGUUAAAUACUAAAAUCGCUUAUUUUGAUUAUGGUAGGCUAAAAAUUAUUGUAAACAAUAUAUGAAGGAUGAUUGGUGUAUGUUGUACAAUAUGUUUGUUUAACCAACAUUUGAUGCUUAUAUUUUGCCUGAUCCCGAGGCAUCAAUUAUACCAUGCAAGACCUCUUUUAUUAUUUCUUCUUUUGUAUUUUAAAGAAAUUGAGUUUUUAUGUCUUAACAUAUUAGUCAACUACAUGUAUUCCGUAGCUGAACAAAUUUCAACAUUCAUGAUUUAUCAUUGUCCCUUAUUUAAAUUUUAUAAGCAUAAUAUCCUCAAUGGAAAAUGAAAGCUGGGUCUUCUUGCAAGUUUGCCAUCAUUAUCAAGGUAACAGUAGUAGAUUAUUAAAAACAAUCGCGGAUAUGGAAUAGCCAAAGCAAUGAAUAUAGUCAAUAUACUUAUCAUCUUCUUCAUUUGGAGUAACUCAUAUGCAGUAAUAGCAUUGUAGGUUAGAUGCAAUUACUUGCAGUUUGAUUUCACAUCCUUUUUCUCUCAUGUACUUUUAUUCUUUGUUUUGGAACUUUUUGGUGCCACCAAAAAGGAAAACUAAUUGGUAUAUGAGUGCAUCAUAGCAUCCAUAAUAGUACUAUAUGUUCUUUGAAGUGCAACUGUGUAUGAACUCUAUUGGCCACCAUCUUUUUUGGCAAAAUUGCUUAAAGAUUACACCUUCGAAUUGAAUUUUUGCAUAGAAUCUAUUUUCGGCAUUAGAUUUGGCUAAACAUAUCUGGAAUGUAGUAAAUGAACAUAAAUAUCCUGGAUUCCUCCUCUUUUCUUCCAUACAAAUCAAGCCUGAAAUCCACAAAUUUCAUGACUAUCGAAUCCUAAACACUUACCAAACAAUACAUACAGAUACACACACACAUAUGACAUUGAUUAACAAAUAAAAUUUGUAAAUAUGAAUGAUUUGGAGUUGAAAAAGGAAACCCACAUUGCAAUUCAUCACUUGGGCCUUUCUUAUUAAAUUUUGGUAAAAGUAACACUUGAUAUGAAAUGUACACAAAAAAUUGAGCAACUCCAUGUAUUUUCAUUGAAAAUGAUCACCUAUAGAUAGGGGUGCCAUAGUCAAACACCAAUCAAUCUAGCCACCCCUAUUGCUAGCAGCCUCGACUACAACUGAUGGUAGUUUUUCAUGAAGAAAUGAGUUGGAAAGAAUAAACAUAAAAUUUGGAUAGAUGCCAAGUAAGAAUGAAAUAUUAAAGAACAUUCAAGAAGAAGAGAAUGAAAGGAAGAAAAUAUAGAAAACAAUGAAUCUGGAGAGAUCGAUGGAGAAUAUGAAAACUUUUAUAGUGAAUUUUACUUUGACCCACUCGCUUUUUUAAAUAUUAUUUUAGCCCACUCAAUUUUUGAUUAAUCAACAAAAAUUUUCAAAUAGAAAUAUAACAAGAAAAGAAAUGGAAAAAAAGCAAUUUGGUAUACUAGACUUUUAUAAUAUUUAUGUUAGGUUGGAUGACUUUUGUCCAUUUUUAACUCUUGACUUCUGCAAAAGUUAUAAGGAGGUUUUGUGUAUUUUAUCCUAUUUGAAAAUGCAUACUUGGAAACAAAAACAAUAGACUAAUGUGUGUGACACCCCGACUUUUAGGAUAUUACGAUUUCUAUUAUUUUAUUUUUGUUUUAAGACAUUGUUUUGUUUUAAAGAUUAGAAACCCUACUUGUACUCAGAACCCUAGUUUUAUUUGUGACUAACAGGUUUUCUUAAAUCUCUCAUAUUUUAAUCGAAACCCUAAUUUUAAUUUAUGGAAUUGUAAAAAUCCCUUAUAUUUUUCUUAAAAUUCCCUUUUAUUUGAAAAUUAUUACUUUAUAAUAGCCUUACUACCUAAUCACCCUACAAAAAAGUGCAAAUGAAUAUAGAAUUAAGGGUUUUCUCUUUCGUUUUCAAGUUAUCGCAAAUUAGGGUUUUUACGCCUUUUCGUAGUGUGACUAAUCGGUACGGAAUGUGACUCAAAUUUGGUGAUUAAGAGUGAGUUUUAGAUGAGAAAAUAAUGUGUGAUUAGUAGUAAUAAUAACAAGUUAGUGAAUUAUAAGUAAAAACCCUAGUACACGCGAUUUACGGAAAAUCGGCUUGAACCGACGGGUAUCGUUCACUACCGAUUGAAUACACCGCUUGACCACCAUUUCAUUAACUUAAUCUCAUUGUUAUUAGAGCCAAAAUAUCAGCCCCUUAUCAGCUCACUAUGGCCGAAAUUUUCGACCAAUAAAACCAAGGAAAAGAAGAAAAAUUCAAGAUGAAACCUUGUGGUGACAAGUGGAAGCAAUCCAACCAUCUUUGACCAAAUGCAAGACUAAGCUUCUUAACCUUUCUUGGCCUUCAUUCUUCUUCAUUUUUCCAGCAUGGUGGCCGAACCUUGAGGGAGGAAAACAAGAGAAGAAAGCUUCAAUUCCAUCUUGAGUUUUAGCCUAGUUUGAGAGAAAAUCAAGAAACUAAACCGAUUAAUCCUUUCUUUGAGCACUUGGGAAGCUUGGGGAGUUAAUUUUUCAAGGAGAGGUGCAGGAUAUCUCUUGCAAGCCUUUAAUUGAGGUAUUAUGGCUGUUCAUCUUCCUCCUUUCCAUUAGUCUUGUUUGAGUUAUGUAGUAACUUGUAUUCUUGCUUUGUGAUGCCUAAUCUAAGUGAUUUUGAUUAUUGUAGUGGUGAAUUUUGAGUUAGGGUUUUGAAUGGUUCACUUAUAAAUCUUGUUGUUUGGAAGGUAUAUAGUGUAUAUGAUCUUGUAUAGGAGGUUGUGGUAGUGGUUUAAGCUAGAAAUGUGAAGUUUACCCUUUGAAUUCACCAAAUUCCAGAUUGGAGUAUUCAUGUGACCCUGUUCUGACUGGUUCUGUUUGACCAUGAUGGGGGCUGAAUUAGGCUUAGGACAAAACAUGAACGUUGUAGGGAAUGAUGUUUAAUAGCUGUCUGUAAAAUUUCAACUCAAUCCGAGCACUGUAGCAUAUGAAAGACAAAAAUACCCCUGACUGUCAUAGGUAGAGUUCUGUGAACAGUUUUGACAUUUCACCAAUCUGACCACGUUUGUUCACCCUGAUCCGUAUUGAAUUAGCCUUUGACCAAAACAUGGAAGUUGUAGUGCUAUGUUUUAUCUUUUCAACGCCCCUGAAAAAGCCUUAAUUGGACUUCAGUAGCCUGAGUUAUUGUCAUUUGAACAUAGUGCGGUUAACUAGCUUGUUGGUGAGAUUCUGGUUCUGUAAUUUGAAAAUUUGACCUAGAUAAACUAUGAACUGGAUUGAGUGGUAUUCAUCAAAGUUGUAGCCCUUUGUCUUAGCUUCGAAAUGGUAUAAAUUUCACCCCAAUCCGAUAAUCGUAACUUCAGUUGUGACUGAUACGCUAAAAGACGUCAAACCUGUCAUUUUGUUCUUUGCCUUAAACCUUAUUUCCGCUCACUUUUCUAGCUUGGUUUUGUAACUGAAUGACUUUUAGCCUAUUGAAUGACUAUUGUAAUGAGAUUAUUUGUGCGUGAUUUUGGGGGCUGAUUGAGGAAAAUAAUGAAGCCAUAAAUGGCUGGAAAUAGGUAAAUAUAAGGGGCGUGCUGCCCAAAUUUGCACUCGAGGGAUAUGUAGAUAUACUUGCGACUUAAAUAGGGAUUUGAGGUCAAGUUGGACUUGGAUCGCCUAUGGUAUUCAAGUUUUCUUUAGUCAGGGUAUAUAAGCUAAAAUUUUGCCGGAAACUCGUACCCUUGGAAAAUGAAAGUAAUAAUAAAUAGAAAUACGUUUUCCUCGUUCUUUCGACUCCAAUGGGAGUUCUAAAGUUUUAACCGCUUCCUUACCGAAACUAAACGAGUGAGCAUAAAUUUUUCGGGAUUUGAUAUGUAUCUUGAAUACUACUUAAAUUAGUUGCAUUUACUUGAUUUUUUUGAAGUGAAACUCCUAUGUUUCGAACUCUAGAGAGUUUUACAUUCGUCAAUGAUAUUUUAUCGCAAAUUUGGACUCCAACCAAGGAGUUGGACCUAAACGUGAUUUUGAAAAGCACUACAUUUUGGUGAGUGCUUCCAAAUACCUGGUUGAACUGGACACUUAUUUUCAAUACUUGAUCAAUGUAAAUAAAUGAUAUGUGAUUUGUUUGAUCGGGCAAGAGUGUACUUUAUCGCACUUGUCCUAAUAUGGUAUAUACUUGUUUAUUGUUGCAAUUAACUUGAUAUACUUGUACUUGAGUUGUAAGUGCGGAGCGGCAGUAUGUACCACACUCAAUCCGAGUGAGAGGUGCCUCUCAUUCCCGUCUCCGUACUUUUAUUUUGAUUCAGUCGAUUGGAGAUGUUAUCUCAUCGACAUCUUGGGGACCCAAACCCCACUGGCUAGUUAAUCGAGUCGAGCUGGCAAGGGCUUGGUCGAUUAGAUAACGAACCAUGGGUAGUUAGUGAUGUCAAGUGGAGUGUUAUCUUCUCGGCGUUAACAUUCAUAUGCAGGGAAAGAGAUUGUGAAAAAACAAGAUCAAGAUUUAUUUUAUACAAUCCAUCAAUUAAAAAAUCACUACCAACAAAACUACUAUUUUUAGACAUAGAAAAAAUUUCAUCCCGAAAUUAAAAUUUAUAGCCAUCUAAACUAAGACAAGAUAAAGAAAUCAAAUUUCUAGAAAAACUAGGAACAUAACAAGUGUUUGGAAGAUCUAAUAAAAUGCUACAAUGUAGAGCAAGUCUACAGGUUCCAAUAGCUUCAACUUUUGCUCCCAUCUUGUUCCCCGUUAGUAUUGUCUUUUUCCUUGUCAUUGGUUGGUGGGUUGUAAGGUACCCCUGCAUAUUAUUAAAAAUAUGAAUAGUUGCACCAUAGUCAAGCCACCAAGUAUUAGAAGGAACAUCAACUAAAUUGGUUUCAAAACAAACAAAUGAAAGGAAAUUACCUUUCUUUUGAAACCAUGCCUCGCGUUUUAUGCAAUCUUUCUGCAUAUGUCCCUUCUUCUUGCAAAAAUGGCAUUGCCCACCAAAGCCUUUAUGGUUGGAUGCCUCUUUAAUUGGUGCCUUAGGAUUCUUCCUUUUGUUCCUUUUAGAUCUAUUUGCAUUAUGACCUUGUGAUACCACAUGCACAGUCUGAGUCUGCAAUCCUUCCCUUUUCAACCUCUCUUCCUCUUCGUGACACAUAGAGAUAAGUUAAACAUUCCACUUAUCCUUUUGCAUAUUAUAAUUGAUCUUGAAAGGACCAAAUUGUGGAGAAAGAGAGUUGAGCAUGAAUUGCACCGAAAAGGACUCAUAAAUAGUCAUAUCCAUACCCUUAAGUUGUUCAACACUAUUAUUCAAUUCCAUGAUAUGUUCACGAACACUACUCACCCCAUUAUAUUUCUUAGUUGUCAAAGUAGCCAUAAGAGUACCUACCAAAGCUUUAUCCAAUGUCUGAAAUUGCUGCUUAGCUAAUGCUAAAAACACACGAGCCCUAUCGAAAUUAGGAAUUGACUUCUUUAUAUGCUUUGCAAUUUUGCUCUUAACAAUCAUUAAGCUUAGUUGGUUGGAACACUUCCAAUUAUCAUACAGGAUCCUUUCAUGUUUGGUGCUUUCAAAAGUAGGCUGCACAGGCUCAAUAUGGAGGCAUAGGUCCAAGUCUAGGCAACCCAAGGUGAUAAGCACUUGAUCAUGCCAAUCAAAAAAAUUGGACCCAUUCAACUCUGGAAUGUUUGUUGCAAUUCCUGAAACUGAAGCUAGAGUAAUAGCUGUAAAUACAAGUCAAGCAAUGAAAUAAAUAUAUAGAGUAAUCAAAUGCAUCAUCGUAUUUUACCUUUGGACUAGAAAAACGACAUGCUAGCGAUUUACUCAGUAAUUGAUAACAAUUAUUCACUUACAACUUUAAUAGAGAUAUCAUAUCCCUUUGGGAAAUGUAAUAACUCACGAUUAUAGAAAUUCAAAUACCUUUGGACAAAUUUUAAUAACUAUAAUCAUCAUACAAAAUAGAUAUAAAUAACCUUUGCAUAAGUUAUAUAUCAAUUAGGUCACUUUGGUGACAACUAAUUGAUAAUUUUCCUAAAAUAUCUAUGGAGGUUAUUUCAUCUUUUCAACUCACUAUUGAGUACAUGCUAACUCAAUAUUCAAUAAUUCGAAUAUUACAAAUCAUGUUUGAAUAUUCAAAUUCAAAAUAGAUAUGCCAAUAAAAUUUAUGUUAUUUAAGAAUCAGUAAAAAUAACAAGGACAUAUUCGAAUUAUAACAUUAUAGCAGUAUAAAACAAAUAUUCUGAAAUUCACAAACAUUAACCUUUGAUUCUAUAUCAAAUAGUCUAAGACCAUGUGAAUUUGUUAUGUUAAAAUUGAAAUCAUAACUUGAUGCCGCAUAAGAAACUUCGACUCAAAACAUUAAGGGACUACCAAACAUAGUGCUUGCAUGAACCAUCACGGAGUUUCAAAAUAGCGUAACUAGAACUUACGGCAAAUAUACAUCAAUGCUAGGUUAACUUACACCAUACAUGUAACCACAAAGUCAUUUAUUGAUUUAAACAAUUAAAUGCCCAAUUAAGUGGUCAGUCAUGUUGAAGCAUUGCUGGCCUUACGAGAGACGCCCACAAACAGGCUUUUUAAUCAUUGAAUCAUAACAAUUAUAUGCCUCAGACCAUUAAACUAACUCGUAUGAAAUCCAUAGGUAAAGAUCGGGAAUGACCAUCAUGGGUUUCAAAAACAACUAAAUGAUUAAAAAAUAUAUAUAUCAUUAUACGGUAUCAAGAGACUCAAAACAAUUUCCCAAUGCCCGAUGCUUGUCCACAAGUGAAUCAAAGAUGCAAACUUGUUCAUAGUAUUUGAUUAGUAUCAAUUAAAUGAUACUAGACCAGCCCAUUAAAAUUGGUUUGAAAUUAGGAUAUGCUAGAACUUCAAGUAUGGUGCGAAAGUUAUGCGCAAUUCAGAAUCACCCAAAAAAAAGCUACUCCAAUUAUACACAUAGAGCCAAAUUCAAGCAGUCCCAUCUUGGGAAAAAGAAAUGAAAACAGGUCCUAAAUUCUAGACCCAGUCAUUAUGAUAGAAUAAACAAGCAAACAGGUUCACAUUCAAUUGUAUAUCAAAUUUUAUGCAUACCCAAUAAAAUUACUAACAUAAUAGAUUUUUAAAUCAUAAACAUCAACUCGAAACUCUGAUACCAGAUGUUAGAAUUUCAAGAGUAAGAUUGUUGGUAUGAUUUGUAAAUUAAAAUUUAGAAAUAAAUUCUAAAUUGACAUACCUUGAGACAUUGAAGAUAUUUUGGAGAAGAAUUCUACAACUAUUUAUCACCAUGCCUUUCAAUCACCAAGAUUGUAAACUAUAAAUCUUAUACUAUCCAGUUUUUUCUCACCUAACUUUCUGUUAUGCUAUUUUAGUGAUGGGUAAAAAUAACGUAUGUCAGAAUGGUGAGAGGGACCAAGAGCUCUAGAGUAUUUUAUAGAGUCACAAUCCCUCCCAUUAUGAAAUAAUGAUAGACUCUAAUAUUUUUCAGAUAUAUUGUACUUUAUUUGUUAAAUAUAAUGAUAAGAUAUAAAUUAAUAAUCACUGUAAUUAUUCGAUAAACUACCACAUAUAAUACGUGUACAUACAACGAAUAUGGGAUUUCUUACUACUUCUAAUUUGUCUAUGUUUACGAUUCUAUAACUAUCAACAUAAUUCUAUUUAUGCAGUUAUUUAUCCCAUAAACUAGUGAGAUAAUUAAUGAAUAUUGGAACAAUAUCAUGUGGUCACGUAGGCCACACUAAUAUUCCAACACCACCACCAAGGAAAUCAAAACUCCUUGCCGAAGCUACUCCAAAAUCGACGGUAUCUACAUUAUUGAAGUUGAGUUUUUUUAUUUUGUGGUCUGGGUUUUGUGGAUGUGAAGUUCUUUUACAAAUCUAUCGUUAUACUCUGUGACUUGUUCAGGUAGGUGCAGUGCUUUCUGAUGAACCCCACCUUAAAUUUUUUUUUGUUUACAGAUUGCUGUUGAUUGUUUCAUACAGUCAAAUAAUCUGUUGAUUCUUAUGCUUUUUCUAUUUUUGGCCAUGAAAUUUGGAGCCAUGGAGUAGGCGGUGAUGAUAAACAAAGGGAAAGGGAAAGAAAAAAUGAGAGAGCUGGGGAGAAGAAGACGGCUUGUGAUGGUGAUGUGACGAGAUUCUCCGAGCCGUCAACUCUGACAAGCAAAAGUUGGAAACAUGCGGUUUGCUUAGAAAGGCCAAAAAUAAGAAAAAAAAUAUAAAAUUAAAACAAAAGCACGUGACAAGAACAUGAGUGACCGAUCACCCUCUCACGUUGCAUUCUACUACUCUAGAAUCUUUUAAUAGCACUGGGCGGUGCUGAGUUUCCCAAAAUUAUGCUGCUUUCUGCUUAAGUUUGCAAAAUGGUGAGCUUGUAAACUAGUUUGAUGUUGGAAUUAAAAAUCUGAACCAUAAGGGACAUGAUCCUAUGGGCAACACCUCACCAUAGACCACAUCUAAUGUAUAUUCCUCCCAAAAUUUUAGUCAAACUUUAAGAAUAUUAAUAGUGUUUUGAUUGUGAUACUUGAACUUUUUUUUUCAAUCUUAACCCUCAAAAUUCAAAAUUUGAAAUUUAAUGUAACAUACAUUUGAUUAAAAAUAAGGGCAAUUUUAGCAAAAGAAAACAAAAAGAAUCUGACUUUUAAAACUGGAUAAAUAUUUUAGAAUACCUCAAAAUGAAAGAUAGGACUAAAAUUUUAGGAUAGAUGGAAUAAUAGGUUUGGAUCUUUGAUCAUGAAUCAUGGGCUUAAAUAGAUAUGCCGAUUCAUGUCUCAAUUGCAUCAUCCAAUUAGCUUGGGAAUUGGACCGUACUUAACGUGAAAAAAAAGAUCAAGUACUUCAAAUUGCAACCAUUGCAAGCAUUCUUCACGAGUGUGGAGAUUCAUCACUAAACUUAUUUGAAGCCUAGGAACCAUAUCAAUCGAAAUCCAUAACUAUGCUUAUUUGAAGCCUAGGAACCAUAACUAUGCAUAUUUGAAGCCUAGGAACCAUAUCAAUCGAAACAUCAAAAUUUAGGGAUGAAAAUAUGAAGUCAAAACUUUUAACUAAAUCGAAUUUGAUAUUAACUAUUAGUUAUUGUAGUUUUCGAUUGUCUUAAAUUUGUAUAUAAUUACUAAUUUUGGGGACCAAAUUUAUUUUGUUCGGAAUAUUAAAGAGGACUAGAUUGAUACAUAGAUAGAUCAAAUAUUGAGAAUCAAAACUACAUUUCUUCCAUACACGAUUUCUUUUUUCCAUUAGUUUUUUUUUGGCGAAACCCUGAGAACAGGGGAGAGGUGCUAGCCCUUACUUUUUAUUCAACAAAAUCAAAAACUUCCAAAGGCCUAUUACAUGCUUCUUCUACAGCAACGAAAAUGAGGAAAAGAAAGCUUAUCUAGAUGCAAACAAGCCUUAGUCUUUGCUGGAAGUUGCUGAAGCUCCGUAAAUAUCACUUCUGUGACCAGGCUAGCUGAAGCUAGGGUGUCUGUUGAUGAGUUUCCUUCUCUAAACGUAAAAGCAAGCGUAGCAUUCAAGUCACUGUGUGAGGACCCGAAUUUUUUUUACUUCUAAUUUUAUUUUACUGGCUUAUUUAAUUAUUUAUUCACACGUUUUCUCUGAAUAAUUUAUUUCAAUAAUUUUAAAUCCAUUUUCAUGGAACAAUAUCUUACUUAUAUGUUUAAAACGUCCCGCUAGAAAAUUUAAUUUUUCUGCGAUUCGUUUAGCUAGAAAUAAGUGAAUGCACGUUUUUUGAGGCAAGUUCGAUUUGAGAGUACAUUAGUUUUGGAGAAUUAAGAAUGAUCAAUAGUAGACUAAGAAAAGUUAAUUAAGAGAUUAGAUGUGAGUGAGUUAAAAUUAAGCUUUUACCGCACAUGCGUCGAUAGUUUCUCGAAAGUCGCACUGGUACGACUAAUUGGAGAUUUAAGGAUGUAAUACUGGACUCAUAAGUGUGACUAAUUAUAGUGUUAGAGGAAUUACCUUGGAGGGUUAGUGCAUAAGUGUAACAAACAAGAGAGAAAGUGGUAGUACGAAACCCUAAUGAGUUACCAUUAAGAGUUGACUUUUUGCAACUUUAAGUUAGCUUGUCCAACACCUUUUCUUCAUACUUUCUCCCCAAGUUUCACAACACUUUCUCUCACUCCCUCAUUGUUUCGGCCGAACCUAGAGGAAAAAAGGGAAGAGAAAAGCUUCAAUCUUCUUGCUCCAAUCUUGCUCAAGUUCUUCAUCCAAACAUCAAACCUCUUGGAGUUUCACUCUAGCUUGAAGAAAGGUGCCAUCUUGUGGAGUUGCUUGGUGAAAUUUUGGAGGAAACUCUCACUUCCAUCUAGGGUUUAGUUGCUUGGAAGGUAACCCAUUUCAUCCCUCCUUUAAUCUUUCAAUUUAUACAAAGAUUGAUGGUUAGAUUUCAUGGGUUUGAAACCCUAAUCAAGAUUCUAGGUUAGUGGCCUUGAGGAAACUUUUAUCUUGCUUUGUAUUCUAGGCUAGCGCCUUGAGGUGACCUAUGAGGUAGAUAACUUGAGGAUAUUGCUUGAUUGUUGUUGUUUAUGUGAUUUAUAGCUUGAUAGUGGAGAGAAAUUCGAAGGAAGCCGUGAGAGUGAGCUGUCCGAAUUUGCUGUUCUUGUUGUCCUGUUUUGAAUUCGAAUUUUGUUGCUUAUUUGGCUGCUAAACUGAUUGAUAUAUGUUGUAUUAUGUGCGUAGAAAGUUUCUUUCAAAAUCAUUUCAAAUGGUUACAUAAAACUUGAGUUUUGGAAAAGUUCGAAAUCUGGAAAUUUGCUAGCAGGGUAACCAACCAGUGGUUCUUUGUCUGAACAUAACUCUUUGUACAAAAGUCAAAAUUGAGUGCCGUUUGUGGAAUUCAAAACUAGACAUUCAGAGCUUUCAAACGGUAUAAGAAUCCCCCGCUAGUUCGUUUUGAACAAACCAUGGUGAGUCGGCAAAAUAGACUGUCCUGCUUUGCCUGGUUGUCCAAAUGAAACCGGGAAGUUGCAUCUUGUGGCUUGAUUUUGUCUCACUUGUGAAAAGAUUUUUAAAAUGAUGGCUUCUGAUACAUUGUAGCAUUUUGAACCUAGUUUCUAACGCUAUAAACCAUUCUCAAUUUGGACUUGUGUAGAGUCAGAUUUGGUCUGAUUUUAGAACUGCGUCAAAGCUGGAAACUGGAAAAUUUUCCCUUCCCUGCUGACCGAAUGGUCAAUUCUGUUUUGGGCUGUUUUAUUUCAAAAAUUUUAGUGUCAUUUACUCAUCAAUUGCUCAUAAAAUGUUCUGGAACCUUGGUUUAAAAAAUGGAGCAAAUUGGGGCUGAUUUCGCUGGACAAAACUUUUGAAAAAGAAAGAAAGAUAGGGUUGGCAGAUUAGCUUUGAAGAAUUUAACAAACUUUGGUCGUUUCGUUAACUAUUUUUCAGUGUGAUUUUUUGCCUAAAUUUUGAUAGAGAGGUAGCCCGUACAUGGAAUUUUAAGUGUACCAAAUUUGGCAUAAUUUCAAUAUCAUUUCGAGGCCCAAAUAAUACCCCAAAGAUUACUCUUCAAAUCUGGAAAUCCACUGAUCAGGUUGCAAAAAUCAGCCGACUUCAAACUAUUAUAUCUUGUUGCUCAAAACUCCGAAUUUAGGUCCGUUUAUUGUGUUUGAAACUUGGUUUAGAACUCUUAUUGUGUUAUAAAUUUCAGAGGUUGAUUCACUUUCUGUAAAUUUUUCCGAAUUUCCAAACAUUGCUGAAAAACCAAGACUGGUUCUGUCCUGUCUUCAUGAAACUGUAACUUUGAACUGAAAUUUGAAUGCUUUUUGGUUAGAAUCUUGGAAAAGUGUCUUCUGUGAAGUUUUAGCACUUUGAAUCUAGUUUUCAACAGUGUAAAGUUUUCCAUUUUUGGACUUACGGAACUCGAGAUACGAUUUUUCAAAGUAGUGUCAUACUAACCUGGAAAUUUUCUGUUUUCAAACAAAUAUUCCUUUUAAGAACUUUCCGUCCCCCUUUGAAAUUGUUGAACUGUUUUAGGUGUAACUUCAUGGUGGAAUACACGGUUCCUUUAGAACUUUAAACUUUCAUUUCAAAUCUUGGUUUCCGAAGAUUAAACCUCUCUUAAUGCAUUCUCUUGGUUGUUUCAUUUUCUUGGUUAAUGACACCAUUUUUUACACUAGAAAGAUGAACUUUAAACCCUAGUUUUGCCUCGAUUUUCAUGAGUUUAAACUCCAAAAAGGGAGCGUUUCGGCUAGAGUAGUUCUUGGUGAAUUGUACUAGUUUUAUACUGGAACCUCGGACCCUCAGCCUUGACUUUUACCAUGAAAAUAAGUAGAGUUUUGGAUGACUUUUAUCUCCAUUAGUUUGGAAAAUGUGACAUCUACUUUUCUCGAUUUUCGUGCCAAAAGUGAAUAUUGUACUUUCUUUGGGAUUGAGAUUUACUUACCACGACUUGAAUCAAAAACGACUUUUGAGUUCUCUUUGAGCAUUAUUCCAACGUUUUAACAAGAAAAGCUCCUUUAACUUGACUCAAACUUGUGACCUUAAAUCCUCAUUUUGAAUCUCGAUUUUCGAUGAGUAAAACUCUUCUAAGGCAUUGUCUUAAGUUUUAAGCAAGUGCAUUUUCUUCCUUGAAUGUUAAGUGGUAUAGAGUUUACGUGAGUGAUGUACGGUCACUAUUUCUUCAGGUGCUCAAGGGAGUCUUGAAGAGAAUCUCGGAGAGGACAACUAAAGACUUUACUCGUUCAAUUACUUUUGAAUUGGUGAGUGUCAAGUGCAUGAAUUGUUGUGUUUACAUGAUUAAUCUUACUUGUAUAUGUGAACAUGACUUGUCGAGUCGAGUGUGUACUUUAUCGCACUCGUUCUCUUUUACUUGAUUAUAUAAUUAACUUGCUCAUACAUGAAAUAUUACUCGUGUUUGCCUCAAUGUCGAUUGGAGUGAAUCUCAUCGACUUAUACGUGUACUCGUGGGGAACACCCAAAUUCCAUUGGCUAACCUUGUAACUCGAGCCGGCAUGGGUUUGGUCGAGAAACUUGGUGAACCAUGGAAUAUUAUAAAGUUUGAUCUUUUGAGAUCUUGCUUAAACCUUAAUCUAUUGAGAUCUUGCUUGGCAUACUCGUGUAGCAUCGCCCUUUCGUGCGUGUUUGGUUACGGAUCCGAGAGGGUGAAAUAAUGGAUGGGAAAAGUAAGUGGAGUUUCUACGGACUUAAUACCUACCCGAUUGAUGGAGGGUCAUCACGUGGAGGUAUUGGAUUGAGUCUUGGCAAAGCAAGUGAAAUUUAGCUCCUGAGAGCUCUGGUAUCCUUAUUAAUCGUAUUUUAUUAUUAAUUAUGAAUUACUUGAACUUUCGAGCUUUAUUUUUCGUACAAGUGUUAUUGUUACUUGAAUUAUGUGUUUGCAUGCUUUUCUUGGCCUCACUGAGUGUUAGCUCACUCCAUUAGUUUGUUUUCCUUAAUAAAAGCUCGGAAUGGAAAGAUUUUGGAGAAGCUGACUUGAUUACCUUUUGAGUAGAAUUUUGGAUGUAAUCGAUUAGUCGACUUAUGGUGGUUGUAUUUUGGAAAAAAUUGAUGUACUUUUGGUAACUUGUGAUGUAAGAUUUGGAUGUUUACUUAAGGGAGCGAACUUCCCCUGUAUCUACUUUUAUUUUGGUUAAUUAUCCUUAAGUUUGAAUUGGAUUUGUAUCAAAUCCUGGCGAGAGCUAGGUAGGCGUUCCGCGGAUAUCCUUGGGUUCGCCCUAGGGAGAAGUGGGGGCGUCACAAUUAGUAUCAGAGUUUAGGCUUUAGAUCUUUGUAGUGUAUUCUAGGCUAAAAAGUUUAGGAUGCUGGACUGUGGGACUGGUUUAAAAGUUAAGUGACCGCUUGUAGGGAUGAAAAUUAGAGUCUAGUUUUGAAUUAGUAGACAAUUAGGAGUCUUGAUCUUGUGCGAAAUAUGGGGGAUAGUACGAAAUGAUCAAACCUAGUUUAUUUAGUAUACUUGGAUCCAUAUAAGCUUUUAAUUUUAAAUGUAAGUUAUGGAAGGAAAUGAUGGAAAUGAGUUAGCGGUAAUCGAUGAUCGGAGGCGGUUAUCCGAGGAAACUAGGGUAGUUCGAGAGGAUAAUCGAGGACCAAGGGCAACUGUGGAUGCCCAGACUACUAGAAUUUAUGAAUUGGAGACGGAGGUACUUGAGCAGUGAAAAAAGACUGAGGCUCCUUGUGAGCAGCUUUGGGAGGCUAAGAGCCGACUUGUUAGGGUAGUAUAUGAAGUUAGAAACCGGACUGAGGGGUUAAUGGCCGAGUGUGUUACCUUGAUCGAACAAGUGGUGGAUGGCAAGAUACUCGACGAGGGACAUGAGGUAGAAACUCCUAGCGCUGAAGAUGAAAAUGAUCCUACUGAAGUAGCAGAGACUUCUGGCCUGUGACAGCCCCACUUUCCCCUAAGGCGAACCAAAGGUGUUAGCGGACUGCCUGCCCAGCUCUCGCCAGGACUAACAGUUCAGUUUCGGGACUACUACGUUUCGGGACAUACAAACGCGCGUAAACAAGUCAAAAUGUCAAAAUAAAAAAUGAAACCGGAGUCGGCCAUGAAUAGUAACCGACACGUCAAAACCCAACCAAAUAUCAAGCAAACAUUCACAUCUUGAAAUUUAGCAUUUACAAGCCAAAGUGGCAUACAAAAGUAUUCAAAAGUAGAUACAUGUCUGGUUUGCCAAAUCAAAAGAGAAACGGUCCCAAAAGUACAUUUAGUGUUUCAAUAAAUGAGCUAUACAAAAGAUAUGUCCAACUAGCUCAAUUCGGCAACCAAUUAUCAAUUGCAGUCCAAAAGUAUUUAUUUUCCUGUAAGGAAAACAAAAGGAAUAGAGUGAGUUAAUUGCCUAGUGAGAUAAUACUACUCAAGCAACCAAGUUCAUAUAAGCAUCAAGCUUUUCAUUUCAAUACAUCAAAAGUAGACAAAGGCACACAUUAAUGGUGGUGAUAAAAGGAUACGGGCGGCUCUCAAGAGCCCUUUUCCUCGUUUGCAUUCUUGAUCGGAUCUCAUUGACUCUCCGUCAAUGUUUACAAGUAACCAACCGUAGACUUCACUUUACUUCCAUUCCUUCCACCUAACAUCCCCCUACCGGGCCCGAACUCCAAACACUUGCACUGUGGUAUUACUCGAGUAUACCGGAAUCGAGAGUCUCUCAUACUACAAGAUUCCAUAUAACAUUUCUCCAAGGAUUAUUAAUUGGCACGACCAAGCCCUCGCCGGCUCGAUUCAAUCAACUACCAAUGGGGUUGAGCUCAAUGAUAACCAUUGUAGUCGUUGGAUACUCGUCCAAUCGACACCAAGUCAAGUACUUUCAUUUCAUGUAACAUUUCAUGUAACAUUCAAAUAACAUGAUAAACAAUAAGUGAGAGUGAGAAAGUACGCUCUCACUUCAAUCAAUUAACAUUCAACGUGUCAAGUUCAAGUAUCAAAGCCAUAUAGUAACACACAAGUGAGUAAUACACUCACCAAGCUUGCAAAUGGUGUUUCAUGCACUUCCGUCAAAAGAACGUCGUGAACCACCGUCACGCCCUAAAACACGCAAACAAGUACAAUGAGACUCGAUAACGAGUCAUAAACCAAAGCCAAAUACGACCCCAAUAGGGUUCCAUAAGCAUAUACAAGCAUUAGGGAAAAACCAGAAAAUUCGAAAAUGGAAUUAGCUUUAGCCCUGAAAAAAAAUAGUUUUUGACCUCAUUUUGCGGUAAUGGCACCAAAGGCUCUAAGAUUAUCGUAUGAAGGUGAAAGACCCACCGUUUCGAAGCUAAGAGAUAGGGUUACAAUAUUUUAGAAGGUCACUUAACCCAGUUUCGAGUGUAACCAGGUCAAAAAUGCAAUCUACUACACCAGAACCGCAAAACAGAUUCACAGAACGCAUUCUAGUACAUACAUCAUAAAACAACCUACAUAAGUCCAAAUCCAGAAAUUCUAAAGCCAUCUGAAGGAUAAGAAACAGGGAUACAUUUCAUCAGAAGACCUCAACAACCAAUUCGGAAGCAUUCCUAACUAAAAUAACCAAUUACAGAAGCAAUUCCCAAAUUCGGGUAAAACCAGGACAGCAAGGGUAAUUUCGACUUUUCUCAAGCUAACCUACUCUGAUUGACCUGAAAUUUUGUAGGCACUUCUAAAAUAUUAUUCCAUACAACUUUCAUGUUUUAACCCAAGGCUAAUUCGGCCUCUAUCUAUGAGCUACAAAAUCGGGCAGAAUGUAAUUUCAUAAACCCUAACUUUCCAAAAUUUCUUCCAAAACAGAAAUUGCUUGCAAUUAUCCACUUUUUCCACCUCCUAGGUCCCUUACACACCAUUUUCAAUCAUCAUACAUAGCCACACAAUCAUAUUCAUAUUAAAAUAGAAAAAUCCCCAAUAAUUACAAAACUUCAUCAAUUCAACCAAAAAUCACAAUAUAAUCCAUAAAGUUGCAUCUUAUUCCACCACUAAGCAUAAAUUAAGCAUCAUUAGAGGGAGGAGAGUGGUUCUUCAUAACUCACCUUAGAAACAAGAGAGAGAGAGAGCAACAAGUCCUCUUAGCUUUCCAAACAACUCCACCAAACCCCACACAAACACUCACUUAAGGUUUUCUAUGGAACAAAAGUAAGAUUAAGUGGUUGUUUUGAUGAUUUGGAGCAAGAUGGAAUCAAGAACUUGGAGAGUUUCCUUCUUUCUUCUUGAGAGAGAGGGCCGGCCAAGAUGAAAAGAAAAAUGGUGAAUUUUUGGUGAUUUUUGUGAUUUAUUUGGUCAAUUGGACAAAAGGUGAAUAGUGGUCUUACUUAAGACCAAAUCCCAUGGUGACACUUGUCACCUUCAUUAAUGCUUGCCUAACUUUUGUCUCUCUUAUACCAAUCCACUUAGCAUCCUCUACUUAUCUCUUAACACCCGGUAAAUUAAAUCCAGUAUCCAAAACUUAACCUAGUUGGCCGAAUUUUUUCGAACUUUUCGCACUAGUGGGUCGCACGUCCGGUAUACGCUCUUAAUUUCUCAAAAACUAUUUGAUACUAGAAAAAUCAUCUAAAAACUAUAUCUGCUCAUAAAAAUUAUCUAGAAAUUUUUCCGGAUACAGAAAGUGCAGAAAACAAGCCAUUGAAUAUAAUAAAACCCUAAAAUGGAAAAAUUACGGGCUCUCACACUCUCUCCCUCUUAAAAGAAUUUCGUCCUCGAAAUUUCUCACCUUGGUUCAGAAACAGUUCAGGGUAUUCCUUUCCACCUCCCAGGUAGCCUCUUCUAUCCCAUGAUGUCUCCACUUUUUUUUUCUUUUUUUUUUCCCGAGCGACAACAACUGCGACUAACUCCAGAUCGUCGGUUGGAUAGCUUUGUUCGUGGGGUUUCAAUUUCCCAGAGGCAAACGAUAUCACAUUCUGGUUUUGCGUCAACACACACCCCAACCUUCCCUCGAAGCAUCAGGGUAAACAGUAAAACUGUCCUUACCUUUAGGCAAGGCUAAAAGAAGAGCCAUGUUUAACCUUCGCUUUAAUUCCUGAACACUAUCCUCUCUCCUACCCAAACACUGCGAUCCUUACAAACCAUACCAGUGCUCAAACGAUGUUGUCCCCAUAGGAAUACUACUUUCAGGUCGUAGGGUAGACGAGCAGGUUUGGUAUCUAUUCCGUCUAUCAAAAUUGGGGUUGACAAGUGAAUAAGUAACACCGGAAUCUACUAAUAUUUCCGCAGAAAUACCACAAUCGUACCUUCCUCAAUUUCAUGAGAAUCGGGGACCUGUUGUGGCUCCAGUGAAUACACUCGAGCUGCCACCUUAGAUUUGGUCCCUUCUAUCUUUGCCGGUUCGAAAUUAGUCUUCGUCGAUUGCUGACUCCCCUUUCCAUCUCGUGAUAGGACUGGACAAGUGGCGAGCUGAUGGUUUGCACUUCCACAGCGCAAACAUUUCCCCUCCUUCUUCUAGCAAUUGUCCUCCGAGUGGUUUGACUUUUCGCAAUACCCGCAGGGUCCACGUACUGCAGAAGCCGAGCCUCCUCUCUGGCCUCUCCCCACUUGGCCGCCUCGUGACGGGCUCUCUUGUGACACUCCCGGCAUCCUUUCUCCUCCAGUUCCUCGCCCAAACUUGGAAGGGGUACUCUCGUCCCCCUGUCCAGAGUUGCUUCCAGGAAAACCCCGUUUCUUCGCCUGGAAGUUCCGUACUUGCACCCUGGCGCUCUCUACCCGUUGGGCCUUCUCAACGGCCUCGCUAAAAGCGUUAAUUUGGGCCACCGCGAGGUCCUUCUGAAUUUCUACGUUCAGGCCCUGGACAAAUCGCCGUAUUCUUCGUUGCUCGGUCAUGAUGAGUUCGGGCGCAAAUUUGGAUAGGCGGGUGAAUUGGUUCUCAUACUCCGCCACAGAUUGAGCCCCUUGGCGAAGUCGGAUUAACUCAUCUUCCUUUCUCUCCUGAACCAGAGGAGGGAAGAAUUUCUCGUUGAAUUCCCUUAUGAAAUUCACCCAAGUCCUGGGCAUUUGUUCCCGUUCCCAUUUUUGCCGUAUGAUGUUCCACCAGGAACGGGCCGCCCCUUCCAACUGGAAAACGGCAAAAGUCACCUGCCGUUCUUCGGUGUAGUGUAAGGCCGCAAAAAUAUCGACCAUCUUCUCGAGCCACCUCUCGGCGACAUCCGGAUCGGGCCCCCCAAUAAACUUCGGUGGUGCGAACUUCUGGAACCUCCCAAGUGCCCUAUCGUCGCUUUCGACAUGGUUGCCCGGGUUUUCAGGAUUAGGGUUUGGGUUUUGGCCUUGUUGCUGCACUACUUGUGCCAGCAGGUUGGUUAUUUUCUGCAUAGCGGCAGCUAUCUGCACGUUGGGGUCAACUCUCGGUUCAGGAUUAGGUCCAAAGGAGGUUUCCCCAGUGCCCCUUUCAGGCGUAGGUUACCUAUUCCCGCGCCCACGCCCCCGUCCACUACGUGUACCUUCCAUAAAAUCUAAGUCGAUCUAGGUCACAAAAUAAAUAUACUGUUAAAGGGCACCUAACCCUCCUUUUUGCAGCACUAAACAGGAACAAGUAAACAAGAACAAUUAACUAAACAACUCCCUCGUAGAGCAUUUAAACACAUAACACAUAUACAGAGAACACAUAACAGGAUCAACAAUUAUACAGAACAGUCAGUCAGGUACAUACAAAGUCAUCCCCUAAAACAAAGGUUAAUCACGCUUAACCAUACCCGAACAAACCACACGAAGUUCCAUAGAAUCGCCUUUCUAGUUCGCCCAAUCCUUUCUAACCUAGGCUCUCAUCUCUUUCGUAUCAGGCGCAAGAAUCCCAUCUAAGAUAAUUCACAACUCGAGCCGGCUGGUCCCAAGCGUAAAUCAUCCAUAUUAAAGAUUCCUACCCGACAUACAGAUCUAACUUCCUCAAGUUUCAUGAUAAAGAUUUUUACACUUAUAAAAUGCUCGGUUCAUAACUUAUGCUCAAAAGAGCACUUAACCCUUUCAGACACCUUCACCAAAAGCAGGACCAUAACACCACUUGGUCCCAAGCUCACUCCGCGCAGAGACCACGCGAAGUGGCUCUGAUACCACCUGUGACAGUCCCACUUUCCCCUAAGGCGAACCAAAGGUGUUAGCGGACUGCCUGCCCAACUCUCGCCACGACUAACAGUUCAGUUUCGGGACUAAUACGUUUCGGGACAUACAAACGCGCGUAAACAAGUCAAAAUGUCAAAAUAAAAAAUGAAACCGGAGUCGGCCAUGAAUAGUAACCGACACGUCAAAACCCAACCAAAUAUCAAGCAAACAUUCACAUCUUGAAAUUUAGCAUUUACAAGCCAAAGUGGCAUACAAAAGUAUUCAAAAGUAGAUACAUGUCUGGUUUGCCAAAUCAAAAGAGAAACGGUCCCAAAAGUAUAUUUAGGGUUUCAAUAAAUGAGCUAUACAAAAGAUAUGUCCAACUAACUCAAUUCGGCAACCAAUUAUCAAUUGCAGUCCAAAAGUAUUUAUUUUCCUGUAAGGAAAAUAAAAGGAAUAGAGUGAGCUAAUUGCCCAGUGAGAUAAUACUACUCAAGCAACCAAGUUCAUAUAAGCAUCAAGUUUUUCAUUUCAAUACAUCAAAAGUAGACAAAGGCACACAUUAAUGGUGGUGAUAAAAGGAUACGGGCGGCUCUCAAGAGCCCUUUUCCUCGUUUGCAUUCUUGAUCGGAUCUCAUUGACUCUCCGUCAAUGUUUACAAGUAACCAACCGUUGACUUCACUUUACUUCAAUUCCUUCCACCUAACAUCCCCCUACCGGGCCCGAACUCCAAACACUUGCACUGUGGUAUUACUUGAGUAUACCGGAAUCGAGAGUUUCUCAUACUACAAGAUUCCAUAUAACAUUUCCCCAAGGAUUAUUAAUUGGCACGACCAAGCCCUCACCGGCUCGAUUCAAUCAACUACCAAUGGGGUUGAGCUCAAUGAUAACCAUUGUAGUCGUUGGAUACUCGUCCAAUCGACACCAAGUCAAGUACUUUCAUUUCAUGUAACAUUUCAUGUAACAUUCUAAUAACAUGAUAAACAAUAAGUGAGAGUGAGAAAGUACGCUCUCACUUCAAUCAAUUAACAUUCAACGCGUCAAAUUCAAGUAUCAAAGCCAUAUAGUAACACACAAGUGAGUAAUACACUCACCAAGCUUGCAAAUGGUGUUUCAUGCACUUCCGUCAAAAGAACGUCGUGAACCACCGUCACGCCCUAAAACACGUAAACAAGUACAAUGAGACUCGAUAACGAGUCAUAAACCAAAGCCAAAUACGACCCCAAUAGGGUUCCAUAAGCAUAUACAAGCAUUAGGGAAAAACCAGAAAAUCCGGAAAUGGAAUUAGCUUUAGCCCUGAAAAAAAAUAGUUUUUGACCUCAUUUUGCGGUAAUGGCACCAAAGGCACUACGAUUAUCGUAUGAAGGUGUAAGAUCCACCGUUUCGAAGCUAAGAGAUAGGGUUACAAUAUUUUAGAAGGUCACUCAACCCAGUUUUGAGUGUAACCAGGUCACAAAUGCAAUCUACUACACCAGAACCGCAAAAUAGAUUCACAGAAUGCAUUCUAGUGCAAACAUCAUAAAACAGCCUACAUAAGUCCAAAUCCAGAAAUUCCAAAGCCAUAUGAAAGCUAAGAAACAGGGAUACAUUUAAUCAUAAGACCUCAACAACCAAUUCGGAAGCAUUCCUAACCAAAAUAACCAAUUACAGAAGCAAUUCCCAAAUUCGGGUAAAACCAGGACAGCAAGGGUAAUUUCGACUUUGCUCAAGCUACGAUACUCCGAUUGACCUGAAAUUUUGCAGGCACUUCUAAAAUAUUAUUACCUACAACUUUUAUGUUUUAACCCAAGGCCAAUUAGGCCUCUAUAUAUGAGCUAAAAAAUCGGGCAGAAUGUAAUUUCAUAAACCCUAACUUUCCAAAAUUUCUUCCAAAACAGAAAUUGCUUGCAAUUAUCCACUUUUUCCACCUCCUAGGUCCCUUACACACCAUUUCCAAUCAUCAUACAUAGCCACACAAUCAUAUUCAUAUUAAAACAGAAAAAUCUCCAAUAAUUACAAAACUUCAUCAAUUCAACCAAAAAUCACAAUAUAAUCCAUAAAGUUGCAUCUUAUACCACCACUAAGCAUAAAUUAAGCAUCAUUAGAGGGAGGAGAGUGGUUCUUCAUAACUCACCUUAGAAACAAGAGAGAGAGAGCAACAAGUCCUCUUAGCUUUCCAAACAACUCCACCAAACCCCACACAAACACUCAUUUAAGGUUUUCUAUGGAACAAAAGUAUGAUUCAGUGGUUGUUUUGAUGAUUUGGAGCAAGAUGGAAUCAAGAACUUGGAGAGUUUCCUUCUUUCUUCUUGAGAGAGGGGGCCGGCCAAGAUGAAGAGAAAAAUGGUGAAUUUUUGGUGAUUUUUGUGAUUUAUUUGGUCAAUUGGACAAAAGGUGAAUAGUGGUCUUACUUAAGACCAAAUCCCAUGGCGACACUUGUCACCUUCAUUAAUGCUUGCCUAACUUUUGUCUCUCUUAUACCAAUCCACUUAACAUCCUCUACUUAUCUCUUAACACCCGGUAAAUUAAAUCCAGUAUCCAAAACUUAAUCUAGUUGGCCGAAUUUUUCGCACUAGUGGGUCCCACGUCCGGUAUACGCUCUUAAUUUCUCAAAAACUAUUUGAUACUAGAAAAAUCAUCUAAAAACUAUAUCUGCUCAUAAAAAUUAUCUAGAAAAUUUUCCGGAUACAGAAAGUGCAGAAAACAAGCCGUUGAAUAUAAUAAAACCCUAAAAUGGAAAAAUUACGGGCUCUCGCACUUCUGGCUUCGCCAAUCACUAAGCUAGUGAUUUAGUCUACUUUAAUAGUUUUUGUGAAGGAUAGUCGGGGUGGUACUUGUUCAAAGGCCAUUGCAUUUUGUAUGUUGCUUAACUAUGCUUCCUACCUUUUGAAGCGAUUGAACGUUACUUAUGAGGUGCUUGACUUUAUUGCUCUAUAACUUCAAAUCUAUGCUAUGGGUUGUACACAUUUGCAACUAUUUCGGUGUCCCCCUUAUUAUUUUCGUUUUGCAUGAUCAAAGUGUCAUUUUCAAACUUCACUUAUGUGUAAUUAUUUUACGUCAUGCCUUUAUACAUGUUAAAUUAUGGGCGGCCGAAGAAGUGAAAGGAGCCGAGGAUGAGGGUUUAGGCAACCCCAAGCUCAAGGGGAUGAGUAAGGAACGACCACUGGACCAAACCAAAACCCUAGAAAUGAAGAGGAUAACCAAGUAGGUACUUCUAUUAAUCAUAUGAUUGAUAUCUUAGCACGGUUAGUUGAGUACCAAAACCCUAAACCAAUCAACCAACCUAGGGACCAAGAGAGGCGUGAGGAUAGAGAGAUUCUUGAAGUUCACCCUAUCUAAGUUUCAUGGAGGGUCUAACCUCGAAACAGUAGAAAUUGGUUUGAGGGGAUGAAAUAAGGCACUAGUGAGAGUGAGAGGUUAGGAUUUCUUCUUGAACAACUUUGUAAGUGAGUAUUGGAGAGUGGGUUAGGGUGUGUAACUUUUAUAUUAUGGAAUAAGAUCUCUGUAUUUUGUUAUGUUUAUAAGUGAAGAUAGUAAUCUUGUGGAGACUCAAGAUCUCGUCCACGUUAAGCAGAGAAUAGUUAAGAUUUAUAUUCCGGGGUAACCUAUGAGCAAAAGAAUGAAAGAGUAAAAUGGCUAGAGUUUCCAUUGUGAAUAGUUACUCAUUUUAAUCCCUUGAUUUGCUUGGUAGGCUAACAAUUGACUUAAGCCAACUGGUGAGAUGACAAAUUUGGAAGACAUGCAUAAGGAAAUGGACAUUCUUCGAAAGGAGGUAGAAUUUCAAAAGAAAUUGGCUGACUACUGGGAAGGACGGUGGAAACAAGAAUAUGCAGAAAAAAUUGAGUUGCUAUACAAGAACAUAGAACUGGAGAAGAAAUACAAAGGAGAUUCUCAAACUGUCAAGCCGUGACUCCUCAUGUAACUUGUGGAUUCUGUGGCAAGUUUAACCACACUGAGGUCGAGUGCUGGAGAAAGCAAGGAAAAUGUCUGAGGUACGGUAGUGCCGAACAUCAGGUUUCAACUUGUCUUAGUGCCUCUAAAAAGAGGAAAUACUCAGCAGUCUGCUAGGUCCACUGCAAAGCAAUCGAGUGCCAGAAGGAGUGAUUAAUGCUAAUAAUUAUAAAAGGGAUCCAAGUAAUAGAAACUCUAUGAGUAGAAAUGGAUCUGACUCCACUCGACAGAUAGACAUUGUAGUUUUACCCUAGUUUAGACUGACACUUUUAGAGGUUGUAAUUUCGUAUAGGGGAUGACAUCCUUUUGUUUUUUGGUAUAUUGCGACUUAACACGUUUUGCUAUAAUCUUGUUGUUUUCCCUUUCUUUUGAAACGAUUUGAUGAACUUAUUCUAACUUGGUGUAACUGUUAUGAUCUUUUAUGACAAAAAAAAAUUUACUUUACUUUUAAUUGAUUUUACGGCUUAUAUAUACAUUUAACUUAUUGUCCCACACUUUUAGACCUGUGAUAAGAUCAUGAACAGUACUUGAGGAUAGUUUUACAAAUCCCGAGAGAGCACCAACUUUUGUUAAGUUCAACAAGUGUGAGUUUUGAUCGAAAAAAGUAGAACUUGAUAAGAAUUUAUCCUAUGGAGAAAGGACGGUAAAGAUUUUAGAUUAAAAAGUGAAGGAAUUAAGACGGAAACAAAUCCCUCUGAUAAAGGGUUACGGAGAAAUUAUAGAAUGAAAGAAGCGACUUGGGAAGUAGAAGAGAAGAUCCAAAAGAAAUAUCCAGAAUUGUCCUUAAAUCAAUGUAUGAAUUUCGAUGACGAAAUUCUUUUAAGGAGGGAAGAAUGCGAGAACCCGAAUUUUUCUUACUUUUAAUUCUAUUUUACUGGCUUAUUCAAUUAUUUAUUCACCCGUUUUCUCCGAAUAAUUUAUUUCAACCAUUUUAAAUCCAUUUUCAUGGAACAAUAUCUUACUUAUAUGUUUAAAACGUCUCGUUAGCAAAUUUAAUUUUUCUGCGGUUCGUUUAGCGAGAAAUAAGUGAAUGCACGUUUUUCAAGGCAAGUUCGAUCCGAGAGUACACCAGUCUUGGAGGAUUAAGAAUGAUCAAUGGUAGACUAAGAAAAGUUAAUUGAGGGAUUAGAUGUGAGUGAGUUAAAAUUAAGCUUUUACCGCACGCGCGUCGAUAGUUUCUCGAAAGUCGCACUGGUACGACUAAUUGGAGAUUUAAGGAUGUAAUACUAGACUCAUAAGUGUGAGUAAUUAUAGUGUUAGAGGAAUUACCUUGGAGGGUUAGUGCAUAAGUGCAACAAACAAAAGAAAAAGUGGUAGUACGAAACCCUAAUGAGUUACCAUUAAGAGUUGACUUUUUGCAACUUUAAGUUAGCUUGUCCAACACCUUUUCUUCAUUCUUUCUCCCCAAGUUUCACAACACUUUUCUCUCUCUCACUCCCUCAUUGUUUCGGCCGAACCUAGAGGAAAAAAGGGAAGAGAAAAGCUUCAAUCUUGCUCAAGUUCUUCAUCCAAACAUCAAACCUCUCGGAGUUUCACUCUAGCUUGAAGAAAGGUGCCAUCUUGUGGAGUUGCUUGGUGAAAUUUUGGAGGAAACUCUCACUUCCAUCUAGGGUUUAGUUUCUUGGAAGGUAACCCCCUUCAUCCCUCCUUUAAUCUUUCAAUUUAAACAAAGAUUGAUGGUUAGAUUUCAUGGGGUUGAAACCCUAAUCAAGAUUCUAGGUUAGUGGCCUUGAGGAAACUUUUAUCUUGCUUUAUAUUCUAGGCUAGCGGCCUUGAGGUGACCUAUGAGGAAGCUAACUUGAGGAUAUUGAUUGAUUGUUGUUGUUUAUGUGAUUUAUAGCUUGAUUAUGGUUUGAUAGUGGAGAGAAAUUCGAAGGAAGCCGUGAGAGUGAGCUGUCCGAAUUUGCUGUUCUUGUUGUCCUGUUUUGAAUUCAAAUUUUGUUGCUUAUUUGGCUGCUAAACUUGUGACGCCCCGAAAGAAUGAGUUUGAGAACUCGAAAAUUUUUAUAUAUUUUCUAGAAAUUAUUUUGUUUCCUUGUCUAUAAUUUUAUGUCUUUUUUCAAUAUAUUAAUUUCCUAUACAUUUUUAUAAGGGAAUAUAGUUUUCAAAUCAUUUUCUUGAUACAAGUUAGUCCACGUUAAGUUUGAAGUGUAUUACGGACGUGGGACCCACUAGUACGGUAAAUGCGAUAUAAAUUUGACAACUUGUUGGAGUUUCGUAUUAAGUGAUAUUAUUUUACAAGGUGCUAAGAGAUAAUUAGAGGUUAUUUAGAUGGUUAAUCUUGGAGAGACAAAGGGAUAAGAAUAAACUUAAGAAGGGCCAAGUGUCGCGAUCCGAUUGGAAGUUGACUUGCCUAACUUUUAUUUAACUUUCCUAAACUCCAAUUUUGACCAACAUUUUCUCAUUUCUUUACCCCUCUUGGCUGAGACAUGUAGAGAGAAAAGAGAGGAAAAACCUUCAUCUUGUUCAAUUCUUGUCCAAAUCUUGAGUUUCAACCAACCAAAUCACAAACUACACCAUACAAGUGAUCAUUAGGGAAGGUUAAAGGUGUUGGUGGAGUUGUUUUGGAGGAGGAAAGAUUAAGCUCCUACCUUUCUUGUGGUUUUAAGGUAUUUUGCCAAGAACAUCCUCUUUACUUCAAUUCAUUGCUUAUUAGUGGUUUUUAGUUGUUUUAGAUGUUGUUUUGUGGAGGAUUAGCACUUGAAUACAUGAAUUCCAGCUUGGAUGAUAACCUGCCCUGCUUCUGCCCGGUUCUAUUUCACCUUGCUAGAGGCCGAACUAGCCUUAGCACAAAACAUGAAAGUUGUAGAAAAUGAUGUUUUAUAGUUUUUUACAAAAUAUCAGCUCAAUCGGAGCAACGUAGCCUAUGAAAAGACUGAAAUACCCCUGCUGCCCUGUUUCUGUCCGAAAAUGAAAAUCAGCCUCUGUAAGUGGUUAGUUUGACCAGGAAUACUACUGAUUUGGUUGAUGAUGUCUUCUUAAGAAUUAUAGCCUUGUAUCUUAGCUUUCAAAUGGAUUUGGAAUUACCUGAAUUGGAGUUGCGUGUGCUGAGAUAUGAGUGAAUGAAUCAGGACUGCUAGUUGAAUUUCACAGUGAGUUUCGAACUGGAAAAUCUGGAGUUGUUUUGGUAAAUUUGACCUAGUUAGGGUGAGAACUGGACUGAGUGGUCUUCAUGAAAGUUUUAGGUCCUUGUCUUAGCUUCGAAAUGGUAUAAAUUACAUUCCAAUCCGAUAAGGGUAGCUUCACUUAUGGAUAUUGUACCAAAAGGUGUUAAACGGAACUUUUAUACGUUAACUGCGAUCGUUGCGGAAAAGUUACGCUUGAGGGAAUAAAUUCCGGUUUCUAGGGUUUAAUUGGGGAUUUUUCUAAUGGUGGCCCUUAAGCUUCUAAUUAGCUUUUAUUGAGGGAUAUUGUGGCCUAAUUGGAUAUAUUUUAUUGCUUAUUAACCGUAUGUGUGAUUGGUAAUAUAUUGUAGGUUGGAAAUGAAGCAUUUAUGGGGAAGUGCUGUCCGAACUUUGAGAAUGUAUGAUUGCUUUGAGUUUGUGAUUUAGGGCUUGGACUCGGGCAAGGUAAUGAUAUAUGAUGGAUGGUUUCUGAUCCGUGGAGGUGAGUGACCCCAAACUGUUUCCAAAACUAUUUAUGAAUUGUUUCUUGCAUUAUUUACUCGAUUGCAUGUCAUGCGUGCUUGCAUGUGAGUUCAUGACAUGAUUUGGCUUAACUGAGUUCUUGGGAAGUCUGUGCUGAACACCAACGUCUCCACUAUCUGUUUACUAGUAAUUUGGAGCACGAUGGCUCCUCAUUCCUGUUUAUCUGUUAUCUGAGCUAUUUGAGCGUUGGGUGUUUAAGUGCAAUGAUUUCACUGGCUCACGAGAGCAAAAAUACGUACAUUUGAUCUUGGAAUCAUGACAUCAUCGAAAUGCAUUAUUGUGAAAUAUAUUUGAUUAUUGAUUUUAAUGGUUACUCACUGAGUUUCUAACUCACCCCAAAAAUAUUUUAUUCCCCUCCACAGGGCUCAUGGCGAAGGAAGGCUUGUAGUACUUAUUCACGUGACUGGAUGGCAUAUAUCUUGUACAGUUUGUGUGACAGUCCCACCUCCCCCUAGGGC